Molecule: long non-coding RNA, 111713 nt
Filed under: Capsicum annuum
Lineage: Eukaryota; Viridiplantae; Streptophyta; Magnoliopsida; Solanales; Solanaceae
Description: long non-coding RNA (CANN_LNC019935)
Source: RNAcentral
AAUGGAAAUCUUGUGUUUGAAUUUUUUGGUACGUAAAGGAGAGGGUCUAUUGCUUCUAUGAGUCACAGCCAUGCAUAGUAAAAGGGGCGGGACUUGAUCAUGAAUAGAAUCUGUUUCCUUUUUCCUUAACUUGUGGUUUGCCGUUGUUCUUUUUCUCUGAUAAUAUCGUGUUUAAGAGUAUAAGAAUUCUAUGUCUAUAAUUUUAAUUCUCAUGAGACAUUGAAAACUGUAAACUUUGAACUCUUGAAUGGCUUACAAGCAUCUUACUGGGUUAUUAUCGAAUGUCGCCUAGAUCUAACCGUUCAUACUUGCCCGUUGUGUUAUUACUACUAUUGUUGUUAUGAUUAUUUUCUUCCUACUAUCCUAGGUUAGAGAUUAGAUUAGCUGCCUUUCAUUGAAUAAGUUGGAUCUUUUUCAUAUCAUAACUUGCUAUUGUCCGGAUACGCGAGAAUGCUCUCUUAAUGAUGUCAUUUAUCUUUAAGUAUCGAUCUUUGAACAUGUAUUAAUUACUUUAUUUUUGUUUUCGCAUGUGGACAUGCCCGAGUCCUACUUGGAUUCCUUUUCCCUUUGCAUGCCCAUUGUGGGCCAUUGAGGCCUAUUUAAAUCCGAGUUAAUUCCUAGAGAAAGCCCAAACAUCGUUCUCAUGGAAAUGGAUACGAAAAGUCAGAAGAAGGAAAACAGGUUAAAGCCCCAUCUUUGAAGCGGCUAAGGAGAUUUGAAAGUCUAAUUUUAUUUAUUUAUUUAUUAUCAUCUUUUAUUUACUUAUUUAUUUUCUAAUUUAUUCAUUUGAAGUCUCGAAGCCAAAGUUGUAAAUUUAAUACAGGUGGAAUAGAUUUUGGGCCAACGAGCCUGAAAAAUUACUUUAGGACAGGUGCAAAUGGGUUGAAAACCCAAUUAGAUUAGGAUAAUUUUCAUUGAUUUGGGCCUAAUGGCCUAGGUCUUUUACUUCCUCCUCCCUUUCCCCUUCAUGUGUUUAUUUGUUUAUUAGUUUGUUUAGACUUAGUUAAAAUCCAAACCAAGUCGUCAAAAUUUGUUUUACACAAAUCAUUUUCUAAAAUCAAUCACUUUUCAACAACCAAUCUUAUUGAAGUUAGUCAAAAGAUAUUUUCAAACAGUCCGGAUAACCGCAUGUUAGCGGACGUUUUAGGUGCCUUAAAUCUUCCUAAAACAUUAAUAAGUAUCGCUUACUCAGAAUUUUUAAAUUUUAAAUGAUUUUUCUAUUUUGGAUCGUUUAAAGUAUCUUAUAAAUGUUGCUUAAUUUCUUUUCAAAAUUAAGUAGCGACUCUAAUAAGUCAAAUUUCUGCAAAACAGCUAUAUCUCCAAAGUAGAAAGAGCUCUUACCAACAUUUGCUUACAACCCCGAUGCCUGAGAGAAAUUUUGGAAACACAGGUAUAGAGCUGCAACUGAUGCUUGAUCACCCUUAGCAAACAACAAUAGAUCAUUUGCAAAACAUAGAUGAGUAAUGCCAUGUUUGGAACAUUGAGGGUGGUGCUUGUAAGCUGUAUUUUCUUUUAGAGUAAUGAGGCAUCUACUCAGGUACUCCAUAGCUAUAACAAAUAGAUACGGGGAAAUGAGGUCCCCCUACCUGAGACCCUUAGUAGCACUAACAGGUUCUGUAUUUUCACUAUUAAUCACUAUAGAGUAGUGCACUAUAGUGAUGCAUUCUAACAGCCACUAGAUGAACUUAGCAAGAAAACAUAAUGACUCUAACACCUGAUGUAGAAACACCCAUUCUACAAAAUCAUAUGCUUUCUGUAGGUUAAUUUUAAUACAUCUAGGUGAGAUGUGUUUCCUAGUGUAAGCUUUAACAAGCUCAUGUGCCAGGAUAAUAUUAUCUGCAAUCUUUCUCCUUGGGAUAAAACCUGAUUGGGCAGGGGAGAUGAUAGAAACAAUUACCUUUUGAAAUCUUGCUGAGAUAACUUUUGCAAUGAUCUUGUACAUGACUGUGCAACAUGCUAUAGGUCUGUAUUCUUUGAUGUCUGUAGGUACUUUCUUCUUAGGUACCAAAGUAAUGCUUGUGCAAUUUAUGUCUCUAUACAUCUUGCCUGUAAUAAAGAAAUCCUUGGUAGCUGCUAAUAUAUCUUUAUGAAUGACCGGCCUGGUUUGUUUAUAAAAAUAAGCAAUAAAACCAUCCACCCCAGGUGCCUUAUCAUCGCCAAUGUCAUUUAAUGCAACCAAUAUUUCUUGGUCUGUUACCUUUUUGCACAAAUCAAUGCCUUGCUCAUGUGUUAACGUAGGGCCUAACUUCAUAAUAGUAGAAUCCACUACUGGGAGCUCCUACUUUACAUUUUGCAAGACCCCGCAGAAUCCUAAUCAUUUGAGUCCUUUAAAACAUGCCAAAAGAGGUCCCAGACUUAGAAAUUUAAGCUAAGUGUUAGAACUUAGUCAUUUCUAAAGCCCUCAAAAUUUGAGAAAUUUAUUUACGACCUUCCCAACCCUAGAAAGUUAGUUUUAAAGUUGAUUUAUGAUCGGGAAAGUCAAUAGUACAUCUUGGGUGAGUUUCAGAAUUUUUGGACAAGCGUAAGGGCGUGUUUGAAACUCCAAAAUAGUGGCUCGAGGUAAUUAGCCCGCGGUGCUCUGCACAGUCCGGUGCUGGGGGAGCCAGCGAUACAGACCACGGUGCCCUGCCCAGAGCCAGUAGCGCCCUGGCCAGUCCAGUCCAAGUAAUUUUUGUAGAUUUAUUCCGCAUUUUUAAGGGGCAAAUGGGUCAUUUUCCCUUCACCCAAUAACUCCAUAACACGGGAUUAAAGCCCCAAAUAUCAUAAUUGCGCAUCUUUUUCACAAAAUCCUCUCAAGAACAAGCCCUAGCUUCAUCAAGUUCAAGAAUCAAGUCUCAAGAACUCACCCCAAUCUCUAAGAAAUUAACAAUCAUGGUAUGUUAGGUGUUCAUCUAUGGGUUCUAUUCACCCAUAGAGUCCAAGAAUACAUUUUUAAAACUACAAGCUUAUUGAUUUAUGAAUUCCAUGCUUGAAAUUGAUUGUAUUCAUGUUCAGGAUAGUAAUUGGGUUUCAAUUCAUGAUUGAUUAUAAGUUUUCAUGAAAUUAAAAUAGUUUAUGUGAUGAACUAUAUGAAUUGUAUGCUAAACCCUUGAAUUUGCAAUUGAGUAUUGUAUUCAUGAUGUUCAUGAGUUGACCAUUAUCAUGUGAAAUUAUCUAUGCUCCCCCACUGUUUGCUAAAAUGCCUAUGUAAAGUAAAUAGUGGAAUCAUGACAUAUUAUUAUGUGGUCCCAAUCAUGUACAAGCUUAUGCCCUACAAGUGUUUGAUAAAAUGUCUCUAUGAGCUAAUUAUGGACAAGUGGACCUUGUUAUGCUUUUCAAGAUCAUGCUAUCGUUUACUUUUCAUGUUAUUGAGUCCUGGGGGUAUCUAAUACCCGACAAUCUAGUUGUUUACCUAGAGCUACAGUAGUUACAGAAUAGUCCAAUCAUAUCACGAAACAGUAGCACUCAGUCAGUUAUUGAACUCAAUAAAAUCAGUCCAGUUCAGUCAGUCAACACGAUCAGUAAUAGUUCAGUAAAAUUCAGUACAGACUAGUAAUCAUUCCAUGGUCUAUUCAGGUGGGAGUAGGAUUUAACACCGAGUGAACCUAAGGAAGGGGGCUCAUCUGCCAGUAGAGGGUGUGAUCCUUAGAAACAGUCCUUGCAUUCCAGAACUACGUAGCCAGCAUAGGUUGAGACAUCAACCUGCUAGUUGCGAGUUAAUAAGGUGUUUCUACCUGCCAGUUGAGGGUACCACCGUUCUCAUUCAAGGCACCUGUCAGAUGAGGGUGACUCUUCAACUGUCUUUACCAGUGGCAUGGUACUGACACCCUUCCAACUGGGGUUACAGGUUGGACCCCAGUUAUCUUAUUUGAGGCAUGUCGAUUAGAUGAUUACCUCCCACAAUUUCAGUUUCAGUCUCAGCAUAGAACUCAAUUUAGUUCUACAAAAUCAGGACUGUCAGACAAAGUCACCCAGCUCAGUAUAGAACUCAGUUCACUUCUACAGUAUCAGGACUAUCAAAAAUAGUCACCCAGCUAACAGUGAUACAGUUAUCAGUGAACUCAGAUAUCAGUGAUCAGUUAUCAGAACUCAGUACCCAGUGUUAAUAUGUUCUCAACUACAAUAUACGUAGUUACAUAUAUAGUAUUGCAUAAUCAGUAUUUACAGCAGUUUCAUAUAUACGCGUACUCUCAUUUAGUUAUAUUCAUGUUACUCAGCCAGUUAUUAUUCAUGCAUAUGAAAACAUGCAUUCAGCUUACCUUGCUUAGCAUACUAGUACAUUCAAAGUACUGACGCAUACCUUUAUUUUGCACUAUGAUAUCUUAUAUCAUAGGUUCAGAUGCACAAACUCCUGAUUGUACUUAGCAACCCAACUUAUCAACAACAGACUUAGUGGUGAUUCAUCAUAGUUUGAGGACAGAGUUUUCACUUUAGUAAUUUAGUAUAUUUUAGUAGUCAAAGUUAGUUAUAGGCUUGUCCCAUCAACUUUACCUUCAAAUAUUUAGAAGCUUUCAGACUAGACUAUUUCAGACAGAUGUUCAGUUUUUAGUAUUUAUUUAUCAAUAUUUGAUUUCAAUUAUGAACAUUAUGGUAGAUUCAGCCGCUUUUCCAUAUUAUUAUGGUAUUAUUACUUAGUUAUUGCAUCAGGUGCAAGUUAUGGGUUAGCUUGUGGUCCUUUUGAAUUUUGAGCACCGUGUGACGUUCGAAGUGCAGACUCAAAGCAUUAAAAACUUGGUAUCAGAGCCUAAGGUUCAACAGGGUCCUAGGAGCCUGUAAGUUAUGUCUAGUAGAGUCUUGUGCAUGGGUGUGUAGUGCGCCACACUUAUGGAUAAGAGGCUAUAAGGAGUUUUAGGAAAAGUUUCCCUUAUUUCAAUAUUCAUAUCGUGCGAGUGAGCAUGAGAUCAAGCUAAACUCUCUUUCUAAUUCAAGUUUCCCUUUCGUUUAUAGAAUAUACCUCCCAAAAAGACCAACGAAAGAAGAACAGAAAACUAGCCAACACCUCCGCCCGUCCAGCCAGAUCCCCUGGAUGAGCAUGUUUCCCAUGCAGAAUUUAGAGCAGCUUUCACGACUCUAGCUCAUUCUGUGGCAGCCCAGCAUGAACGCCCAGAUGUUGUUCAGGCCAACCCAGUGGUUAAUACUGCUGCAGCUAGAAUUUGGGUCUUCACCCAAAUAAAUCCUCUAUCAUUUGUAGAGUCCAAAUCUAAGAAGGACCCACAGGGAUUCCUUGAUCAGGUGCAAAAAAUCACAGAUAUUAUGGGGGUGACUACUGGUGAGAGUGUUGAGUUGGCCACAUAUCAUUUAUAGAAUGUGGCUCACUCAUGGUUUAAGCAAUGGAAGGCAGAUAAAGGCAUAGAUGCAGGGGCCAUAAAAUGGGAGGAGUUUGCUACUACUUUCCUUGAUAGGUUCUUCCCACUGAAGUUGAGGGAAGCAAAGGUUUUGGAGUUUAUUAAUCUGAAGCAAGACAAUAUAACAGUGAAAGAGUAUUCUCUAAAGUUUAAUUAUUUAGCUAGAUAUGCCCCUCAUGUGGUAGUAGAUAGAAAAUCUAAGAUGAGUAAGUUUGUGUCGAGCAUAUCUAACAGUAUGGUCAAAGAGUGUAGGAUCGUAAUACUGAUUAAGGAGAUAGACAUAUCCAGGCUCAUGGUCCAUGCUCAGCAGAUAGAAGAGGCUAAGAAUAAGGAGAAGGAGAGGAAGAAUAAGAAGGCUAGAAUAGGUAGCUUUAACUUUGCUCAGCCCAAGUCAGAGGGUGGAAAUUAUUCUCAAUUCCGCCUGAAAUCUUCAGUUCUAGCUCCAUCCUCAGCCAGUGCUCCAGUGCUGAAAUUUAGAGCUGGCAAUAAAGAUAGGGCACCAGGCCCUAAACCUCAGGGUAGUGUUAGCAAUGCCCGAACAAAUUCUUUUUACCAGAAAUAUGGUAGAAACCAUCAGGGUAUCUCCAGAGCUAGCAGCGAUGUAUGUUUCGGAUGUGGCAAGCCAGGCUAAAAAAUCAGAGAUUGUCCUUAGUCAGGUUCUCAGGGUCUAUAUAAUCGUCCUUCCGCUCAGUCCAGUCGCCCAAAUCAGUAGGGUAUCGCUUUCAGUUCCACCAGUGGGCAGCAUCUAAACAGACUCUAUGCACUCCAGUCCCAACAGGAUUAGGAAAUUUCUCCUGAUGUAGUCACUGGCAUGUUAUAAGUUUAUCAUUUACAUAUUUAUGCUUUGCUAGAUCUAGGAGCUUUUUUGUCCUUUAUAACUCCUUAUAUAGCUGUUGACUUCAGAGUCAGUCCCAAAAUCCUAAUAGAGCCUUUCUUAGUCUCUACCUCAGUGGGUAAAUCUAUUAUAGUCCAACGGGUAUACAGGAACUGUUCGAUUAUAGUAUCUCAAAAAGUCACUUCAGCAGACUUAGUAGAAUUAGAGAUGACAGAUUUGAUGUUAUUCUCAACAUAGACUAGCUUCAUUCAUGCUAUACUUCAGUUGACUGCAGAAAUAGAAUUGUCUAUUUUCUAUUUCCAAUUAUACCUAUCCUUGAUGGACGGGUAGUACUUCAGCACUUAGGGGCCAGCUUGUUUCUUACCUAUGGACAAGAAAAAUGAUAUCUAAGGGAUGUAUUUAUCAUCUUAUUUGAGCUAAGGAUUUUAGUUCCGAUACUCCCAGUCUUGAGGCAGUUCCUGUAACAUGUGAAUUUCCAGAUGUGUUUCCCAAAGAUUUUCUCGGGUUCCCUCCCGAAUGGGAAAUUGACUUCGGAAUAGACCUUCUUUCAGAUACUCAGUCUAUCUCUAUCCCAACAUAUAUAAUGGCUUUACCAGAACUCAAAAAAUUAAAAGAAUAGUUGAAAAAUCUCCUAGAUAAGGAAUUCAUCAGACCCAGCGUAUCCCAUUAGGGUGCACCAAUUUUAUUCGUGCGUAAGAAAGACGGUUCUCUCAGAAUGUGUAUUGAUUACCGUCAGUUGAACAAAGUCACAGUCAAGAAUAAGUAUCCACUUCCUAGAAUCGAUGACUUGUUUGACCAACUUUAGGGUGCCAGUUACUUUUCUAAGAUAGACCUCGGAUCAGGUUAUUAUCAGCUCAGAGUCAUAGAAUAUGGCAUUUCGAUAAUAGCUUUUAGAACUCAGUAUGGUCACUUUGAAUUCGUAGUCAUGUCAUUUGGUUUUACCAAUGUCCCAGCAGCUUUUAUGGACUUGAUGAACCGUGUGUUCAAGCUGUACUUGGAUAUGUUCAUUAUAGUCAUCAUUGAUGACAUUCUUGUCUACUCCUGUAGUGAAGAUGAUCAUGUAGACGAUAUCAGAAUAGUGUUACAGACCCUCAUAGCCCAUCAGUUAUUCGCCAAAUUUAGUAAAUACGAAUUUUAGCUAAGGUCAGAAGCUUUCCUUGGUCAUAUAGUUUCCGGUGAUGGCAUUAGAGUUAAUCCUCAAAAGACCAAAGUGGUAAGAAACUGGACCAGGCCCAUCUCUCCAUCUGAUAUUAGGAGUUUCUUGGGUUUGGCUGGCUAUUACCGAUGGUUUGUUGAAGGAUUUUUGUCCAUUGCACCCCCCAUGUCCAAAUUGACUCAGAAGAAAUCCAAAUUUCAGUGGUCAGAUUCUUGUGAGAAGAGUUUUCAAGAGUUAAAGACUCGACUCACUACAGCCCCAGUUUUGACUUUACCAAUUAGUUCAAAUGGGUUUGUGGUAUAUUGUGAUGCUUCCAGAGUUGGUUUGGGGUAUGUUUUGAUGCAGAGAGGUAAGGUCAUAGCCUAUGCCUCUAGACAGUUUAAGCCUCAUUAAAAGAAUUACCCCACUCAUGAUCUUGAGUUAGCAGUUGUAGUGUUUACCUCAAAGAUUUGGAGUCACUAUUUGUAUGGAGUGCAUGUUGAUGUGUUCACAGACCAUAAAAGUCUACAAUAUGUAUUUUCUUAAAAAGACUAAAUUUGUGUCAGAGAAGGUGGUUAGAGUUGUUGAAAGACUAUGACAUAAGUAUUUUAUCUCAUCCGGGCAAAGCCAAUGUAGUGGCUGAUGUUUUCAGUAGAAUUUCUAUGGGUAGUGGUCCCCACGUGGAGGAUGGUAAGAAGAAGUUAGUUUAGUAAGUUCAUUAGUUUUCCCAACUAGGUGUCCGCUUAGUCAAUUCAGCAAAGGGUAGCGUAUGGGUGCAGAGUAGUUCAGAAUCAUCUCUGGUUUCCAAAGUAAAAUAAAAGCAAGAUAGGGAUCCCAGUUUAGUUAAACUGAAAGAGUCGAUCAGAGAUCAUAUGGUAGAGGUUUUCUCCCAAGGAGAAGAUGGUGUGUUUGAUAAAAUGUCUCAAUGAGUGAAUUAUGGACAAGUGGACCUUGUUAUGCUUUUCGAGAUCAUGCUAUGCUUUACUUUUCAUGUUAUUGAGUUCUGGGGGUAUUUAAUACCCGACAAUCUAGAUUUUUACCUAGAGCUACAACACUUACAGAACAGUCCCAGUCAUGUCACAAAACAGUAGUACUCAGUCAGUUAUAGAACUCAACAAAAUCAGUCUAAUUCAGUCAGUCAACACGAUCAGUAAUAGUUCAGUCAAAUCCAGUACAUGCUAGUAAUCAGUCCAGGGUCUAUUCAGUUGGGAGUAGGAUUCAGCACUGAGUGAACCCAAGGAUGGGGGCUCACCUGCCAGUAGAGGGUGUGAUCCUUAGAAACAGUCCUUGCAUUCCAGAAAUAUGUAGCCAGUGUAGGUUGAGACAACAACCUGCCAGUUGAGGGUUAAUGAGGUGUUUCUACCUGCCAGUUGAGGGUACCACCAUUCUCGUUCAAGGAACCUGUCAGAUGAGGGUGACUCUUCAACUGUCUUUACCCAUGGUACGGUACUAACACCCUUCCAACUGGGGUUACAGGUUGGACCCCAGUUAUCUUAUUUGGGGCAUGUUGGUUAGAUGAUUACCUCCUAUAGUUUCAGUUUUAAUCUCAACAUAGAACUCAGUUCAGUUCUACAGAACCAGGACUGUCAGACACAGUCACCCAGCUCAGUAUAGAACUCAGUUCAGUUCUACAGAACCAGGACUGUCAGACACAGUCACCCAGCUCAGUAUAGAACUCAGUUCAGUUCUACAGUAUUAGGACUGUCAGAAACAGUCAUCCAACUAACAGUAAUAUAGUUGUCAGUGAACUCAAAUAUCAGUCAUUCAGUUAUCAGAACUCAGUACCUAAUUUUAAUAUGAUCUCAGUUACAGUAUACGUAGUUAUAGGCAUAGUAUUGCAUAAUUAGUAUUUACAGUAGUUUCAUAUAUACACGUACUCUCAUUGAGUUAUAUUUAUGUUACUCAACCAGUUAUUGUUCAUGCAUAUGUACCUACGCAUUCAGCCUUGCCUCGCUUAGCAUACCAGUACAUUUAAAGUACUGACCCAUACCUUUUUUUUGCAGUAUGAUGUUUUAUAUCAUAGGUUCAGACGCACGGGCUCCUGAUCGUACUUAGCAGUCCAGCUUAUCAGCAGCAGACUUAGUGGUGAGUCCUUAUAGUUUGAGGACAGAGUUGUUAUUUCAGUGUUUCAGUAUAUUUUCAGUAGUCGUAGUUAGUUGGGGGCUUAUCCCAUCAACUUCACCUUCAGACAGUUAGAGGCUUUCAGAGACUAUUUUAGUUAGAUGUUCAGUUUUCAGUAUUUAUUUAUUAGUAUUUGAUUUCAGUUAUUAGGGGUGUUCAUGGGUCGGUUUGGAUUGGUUAUUAGUCAAAAUCAUAACCAAACCAACUUAGUCGAUUUUUAAAUUUCUAAAACCAAACCAACACAAAAAAUAACCAUCGGUUUGGUUUUUGUCGGUUUAGUUCAGUUUGGUUUUUUGGUUUAUAACUUUAGUUAAUGAUAAAAGUUGAAAUUUUUCUUAAAAAAAUCCAAUCUAACAUAUAAGAUGUCAAUCGAGUGUGUUCCUCAACCUUGAAACCAAGAUGUCAAUUUAGUGUAUACUUAGGAAAAGUCAUGAACAACACCAUACGAACGCUUCUACAAAAGUAUUUAGAAACUACAUAUAAAAGAAUGAUAUGAUAAACUCCCCAAAAGGUAAACACAUAAUUUUUUUGCUCAAUAGGGACCAAAAAAAAAGUAAAAAACUAGUGAUUAUCUAUAGUCUAAUAAAACUCACCUAUAAAAUCUCGUAGACAACAAGAUAAUUUUCACAAUUAGUAUCAUUUGAUAUUCAAAGUGCGAAAAUCACAUAGAAUUUCAUAACGUACCAUCAACUAGAUGGAGACAUAUGAUUAAAAGUGAUAUAAAUAAAGUUAAAUUCAUAAUUAAAAUUUUAAAUAUAAAAAAUAUUCAUAUUUUAUUUAUGAAUAAUAUAUAAAUAAUUUAUAUAUGCAUAUGUACGUGUGUGUGUGUGUAUAUAAAAAUAUAUAUAUAAUUUUUAUCAGUUUAGUUUGAUUAUUUUGUCAAUUAUUUUAGAGUAAAACCAAAACCAAACCACAUAAGUAGCGGUUUUAAAAAUUUUAAAUCAAACCAAACAAACCUAACCAAAUGUCAGUUUUUUUAAUUGGUUUGGUUUGGUUCACGGUUCGGUUUGGUUUUUAACCAAACUAUGAACACCCCUACCAGUUAUGAACAUUAUGGCAGAUUCAACCUAAUUUCUGCAUUAUUACGGUAUUAUUACUCAAUUAUUGUAGCAGGUACUAGUCAUGAGUUAGCCUGUGGUCCUUUGAGAUUAUGAGCACCGUGUGACGUCUGGGGUACAGACUCGGGGCAUUACACAUUUCCCAACAGCCCUUUCUAGAAAUCCGUAAUUUCCUUCUUAUUAUCAUCAGGACUUGUAAGCUUGGUUCCAUUUAUAGCCGUUAAACUCAUAAUCUGCUUUCUAUUUGUUCUUUCUUUUAUGACUACGGAGAAAUAUCUGUUAUUAUCAUCUCCUAACUGAAUCCACUGAGCUGUGGCCUUUUGUUUUAGAAUACUUUCUUCUAUGUUGCUCCAUUUCUCAAGCACAAGUAGGCAUUCUUUCUCCUUGCCUCCUAAGUCAUCAGUCCAUUUAUGGGCUAUUAACUCUUGGAUUUGCUUUAACUUCUGCCUGAAUAGAUUGAUUUUUUCAGCUGUAUUCAUGAACUCCUCCUUAUUUAGCUUCUUAAGAGCCGGUUGUAAUGCCCUGAGACUAAUCCAGACCGUUGCCAUCUUUCCGUUGUUAUGUUGUUGUCUAUAUUUCUUCUCUAUAAUAGACAAGAAUUUAGGAUGUUCAGCCCAGACAUUAAAGAACUUAAAUGUUGAUUUAGGUUUCUGUAUAUUUUUCUCCAUAGUGAUGAGUAUAGGGGCGUGGUCAGAGAUUAGGCAAUUCAUAUUGUACCUCUACAUGUCCCCAUUGCAUCAUCCAGUCCAAAUUACCAAACAAUCUGUCAAUUCUGCUACAAAUUCUAUCAGUACCAAGUUAUUUGUUGUAUCGGGUGUAGUAAUCCUCUUUCCAAGGCAAUUCAAUGAGGUGCAAGUGAUGCAAAUAAUCAGAGAGGUCUUGAAUCUCAGCCAUAGUAAUAGGUGCUCACCUUACUCUAUCUUGGGGAUAUAAUACUGCAUUAAGAUCACCUCCCAGUAUCCAUGGUUGAUUGAUAUUUUGUCCUAUACUCUGAAUUCCCUGCCAGAGCUCUUUUCUUUUCUCAACAGAGUUAAAUCCAUAAAUCACAGUGAGUAAGCACCUAACAUCUCCAGUUAUAUUAGUUACCUGACAGUGAAGGAAUUAUGUUGUAGAGCACAAUUGGACUAUGUUAUAAUAGUCACUAUCCUAUGAAAACCAAAUUCGACCAUUUACAGAUUUGUUAUAGUUACUUCUCAAUUCCCAACCAGGGCUGAUAUGAGCAAUUCGUGCAGCUUGCUCUUCUUUUACUCUAAUUUCCACAAGUCCUAUAAGUUGUAUAUGAUUGGCCUUCAUAUAGUACUUAAGUUUCUUUUGCUUAUGCUUUUUAUUGAUACCCCUUACAUUCCAAAUAACCCAACUCAUAUUAUGUUAGGAAAAACAUCCUGGAUCAGGGGAUUGUUGGAUAUUCACAACGCGUCUGAAGUUCUUUCUAUCUUCUUUCUGAAGGGCACAGUACCCAACACAGGGAAUUCCUCAUAGUUUAGUUCUUAUAUCUUCUCUUUACCUUUUUUUUACUGAGCCUCGGCUAUCUCAUCAAGUGUCUUAGGAAAGUCCUUCAUUACUGUCCUUGACUUGGUAGUUUCAGCUAGGCUAGUUGGGAUUUCUAUAAGAGGUUUGCUACAAUUUACUACUGCAAUACUCUCUUUCACAUAGAACUUUUCAGCUGGUGCCAGUGGUUGGAUAUCCACAUCCACCUCUAGGAGUUCAGCUAUAGUGAUCCCCUUUUGUUGCCAGAUUAGUUCAACCUUCUUACUACCUUGCUUCCCCCAUCUUGGUUUGGCUGGUCACUUUGGGGUGGUCUAACCUGAGAUAUAUGUCCCACUACCGAACAUUUAGGAUAGAAUUCAGGCCUCCAGUCAUAGACCACAAUCUGAGUAAACUAAUUUCCACCUGUUUCCUGCACUAUGAUUUGAUCAGGUAAUGUUCUUGUGAUAUUAACCUCUAUUAACAUCCAAUCAUAUGAGAUGCAUGUUUGUUUUGUUGUACACUCGUCUGCAUACACUAUAACCCCCACUACACUUGCUAUUCGACUCAAUAAAUCUUUUCCCCAACAGGACAUUGGAAGAUUUAGGAAUUUUACCCAUAGUGGAAUUUAUGUGGGGAACUCUUUACAGAAAUCAAAGUUCAGUGACCAAGGUUUUAGAAUGAUAGGUUUAUUAUUGAGCGUAUAGGGCCUAAAUAGAUCACCUCUUGCAUAUCCUCCAUAGAUUGAAAACGGAUGAUAUAGCAACCUUCAUUAUGAUAGUACAACUCUGGUUCUGCAGCUUGAGUCCAGAAUUGGCCAAUAUAUAUUUUCAUAGCAUUAUAACCUGGGGUAUCACCGAUAAAUUAGGAUAUCAGGGCAGGCUUCCAUUUGUUAAUUUCCCUGUCAAUUGAUUCUUGCUCCAGCUGCACAAUUGGAUUACCAUCAACUAUCCUUGGGGCAAUAUAAUUCAGAGCUAUUCCAUUAGAUGCAGCUCUAUUUUUCGCAAACAAGUUAGUCCAAGGUGCUUUGACAGUUUCCUGAGUAUCACUUCCUUCCAUCUCAACGUUGUAUUGCUCCUCUUCCACAGUAGAUAGCUCAGCUUCAUCAGGUUUAGUGGUUCCCCUAGCUACUGCUCCAUUAGUUGUUGCUUGAGUAGAUCUAGGUUUAAUGUCACUAAUCCCAAUAUCUCCCAGUGGAAUAUUACUCAGAUUCAGCUUUCGCUGAAAACCUCUUUGAUCUGAGGGUCUAGCUUCUUCUUCUAAAUUAGCUACAUAUGGCGUCGGAGUAACAUUUUUUGCAGUAUCUUGUAUCUUUUCGCUUUCUUCUGAAGUCACCACUUUCUCCAGAGCUUUAUUAGGUCUUCCUCGUCCUAUUUUCCGUCCUCGACCGCGACCUCUAGCCAUGGCAGAUCUCAGAAGCGUACGUUAGCUUAACGUGCGCCUACAACCACGUAAUUACCCUCAUACAUUCUUUAUACAUAUACAUGUCUAAUUCUAAUAAUGGGUCCAUACUCAAUAUAUCACAUGUAUAUUUUUUUCUUAUGAUUUUUCAAUUACUCUCAUCCCACAAAUAUUCUCUCCACAAAACUUUUGAUCAUUUAGUUUUGUCCUUAUGGGGUUUUAUUGAUUAUUUCACAAUUGUAGCUAAAGAAUCUAAAGUGCUUAUAUAUAUCUAUCAUACAUAUCGUGUUGUGCGUGAAUUGUUAGCCAACGAAUAUGUAAUGAUCUUUAUAGUCAUUUUUCUUGUUUUCAUAUAUUUUUGGUAUCUAGAACUUUCCUAUAACUACAUCAAGUUGUUUAUGAUUUGUUGGAACUGAUAGUUCGAUUUUCAAGUAAUUUGUUUGAGAAUUUUAGUAAUAUCAAAUAUAUUGUGAAAUUUUUAAUUUAAAUUGACAUUUGGUAGAACUAUAAUUUAUUACCCUUCUAAUAUAUUUUUGAUAUUGACUAAAUUCUUUAAGUUAUGGUAUAUUUAUAUUACUUUAUAAUAGUUUUUUAUAGUCUAUUAAUAUUUUAAGUGGAGAUAUUAAAUCUAGAUAUGUUAAAAUAUUAGUAUUAUAUAAUAGAGGUUUUAUUAAAAAUAAUUUUCUAUUAAUUAUGGUAGAUUUAAAAUAUUAUAUUUAUUUUACCACAAACCUAAUACCCAAAUAUAUAUAUAUAUAUACUGGUUUAGCUGUACGUGCCUCGCGCAUGUACCUCACUUUAUUGAGUUCAAACAUUACACUAAAUAGUACAUUUGCUUAUAUAAUAAGGAUGAAUACAAUAAUUAAAUUCAACAUCUUUUGGAGAAUUUAUUUAAUUAAACCUAACUUUUACCAAAAAAAAUUGUCAAAGUCGAUCGACAUUCAUCUACCACCUGUAACUGCAAUAAAAUAAUACGAUGAUAGAGACAUCAAAAUAAUAUAAUUAAAUUUAACCUUUACACAAAAAAUUUCUCAAAGGCAUCUGAUACUCAUCUACCACUUGUAAACUAUAACAAAAUAAUACGAUAAUAGAGAUAUCAAAAUAAUACAACUAAAAUUUUUAUCUACAAAAAUUUCUCAAAGUCGACCGACAUCAUCUACCACCGGUGCACCUGUCAUUUCAUCUACGACCUGUAAACUACAACAAAAUAAUACAAUAGUGAUCACGAAGCUUCGAUUUUGAUGAAAACUAUUCUUGUCUGAGUGAAAAUUUUUAUCCUAAAAAAUGAUGUGAAUGAAAAACAAAGAAGAUAUAUACACACACGGUUGAAUUCUAUUAUGUUGACAAAGAGAGUGAAGAAGUUGAGGGUUAAAAUAUUAAGCAUCCACCAAUCUAGACAUGUAACUGAAUCAAGUAAUAUGAACAUCAAUCAUAUUUUCCCAAUAAGUAAACCAAAUUCUUCUCUAGUUUAACAUGCAUCUCAAUAUUUAUAAAAGUAUUUCCUUAAUAGAGUUCUAUUUUAGAAGUAUUUUUCUAUUCUAUUUUAGGAGUAUUUUUCUAAUAGAUCAGUACAAAAAAAAUAUUAAUUAAUUCUCCUUCCUAUAUUUUAGGAGUCUAAUAAAAAUUAAUGUUGGAAUCAUAUAAAAUUGAGGAAAGAAAAAUAAGAAUUUUUAGCUAACAUACCUAAUGCAAUAAAUCUGCCCAUGUCUCUUGCCAUAUUUAUAGAUUUCUUUAAUACUCUUUAUUAAUUAUCAUAUUUUUUAUUACUCCCUUUUCACUUACAAAAUAAAAUCAGCCAAAAUUUAUUUUUCAUAUAUUUUUUCUCUUACCAUAUAAUUUAGGACUCCUUAAUCUUUUAAGAUUAUAAUUAAUUUUAUAAAGUUAAUUAAAUAAUAAUUAAAGAAAAUUAGUGAAAAGACGAUUUUGUCAAAAGGAAAGACUUUAAACGAAGGGUAAAAAAUUCAAAUCAUAUUUCUAAGGGUUUUCAUACUUUUAAUAUCAUACUAGUUCCGAGUACGUGCGUUGCACGUGUAUCUCAUGUUAAUUACUAAAAUUAUAUAUAAAAAAACUAAUUAUUAAAAAAUAGCAAGUGAUAUUAAAGUAAAUGUUAUAUUCAUUUAAAUAAUAUAAAUAAAUAUUAAUGGUAUAUAAUUAGUUUUAAAGUUUUAAAUAUCAACAAUGACUUUUUAUAAUUUAUGUGGAAGGAAAGAUUUAAUAAACCAACACUCUUUGCUCUUCAAUCCCUCCGAAAUCUCCUUGUAACUCGAUAAAAGGACCACCCUAUUCAUUCCGUAUUCUCACUAUCAUUACUGACAACCUCCACACUAUUCCUUCCUCUGCACCUUUACCCUUCUCCUUAACUCUUUUUAUUUUUCGAUAAGCCUUAUUAACUUUCAUACAGGUCAUGGGUUGAAGGAUAAAAAAGUUAUUCCGCUAUGCAAUUUAAAAAUUGCAAGAAAAAAAAAUUAAAAUCUUUUAUUAAAAGGCUAAUAAUACAAUAGUUUUACCACUAACAAUAUAAAUUUUAAAAAAAGAUAUAUGUCAAUCAUAUUAACGGGUUUUAGAUCCCCUUUCGUGUGAAUCUUUGUCGUCCAUUUACUCUAUUUGUCAUGUUUUGCAUCUCGAAAGUCAAACUAUAUGAAUUUUGAUUAGUAUUUUAAAAUGUAUUUUUCAUCAUAUUAAUAUGAGAAUGAUAGCAUCUUAUAACAUAUGUCGUAUAGUUCUCAAUCAUCUAAAUUUUAAAUUUAAAAUUUUUAAUUAAUAUUAAUCUACUUUGAUUUAGCUUUGAUAUUUAGUCAAAUUGACUUUCAUAAGUGAAAUGUGACAAAUUCAAAAAAAUGAAAAAAAUAAUAUUUGUUAUUACACAAAAAUGCCAUACAAAUAAUGUUUUACUAAAAAAAUCUACCAACAUUUCACUCAGUUAAUUUGAAUAGGUAUCUUGCACAUAUUAUUUUACCUAAAAUAUAUGAAAAUCUUACUAUUACUCUCACAAUGCACGUGUAGUUCAUUUCACUCGGUAAUUAUAAAGAUCGUUAGUUUUCACAUGUAAGAAAAUUAUUCCCUGAAUUUUUAUUAUAUAAGCAUGAUGUUAUGUACAUUUUUGUAUAAAUAAUUUAUAUACCUUUUAAGUAAACGUUAUGUCGAGAAGAAAGACUGAUAAAGUCAUUUAAUGACACUAUUACUUCGAAAGAGUUUUAAAAAAACUUUGAAUAAUAAUUCAAAUAAGGAAAGACUUUGUGCUUAUGCAAAUAGAAUCUUAUUUAAUAUUAAAUUUUUAAAUAAUUGAAAUUCUUAUAUUAUAUGGUUUGAUUUAGGAGAAAAAAUUAAUAGUCACAAUUUUAUUUAAAUUGAAAGUACUAAUUGUUAGAAAAAGUUAAAUGGAUAAUUUAUAUAGUGUACAACAACGACAACAUAAUGAGUAUCAAUUGUUUCAUUUCAUAGGUUUGGACUAUCGAAUUUCUUUGACCUCAAUUUCAAGAACGUGUCAAUUGCUUCUUUAUUAUCUUCUUUGCAAGACUUAUAUGACAUCCUCGAACAACCAUCAGGAAUUCUCUUUGACUUAUAAUUUCUGCAGAAUCGAGUCCAAAUCGGUACAAGCACUUGCACACUGGUCCAUGAUUGAUGUUACAAAUGCUAAACUUCCCACAAUAUUUAGACAGAUUAGACGCAUCUUUUGGCACUAACCACAUCAACGGCCAUCCUCUUAUCUCUUUAUACCAAUUGUAGAAUUGUACUUCUCCAGAGGAAUUCAUUAAGAGUCUAUACUUAGCUUAUUGAAUGGUCUUGUUGAAUCCAACAACUUAUUGACAAUAUCAUUCUCAGUGAAGUUGGAUAACAUGUAGGCUACAAAAUUAGGCAUCUCACCGAAGCAAAAGUGUUCAGAAAUAGCUAAUUUCACAAUUUUUUUCCAGUGAAUUACACCCUGCUUCGAAAAUAUAACAUAUUUGCUCCUAGAAAGGUUUUUCAGUUCUUGUGUUUACUGCUAUCUUCCUAUCCUCUCUCAAUUGUCAAUGAUUUCUAAAUGAUGGGGAGUCUCUUAAUAGUAGCUUCCAACUCUUAAAAUUGACCUUCUCAAGCACCAGAUAUGAAUGUUUUCUGAAUUUCAUACUAAGUAUACAUAAAAGGAACAUAUCACCAUUACAUAAUAAUUAAGGAGAAAAAAUAGAUAUAGAGAACAAAAUUUUAUUAUUGAUAUCUUAAGUCAAUAAUUUGAGAAAAAAAAUGAAUUAUACAAAAUAUAAAAUUUUCAAGUAGAUAAAGAAAAUUUAAAGUGGAAAAAUUUGAGAGAUAAUCAUUAUAAUAUAAUCUUAGUUCGACACAUAUCCACCUUUAUACAUUUCAUGGCACCAAUCAUUAGUCGUUCUCUCAACAUUUCAUUGAUUUAUGGUUACAAUCCUUCCUAUUGCUCUUUGCAGAAUUGUCUUAGCAUUUCCUCUUCAUAUAUACGACAAAGUCUACUAUCGAUCUUCAAUUUAUAACAUAUUCUCUGAAGUAAAACAAUAUAAUAAAUGAAGUUAACUUGCUAUAAAAAGCAAGCAACAAACACGUCUAAAACUUGACGAAACUCUUGAUGCUCUUAAAACUGACUAUUCUAAGUUACUUCAUAUUGAAGAACACACACAAACAUGUAUCUUUUAAUUUUGUAUUCGAUUCUAACUUGUAUUGUAUUAUAGCUGUCAAUCAAAUUUGAAGUCUAUUUCGCUACUAAUUCAAAAAGUUUCACUUUUAGUUAUUUUCAACAUCCUAAACAUUAGGCCAAAACUGAAAUAACUACAAAUUUCAUCAAAAAGAUAAUUUAAAUUUGAUAAGACAAAAAAGCCUUCUAAUAUUUGAAGAAUAUUUUCUACGAAUGUGUGUUGCAACAUUUGAAAUUUAUUUCAAUAAAAAGAUAUUUAGUUUUUACAAUGAAUAAAAGUCGUCUAAUGUUUGAGUGAUAUUUUAUACGAACGUCCAUUAUAUGCAUAUUCCUUGCCAAUAAUUGUAGUUUAUGUUAAAAAUAAUAAAUUGUACUUGCAGAUGAUCACCUAAUAUUAAAAUUUCAGAUAAUUAAAUAUUGUUAAAACCCUAGAGCAAAUCAUAUUUUAUAUUUGCAAGACAUAAGGUGACAAAAUAAAUUCUCACGAGCCAUUAAAAUAUUUUUUGGAUAAGUUUGACAUUUGUUUAUAAACUUAAAAUAAUUAAUCUUAGUAGAAUUAGCAUUUAUCUAUGAUUCAUAAUCUCUAUCCAAAACUUCAAUUUGUAUCUAUCAAAAAUGUAUAAAUUCCGGCUAAACUUAACGUAAUUGAAAUAUAAUUAAUAGUUGAGACCACCUAUGCAGUCUGGCCUUUUAAUUCGUAAUAGUAUAGAUUUUGUAAUUUCAAUUUAAAGUCCUUAAAAAAUCAAACAUGAAGUCUAAAUCUUAAAAAAAAAAAAAACAGAGACUACCAAUUUACAAAUCUUGAUACCAAUUCUAAUUGAAGGAGUCUCAUCGCUUAUUUGGUCAAAUUUAUUUUUUUGCUCAAAAAUAUUUUUUUUUCCAAAAAAAUAUGUUUGUUUUUAAAAAUUGAGGUGAACUUUUGAAACUAAACAAGUUCUUUCAGAGAGUUCAGCUUGAUUAGUCUUUUGUUUCAAUAUUUAUCUAAUUAUGGUAAUUAAUAAGUAUUAAAUAUUCCAUAACUUAUGCAUGCCAUGUGUUUUAGUCAUUCAAUCAACAAUACACAUAUAUCAAAUAUUAGACUCUAAAUAAAGAAAUAAAUUAACAUAAUAUUAACAAAGCAUUUAGAUUACUCCAUUCUUACAUAACUUUAGAAAGCAAAACUAUACUUCAUUUCAAAGAACACAGAGAAAAUAUCUCUUGUAACUAAAGUAAUAAAAUACUCGAAAAAAGAAAAACUAUAUCCCCAGAAAUAAUCUAAACAUAAUAUUCUUAUCGAACUACUAAAAUAAGGCCUUCAUUCAUAUUUUGCUUAAUCAAAAUUAAAAUAAUUACAUAGUGUCAGCAUAUAAUCAUAUUAUUUCAUUAUUGACCUUAUAUUAGAUUAUUUAAAAAUAACAUUUAAAGCAAAAAAAGAGCUCAAAUUUGAUCUAUUGAAUAUAAAACAUACCGUCUUUUAUUUCCCACUUAGAGACAUAUCAAUUAUAAUUACUCGCAUAACGGUUAUCAAAUCAUCUUUGCUUAAAUAAUAAAGAUGAAUAUAAUAAUUAAAUUCAAUAUCUUUUGGAGAAUUUAUUUAAUUAAACUUAACCUUUACCAAAAAAAAUUCUCAAAGUCGAUCGACAUUCAUCUACCACUUGUAAACUGAAAUAAAACAAUGCGAUGAUAACAGCAACAACAACAAACCCAAUGUAUUCCCACCUAGUGGGGUCUGGGGAGGGUAAGAUGUAUGCAGUCCAUACCUCUACCUCUAAAGAAGUAGAAAGGUUGUUUCCGAUAGACCCCCGGCUCAAGGCACGAGAUACCACACAGACACAUAGUAAAGCACAGCACAAGAUUACAUAACAUAAAUACGGCACCCAUAAGUAAUAUACAACAGAGGAAAGCACCCAGAUUCGUAAUAAAACAUGGAACACGGAAUCAUAACAGGAAUCAAACCCCCACCAAGUAAUNNNNNNNNNNNNNNNNNNNNNNNNNNNNNNNNNNNNNNNNNNNNNNNNNNNNNNNNNNNNNNNNNNNNNNNNNNNNNNNNNNNNNNNNNNNNNNNNNNNNNNNNNNNNNNNNNNNNNNNNNNNNNNNNNNNNNNNNNNNNNNNNNNNNNNNNNNNNNNNNNNNNNNNNNNNNNNNNNNNNNNNNNNNNNNNNNNNNNNNNNNNNNNNNNNNNNNNNNNNNNNNNNNNNNNNNNNNNNNNNNNNNNNNNNNNNNNNNNNNNNNNNNNNNNNNNNNNNNNNNNNNNNNNNNNNNNNNNNNNNNNNNNNNNNNNNNNNNNNNNNNNNNNNNNNNNNNNNNNNNNNNNNNNNNNNNNNNNNNNNNNNNNNNNNNNNNNNNNNNNNNNNNNNNNNNNNNNNNNNNNNNNNNNNNNNNNNNNNNNNNNNNNNNNNNNNNNNNNNNNNNNNNNNNNNNNNNNNNNNNNNNNNNNNNNNNNNNNNNNNNNNNNNNNNNNNNNNNNNNNNNNNNNNNNNNNNNNNNNNNNNNNNNNNNNNNNNNNNNNNNNNNNNNNNNNNNNNNNNNNNNNNNNNNNNNNNNNNNNNNNNNNNNNNNNNNNNNNNNNNNNNNNNNNNNNNNNNNNNNNNNNNNNNNNNNNNNNNNNNNNNNNNNNNNNNNNNNNNNNNNNNNNNNNNNNNNNNNNNNNNNNNNNNNNNNNNNNNNNNNNNNNNNNNNNNNNNNNNNNNNNNNNNNNNNNNNNNNNNNNNNNNNNNNNNNNNNNNNNNNNNNNNNNNNNNNNNNNNNNNNNNNNNNNNNNNNNNNNNNNNNNNNNNNNNNNNNNNNNNNNNNNNNNNNNNNNNNNNNNNNNNNNNNNNNNNNNNNNNNNNNNNNNNNNNNNNNNNNNNNNNNNNNNNNNNNNNNNNNNNNNNNNNNNNNNNNNNNNNNNNNNNNNNNNNNNNNNNNNNNNNNNNNNNNNNNNNNNNNNNNNNNNNNNNNNNNNNNNNNNNNNNNNNNNNNNNNNNNNNNNNNNNNNNNNNNNNNNNNNNNNNNNNNNNNNNNNNNNNNNNNNNNNNNNNNNNNNNNNNNNNNNNNNNNNNNNNNNNNNNNNNNNNNNNNNNNNNNNNNNNNNNNNNNNNNNNNNNNNNNNNNNNNNNNNNNNNNNNNNNNNNNNNNNNNNNNNNNNNNNNNNNNNNNNNNNNNNNNNNNNNNNNNNNNNNNNNNNNNNNNNNNNNNNNNNNNNNNNNNNNNNNNNNNNNNNNNNNNNNNNNNNNNNNNNNNNNNNNNNNNNNNNNNNNNNNNNNNNNNNNNNNNNNNNNNNNNNNNNUCUCUCCCAGAUCUUCAUAGAGUGGCUCCAUAACUUAAUCCCCCUAUAGUUAUUACAACUCUGAAUGUCCCCCUUAUUCUUAUAGAGGGACCAUGGGACUCCACCUCCACGCCUCGGGCAUCUUUGCCGUCCUGAAGAUUUCAUUGAACAAUCCAGUCAACCACCUUACACCGGCCUCUCCAACGAAUUUCCAAAACUCCACCGGUAUCUCAUUCGGCCCCGUCGCCCUACCCCUUCACAUCCUGCGAAUAGCCUGUCUAACCUCUUCUACCUUAAAACGUCUACAAUAGCUAAAAUCCCGACACUCCUCUGAGUGCUCCAGUUCCCCUAACACAAUAGCUCUAUCCCCUUCGUCAUUCAAGAGCCUACGAAAGUACGACUGCCAUCUAUUCUUAAUGUGGCCGUCCUCCACCAACACUCUACCGUCCCCUCCCCCUUGAUGCACCUCACCUGAUCGAGGUCACGACCCUUCCUCUCCCUAGCCUUAGCGAGUCUAAACAACUUUUUCUCCCCUCCUUUCCGCUGUAACCCUGCAUACAAGCUCUCAAAAGCGGCCGUCUUAGCUGCCGUGACUGCUGACUUAGCCUCCUUCCUCGCUAGCUUGUACUCAAAAUAAUAUAAUUAAAUCUAAUUUUACACAAAAAUUUUCUUAAAGCCAGAAGGAGUUGAGGGUCAGAAAAUUAAAUAUUCAUCAAUCUAAACAUAAAGAAAAGUUGAGGGUUAGAAAAUUAAACAUCCACCAAUCUAGCCAUAAAAAAGAAGUUGAGGUUUAGAAAAUUAAGCAUCCACCAAUCUAGACAUGUAACCGAAUCAAGUUAGAUGAGUAUCAAUAAUAUUUUUCAAUAAGUAAACCAGUUUCUUCUCUAGUUUAAUACUAUUGACGAUCGUCAUACAAUAAAGAGCAAUCCUAAUGAUGACAUUGGUAAGAAUUCAAUACCUGUCAAACAACAUUGUACCUAUAAUACAUAGUAAGAAUUAACCAAAAAGAAAAAAAACAUAAAAUGUCAAUAUUAAUAUAAAGGAACUGUAAAGAUUAAUAUCUCAUAUUGACACCUAUAUAUUAAACGAAAAAAUUAUUUAAAUGACACAAAUUAAAUUUACCCUCCCAUCAUAUAACAAAUGUAGAAAGAAUCGAUGGUAAUUACAAUCUAAAGAUUUGAAAGAAAAAGAAAAUUGAAAAGAAAAUUGAUUUAACCUCUUGAUAUGUGAAUACUGAUACAAUCUUUUUAUUCUUCGAGAAUAACAUAAUUUUUAGACUUUAAAUAAAGGUUGAAUACAAUAUGAAAGAGUAUCCUAAACAAACAAAAACUCAAAUAACCCUAAACCUAAUUAAAUAUAUACAUACGGAAGUUUUUAGUUUCUCAUUAAAAAUAAUUAUAGUAAUUAUAAUUAUAUUAGAAAAUAGGAUACAAUAUGAAAGAGUAUCCCAAACAAACUCAAAUAACCCUAAACCUAAUUAAAUAUAUACACACGGCAGUUUUUAGUUUCUCCACAAAAAAUAAUUAUUGUAAUUAUAAUUAUAUUAAAAAAAUAAUAAAAAGAUGAUUUUAUCUAUUACAAAUAUUUUAAUGAAGGGCAAAAAAUUUAAAUUACUUUUCCAAGGAUUUUCACACUUUUAAUAAAUAUAAUAUAAUUAUAUUAGAAAAUAGGAUACAAUAUGAAAGAGUAUCCUGAACAAACAAAAACUCAAAUGACCCUAAACCUAAGUAAAUAUAUACACACGACAGUUUUUAGCUUCUCCACAAAAAUAAUUAUAGUAAUUAAUAAUUAUACUAAAAAUAAUAAAAAGACGAUUUUAUCUAUUACAAAUAUUUUUAAUGAAGGGCCAAAAGUUCAAAUCACUUUUCUAAGGCUUCACACUUUUAAUAUAUUAUAGAUAUGCAAUUACCAAAAAACCCCUCCACUCCCACUUAAUUACAUACCAUUCCUCAAUAUAUAAUAAUUCUAUUAUUUCAUCAUAAUGAUUUAAAUAUUUAAUAUAUUCUAUUGAUUUAUAUUAAUUAACUAUAACUACUUAUUGGAAGUAAAAAAAAUAUUUAUUUAAUUGGCUAUCAUGUUCAAAACUAAUUUGUUACCAUGAAUCACAAUAAUUAAUAACUUAAAAUAUUUAAAAGACAUAUAGAAAUUUUAUUGACUCUCAUUAUUUUAGCAAUGCCACAUAAAUUGAGAUAAAAGAAAAAGUAUUGCAAAUCAUAAUAAUUAACAACUUAAAAUAUUUAAAAGAUAUAUAAAAAUUUUCGUUGAUUCUAAAAAUUGUAUCGAAGCCACAUAAAUUGAGACACAAGAGAGUCAAUAUAUUAUUUGAUAAUUACGUAAAAAAAUAUUAUAAAUCACAAUAAUUAACAAGUUAAAAUACUUUUUUAAAAAUAGAUAAAAGUUCUAUUCAACUCUCAAAAUUUUAUCGGUGCACCAUAAAUCAUGACAAAAUAAAAAUUAAUUUUGAUUAAUUGCAACUAAAUACUUAAAGUAAAUCAAUUUUAUUAUUUUAAUUGACUUUUAUAUAGAAAAUUANNNNNNNNNNNNNNNNNNNNNNNNNNNNNNNNNNNNNNNNNNNNNNNNNNNNNNNNNNNNNNNNNNNNNNNNNNNNNNNNNNNNNNNNNNNNNNNNNNNNNNNNNNNNNNNNNNNNNNNNNNNNNNNNNNNNNNNNNNNNNNNNNNNNNNNNNNNNNNNNNNNNNNNNNNNNNNNNNNNNNNNNNNNNNNNNNNNNNNNNNNNNNNNNNNNNNNNNNNNNNNNNNNNNNNNNNNNNNNNNNNNNNNNNNNNNNNNNNNNNNNNNNNNNNNNNNNNNNNNNNNNNNNNNNNNNNNNNNNNNNNNNNNNNNNNNNNNNNNNNNNNNNNNNNNNNNNNNNNNNNNNNNNNNNNNNNNNNNNNNNNNNNNNNNNNNNNNNNNNNNNNNNNNNNNNNNNNNNNNNNNNNNNNNNNNNNNNNNNNNNNNNNNNNNNNNNNNNNNNNNNNNNNNNNNNNNNNNNNNNNNNNNNNNNNNNNNNNNNNNNNNNNNNNNNNNNNNNNNNNNNNNNNNNNNNNNNNNNNNNNNNNNNNNNNNNNNNNNNNNNNNNNNNNNNNNNNNNNNNNNNNNNNNNNNNNNNNNNNNNNNNNNNNNNNNNNNNNNNNNNNNNNNNNNNNNNNNNNNNNNNNNNNNNNNNNNNAUACUUUUAAAUAUUGUAUGUGUGUAUAUGUAUGUAUAUGUGUGUGUGUGUGUAUAUAUAUAUAUAUAUAUAUAUAUAUAUAUAUAUAUAUAUAUGAGGCAAUAGCAACUUUCCACGUGGAAGGAAAGGGAGGUUACAACAAAUUAUCUUAAGUGGUGUUAUGCCAUAACUUGCAUAGAUUAGUGAACAGUUAAGUACAGAGGGGUGGUGGGGUAGGUAUUUAAGCAUUUACAUUAGUUAAUUUCAUAGAAAUCUCACCUAGGAUCUGUGAUGUUUACCUUGUUAUCCAAUAACAACAUGUUCUGCUUUGUAUAUCCAUAGGCAUAUUAACUUAAGUUUUUAGGAAAAAGUUUACUACUUGUAUUGAAUUUCCAACUAGAAAUCAAGUUAUUCAAGUUCAGGUUUUAGUGACACUAGUUGGAGGUUUUGCAAAAAGAUAUUUUAGUUUUGACGUUCAGAUAGGUUAGACUUAUCCUAUUUUUAGAUUGAGCUCAUUUAUGGUAAUUGUGUACUAUUAUGCUAGUUUUGGACAAGUAUUAAUUUGAAUACAUGUUCAAUUGAGUGUAAUAAAGUUGUUGAAAUUAAAAGACUUUCACUCUCUGUAGUUGAUGAAAAUGAAGCAUUGACUUUGUUUGAUGACGAUGUCAUUAACUUUAUAACAGAUUGAAACAAGACGGUUGUGAAGGUGAAGUAACUUUACAAGAACAAAGCAGCUCUCAUUUCAGUGAUGCAAAAGUAUUUCAUCUAGCAUAGAUUUAAUUUCACAAUUGAGAGAUCUGAGUAUCCGACAAAUAGAUGUAUUUUUUUGAAGGUUACUAUUUUGUGAGUGUUGAUACAUUUUAAUUUAAGUAAUUAGUUACGUGAUUGAAGAAAAUAGACAAUGCUCAAUUGAUGUGAAAUUGAAAUAACUUGAAAUUACGCAAUUUAUUAUGCGUAAUAAUGAUUUUGAUUUUUUUAUUUCUUGAUACGUUAUAUGAUUCAUAUUAGACAAUGGGACUAUGAAAAUGUAUUUGGUCACUAAUAUAAAUUUGAUUUUUUAUUUUGAAUUUUUAUAAAUAAUUUAGAGUGGAAAUUGUUAGGUUUUUGUCUUGAUUUUCUUACUAUAUUUAAGUUUUACUUUUUCUUAGAAUGAAAAUAAAAGUUAUCAUAAUUACUUUUACUUUUCCUGAAAGAAAAAAUAUAAUUCUUUUCCAUAUUUGUCUAAUCUCUUUCUUAGAGGAAAGGUUUUGGACAUCUAUAAAUAGAAGACUCCCUUCCCAUAUCAUAACACAAUGACAUUCAUAAUGUAAUCUUUAAAGAGUCUUUGUUUAGGGGGAGAUUUCUCCCAAUAAGUUUUAGGAUUUUCAAUUUUAUUUUUAAUAUGUAGGCCGUUUGGCCAAACCAUAUUCAAUAAUAUAUUUUUAGUUUAAUUUUUCAUGUGUCGUCUGAUUUAUCGUCUUAUGGUUUGCAAACUAAAAGCUUCCGCAUGACGCCCUCUCGAUUUCGAACCCAACAGAAAUAGCUUUUCUUUGUUUUAAAAUUUUUGAAAAUUCUAAAAUUCAAUUUCAAGUUAAAUUUCAAAAAUUUAUGAUCAUAACAUAUUUUUCGAUAUUCAAUUCCCGUAAUUUUAAAAAAAUAAAAUCACGAACAAACACGCUUAAAUACUUUAUUAGUUUUCUCUAACUAGAAAAAUUCUUCCUUCUUUUGUAAAGCCACUAUUUUAUUGGUGGGAUUUUAGGUUAUACUAUAUUCCCUUUCUUUUCAUUUCAUAUAUUGCAAAAAAUAUUGGAGAGGUGGGGCUAGAUUUCCAAUCCUCUCGUGAGUUACAUAUGUAUGGUGAAAGGGAGAGUAACGUCGAUCCAAACAACUUUUCACAUAUUCUUAUGAAUUCACAUGCUAAAAUUUUAUUAAAUAUUCACGAGAGAAUGGAUGUAUUUAAUUGUUCUUUUUUUCUUGUUUGUACAACUUUAUGCUUUUUUUAAAAAAAAAGUUAUUAUCUUUUUCUCAAUUCCAAAUUUAAUAAAUUCAAAUUAGUGAGAGGAGAAUUUAAAUUUUUGAUUUUAUGUAUUCAGUAUUAAGGUUUUAUUAUUGAACUCACUACAAUUUUAAAUUAUGAGUUUAUUAUGUCUAUUCAAAAUAUCUGUUAACAUAAUUUUUAUAAAUUUUUAUAUGUAAACAUACUGCAUCAAAGAUACUGAAUUCAGAUAUAUCGAAGUUUGUAAGGCUACAUACGUGGUUGUCUUGUCCAAAUUUGCAUUUUUUUUUAAUAGCCGUAAAGUAAGUUAGAAGUUUUUUCAGAAACUACAAGGUUUGUGAAUUACAAAAUAGGAUUGAAUUAAUUUUUUUAAAAGAUUAUAUUGUUAUUUAUUUAUUUGGAACUAAACUUCAUCUCUUUCCUCCAAUUAUAAUUUUUUGCUUAACUUGAGAAUUGUUAUAAAAAAAGUUGAAGGGUAAAUUAAUUUAAUCAAACAAGUUAUUUUGAAAUUGAAUUUUAUUUUGUUCUAAAUUAUUUAGUUGCUAGUCUCAUGCCCUUUUAUCUUUUAAUUUUAUUCAAUAGAAUUUAAAUCGAGGCAUAACAAAAUUUUGAUUUGAAUUGUUUACAAAUCAAAGGGAAGUAAAUUGAUUAACUUAAAUUAUCUACAGAAUUCACAAUCACGUUUUAUUGUUUUUUUUUUUAAACAAUCACGUUUUAUUGUUUUUUUUUUAAAAAAAAUGAACAUUUAAUUAAUAAAUCAACCCCUUAUAUUGCAACAUAUGAUAGGUCUACAUUAAAAAUUGUGGCACUCCUAUAGCCACAAAUUAAACAUUGAUCACAUGAAAAAUAAAAAAAAGUAGAGAAUAAUCGAUAUUUCUUGAAGCUAUUUUCUAUUAUCGUCUAUUUCAUUUGAAAUUUUCGAUUAAGGAUAUUUAAUUUAUCAAAUAUCUUAGAUUUUUCUUGUGUGUCCAUAACACAAAGGGGUGGACCUAGAUCACAUGACCCGAUACUUUACAACAAAUUUUUUGGGCUCUUUUACUUGAACAUGAUAUUGAACAAAUAUUCUUUCCAUUUUUUCAGUAUCUCAUUUGCUAAUUUUGAUCGUAUUGUCGCCCACUUUCUUUUAAUUAGCUUUAUUUGUGUGUGUAUUAGAUGAUAGAAUUACUUGUUAGGUGAUUGAGGUGAUGUGUUAUUUGAAGAUAAUUUGAUAACAUAGUGACAAAACUUCUCAAUCGAUGACAGAAAUGACGAAUCUUUCAAUUGAUGAGAUUUUUCAAGAUUGAAUUAUUUUUAUAUAUUCGUGUAUCUUUCAUGUCAAACGCGUAGGAAUAUCUAAAAAAUGGGGGGGAAAAUGAAUCAGAUCAAUUAAUUAAACAAUCAACACAUAUUUUGAUUUGAUUUGAUGCUCAGUUUUUUUUACAAAGAGAUAAUAAUAUUUGAUUCAGUUCUAUCUUGAGCCAAAAAAUGAAAAGAAAGAAAGAAAAAUAACCAAUAAUACACAACAAACGUAUGCUGACUAUUUGAUGAAUAUAUUCGAUCAUUCAAUUUUAUUGAUUAUUAUACCAUGUAUUUAGAUGAUUAUUCAAUUUUAUUGAUUAUUAUACUAUGUCUUUAGACGUUCUUUAUCGAAUGUUAUUUUUAAAAGGUUUAUGGGGAGAUCUCCCAUUCCCUAAGAGUCGGUGCAAAGUGAUUCUCAUUCUCACCGCAACUUUAUCAAGCCGAAAGAAUCUUACUCUAUAGAAAGAAGCCUAUUCCUAAACUCUUCCUCUUUGUUAGCUUUUUGUACCUCCUCGACUUCUCAGUUCUCGAAUAAAAAGGACAAAGAAAAAAGAAUCGAACUUCACGAAGACCAAAUCAAAAACUAUUAGACGUCUCACAACUCUUCUUGUUGAAUUUUUCAAAUAUUGAUCUCUUUUAAACAAUAACUUUAGAAGUAGUUUACUGGUGCAAAUGAUCACUUAUUAUCAUAAAAUUAGCAAUUUUCUUUCGUAAUAAGGAACCAUUAUCUAUACGGUUAAAUUUUAUAUUUACUAAGGUGAUAUAAUUUAUUUAUUUUUUUGUACCUGGCUAGAUUUUAAAUGUUAAAUAUUUCUCCUGAACAACAAACUAAAGUCACCACCAUUGCAAAUUGUCCAUUGCUAUUUUUGUCAAAACUUUUGAUCCAUUUCAAAAAGGAAUGGACCAACUAUACCAACUUGGGCCAGGAAUAAGAGGAACAGGCCCACAACAGCGAGACGCCCACUCGAGCAAGGGUGAAGGCGCUUGAGACCAACAGGGAUGGUGAAUGCACACUAACUUGAGACCGAUCGGGAUGGUGAAUGCACACUAAGGGGUCGAUUGGUUUGAGGUAUAAAAAAUCAAAGGGAUAAGUUAUCUCGGGAUAAAAUAAAAGAUCACUUAAUUCCUUGUUUGAUUGGAGGGAUUAAUCCAACCUGGGAUAACUUAUCCCAUAUACAUGUUAGGAUAAGUUAUCUUGGGUAAUCCCGAAGUAACUAAUCCCGAGAUAACAAUUUCCCAACCAAACGACCCUUAACAGACAACUAAAAGGAUGAUGUGUUAGGUAUCUUAUAAGGCACUUACAACCUUCAGCGAAAUCGCAUAUAACACACGCUAAUGGACAUGCUAUUUCCAACGGCACAUGGCGUUUUCCCAUUGGUCGCAGGCAUUAUUGCCGCCUUAUAAGUAGAGACCCCCUCCUCCAUUGUAAAGAAUCAGAUGUUUGCUCACCUUUAUCCUAUAAGCAACACAAUAAACUCUGAUUUGGUUCUUAGGCUUUCUCUACUUUUCUUUUGUUGUUUGAGCUUUUGUUAUUGCUUUCUUACUAUCAUAUGCCCGUUCACAAUUGUAUGAAUAUUUAGUGGAAUUGCACAUUAAAAACUCCUUAAUUUUACAUUCCAACUCCGCCACAUUCAUCUCUAAUGUGAUUCGCUCGUAUUAUUUACUUUUCUGCAGACGCAAACCGUUAAUCCAAAGCUAAAAGGCCUCAAUGCAUGCUCUCGACCAACACAAAAAUCUAACAAUCCCAAAUCGGCAAUAAAUGGUCCCAUAUGCGUGUUCUGAGGAAAAUGAACUAUAUACAAAUCUUAUCUCUAUCUUCAUAAGGCAGAGAAGUUAAUUUCGAUGGACCUUUGCCUCAAUAAAAUCAUAUUUCAGAGUAGUUUAAAUCGAACAUGUUUUAAAAGUAAAAUUUAUAGUAAAACUUAUAUAAAUUUCAAAAAGUUUACCCCUAAUUGCUCUCUAUCCUUACUCUUUGCUAAAUUAAAAAUAAUUUCUUAUUUAUAAUUUUUGAAUACAUAAUCAACAUCCGGAUAUAUAAUAUUGAAGUUGAGCUACAGAGUUUUGAACUUAAGAAAGUACCAAUUAACUAAUUAAUUUUUGCUCGGAUACAUAAUUAACAUUCGAAUACAUAAGUUUAAUUACUGAGAUGUAUCCAUUUCAUAAAUUAUUUGGUUCAGAUAUACAAUAAAUUAAGUAGAUCAAAAGGAGAUGCAUAAUUAAAAUUAUGUAUCUGAAAAUUUAUGCAUUUAUGGAUAUAUUCAGUUGUUUUUAUUUUAAAAAUAGAUUUAGGUAAUUAAUAAAAAUAAUAAAUUUUUUAUGUUGUUUAGAAAAGAUAAUUUGUGUUGUUAUGUAGUAAUUUUUUUUUUAAGUAUUACACAACUUUAUUUUAUUAAAAUUCUAAUUUCACUUUCAAUUCUAGUUUAUUCAAAAUAUUAAUCGAAGGGUUUCGUUUUUAUUUUUGGGAAUAGGCGCGAAAACCAAAAAAAAAAAAUCCGCGCAAUUUAUUCCCACCAACAGGCGGGAAACAAAACAUAAAUGCCCAAAAGUUUCACAAUUUUUUUUAAAUUUCUACCAAACAAACAACACGCGCCCCCCACGCCCUCCCACCCCCACUAUUUCUUCUACAUUUCUCCCUCAUUUCUAGGGUUUUACUUCAAUCUUCCACUAGAAGUUUCGCGAAUUUGUUCUAGAAUCUUCGAGAAACUUUGCACGGAGCAAUGUCGGAACCGAUGGUAAUCGACGGUGUAGAUGAAGUGAAAGUAGAAGCGAUGAAAGUUGAUGCGAAGAAGAAGAUGAAAAGGAAGAGGGUUAAUUUGGUAAUUUACAGUCCCGAAGAGAAAUCGGCUAAGAUUGAAGAGCUGAAGGUUGAAAUGAAGGGAUUGGUUGAGUAUUAUAAGGAAGUGAUGGAGAAGAAAGUGGUACAAAUGGAGGAAAUGAAAGGUUUGGGGUCAGGGUUAGGCUUGAAUAGUGUGAUUGGUUGCAUGCUAGAGGAAAGUGAUUUAUCGUUAUCGAAAUUGGUUGAUGUAAUAUUUGAAAAGAUUAGUGAUAGUGAGGGAAGUAGUAGUAAGGUUAGUGUGAAGAGUGCUGUGAUUUUGGUUGGUCAGAGGGUGUUUUACGGAGUUCCGAAUGGAGAUGUGGAUGUCUUGGAGGAUGAAUCCGAGUCUGCUCUUUGGUGUUGGGAGGUAAAAUUUUUCAAAUUUGUGUUGUAAUUGUCAGAAUUUAGGGUAUUUUUUAUAUGGAUAUUGAAUCUUGUAUUGAUGUUACUAUUUGACUUGCAUUUAUGUCUUUAUUUAAGAAACUUUGAUUGCGAUUUGAGUGGUUUAAAGUUCCAUAUCGGUUGGGGAUUAAAUUGGUGCAAUGUAUAUAUGCUUUUGGGUUGGGUUGGGUUAGAUCCAAAUGUCAUAUGGUAUUAGAGCUAGGUCCAUCCAUGUUGGGAUUCCUGGUCCUUGCUCUAGUUGGAUUUGAGCAUGAAAGGGGUGUUAGAGUGGGUUGGAAGUCCUAUAUCGGUUGGGAAUAAACCGGUGAUUGCACAUAUGUUUUUGGGGUUGAGUUAGACCCAAGUGUCAUAUGGUUCUAGAGAGUGGUACUAGAGAGCUAGGUCCAUCCAUGGUUAGAUUACUGGUUCAUGCUCUAGUUGGAUUUGAGCGUUAAGGGGGUGUUAGAGUGGUUUAAAGUCCUAUUAUAGGUUGGGGAAUAAACCAGUGAUUGCACAUAUGUUUUUGGAGCUGAAUUGGACCCAAGUGUCAUAUGGUACUAAAAGAGCUAGGUUCAUCCAUGGUUGGAUUAAUGGUCCAUUCUCUCAUUGAAUUUUAGCGUGAAGGGGGUGUUAGAGUGGGUUCAAGUUGGGAAUAAAUUGAUAGUUUGCAUUUAUGAACUUAGAAAAUGCUUUAAUUAUGAGCUAGUUUAUGGGGUUGAGUUAGACUCAUGUCUUUACACUUUAGUUUAUCGAUUUUCUAAGAUCUUUUGUAUCUCUUUUUUUGGGCAUGUGUGUGUUUCAUUAUGGUAACUUUAGUGUUAAAAGAUGUGCAAAUGAUUGUUGUAGAUUUUUAAUUUGGUGUAUUAAUGUUGAUUGUUGCUUAUGCUAUUUAGCUUGCUUACGUUAUGUUGCUUGAUGUGUCAAAUGAGUGUCUUGUUUCAGUCUAUGUUGUUUAGAUUCUCCAAGACCGAUGCCACACCCUUGUUGGAUUCUUCAAAAAAUUCACUAUUUUUUGGAGAAUCCCCCCCACACCUGCCGCUAUCUUGACAGAGUAUGAGCAACAUAGGCUUCAAUAGUCAGCUUUAAUGAUUAUUCACUGAUUAGAUUUAAUAUUGAUAUGGAAAUUUCCAGUAAUCAUGCAUAGUUGUGCUAGUUAAGGGUGGGCCCAUGUGUAAUGGUGGGACUGCACUUGCAUCCGUGAACUUCGGAAGAAACUCUCUAUAUAUGCAUAUACACCUUGAAAAAUUUACAUAUUUUAGUAGUACCCCUCAAAGAUAUUGACUGGAUUGGGUCAAUUGGUUGGCAUGCCCCUUUGGCCGGUAGCCUCACCCUUGCGACCCAAAUUCGAUUCCUGACUGCAGCUAUUUGUAUUUUUUUGGAGUUUGAGACCUGUGUCUUUUUUACAAAUUAUAAGCCACCUAAUUUUAUUUUUACAUUUUUAUUCUUUAAUACCCUCUCUCACCUUACUUUUUCAUUAAUUUCCUCCUCCCAAAAGCCUCAAAUCUAAUGCCUACUUUUCCUACUUCCCAGUUCAUCCUCAUGUAAUUGAAGAAAAAGUUCUCCCCAUUUUUAUUUCUUAACUCAAUUUUCAUUCUUCCAUUCUUAGUUUCUCAUAAAUCACUGAAUGAGGAACGUCUCCCACAAUUAAAUUCAUCUCGGCACAAAACAAUUUCUUCCGUGAUCGAAGUAGAGCCAAUAACUGAACUUCUCUAACAUUAAAGCUUUCCUUAAUUGUUUAGUUUGUUACUUUCAAAAAUAGUAUUUGUAACUGCAAGCAACAAUGUCAUUAUCGAUCGUUUCAAAAUAUGAAAACACUUCAAGUUCAAGUAUGACUGGAUGAUGUACAUUUGUUAUAUUAGUGCCAAAUUAAUGAUAUUUGAUAAUAUUGAAGUUUGUACGUUAUCAUAUCAUUAAGUUUUUUAAAAGUUGCACCAAACUUUGUUGCUAGUAAUUUGCAUACUAAUAGUGGUUGCCCCGUUGCAAUUAAAUCUUGGGUCCGCCUCUGGUGCUAGUUACUUAGUAUUGUAUGUGCUUCAACCUUUCAAUUAGGUGAUUUAAUUUUGCAUGCUACUUUAGUGAAUGGAUUUGAUUCUAGAAAGUGGAAACCCAUAUACAGCAACAAUGCCCACAGUUUUUCCCUUCAGUGUGUUCAUGAUAUGAUUUUGUCUCAUCUAUUUCAACCUGGAAGGUCGUAUAAAUAACAUGCUAAUGCUAAUGCAAUUCCUUUCUUUUAUAGACACGAGACCUUAAAUUAUUGCCGAAAUCAGUCCGGGCUACUCUGAAGAUUCGCCGGACUUGUCGGAAAAAAAUCCAUGAGAGAAUUACUGCUGUCUCUGGUGAGUGAAUGCUGAUAAUGUACAUGUCAAUCUGUUUGUGGUGAAGAAGGCAUUCUUUUGAGCUUGUAAUAUUUUUUGUACUUCAUACAUCCAUGUCUCAUGCUAAGGUGUCAAUGUUCAUUUAUGGCAUAAUUUGUGGUACUGCCGCUUCUAAACAUUAACUUAUUUGUCACCCAAGGGUGUGGCUUGGAUGUGGCCUAGUGGUUCAAUGAAGUUGGGUUGAGCACCAUGAGGUCUCAACAAUUCAACAAUUCCCAAUGGAGACAAACAUUAGGUGAUUUCUUCCCAUCUGCUUUAGCCUUGACAGAGUUACCUGGUACCGUGGCAGGUAUCUUGUGGAAUUAGUUGAGGUGCACGUAGGCUGGCUCGGACACCAUAGUUAUAAAAAAAAAACAUUAACUUAUUUGGUUUGCUUGUAUUCAGGAUAUACUUGGUUAUACUUGGUCAGGCUGAGUAUUUCUAGUUGUGUAGUCAUGAAAACAUAAACUUAUUAUGGAUGAUUCAGAAACAUGAUCAUAUAUUUGAUUUUCUAUUGGUUGCCUCCAAUUCUCUUAUUUAUUUGAUAUCGUGUGAAUCGGAGCACAUAUCUUUUUUCAUUUAAUUCAUUUAAUGCAGUUCCCUUAACAUACCCAUUUGAUAUCAUGUGAAUCGGAGCACAUAUCAUUUUUCAUUUAAUUCAUUCAAAGCAAUUCUUAAGAUCUUUUUGGUCUAAUAAUUCCUGUUCAUUUCAUUUCCUCUAUGAAAACACUGUUGUUUUUUUAUGUAAAGCAUUAACAAGUGAAUGAUCUAUUUGGUCUUCUUUCAACGAGCUUAGAACAUUGAUAAGCUGAAGUGUUUGUGUUUUGCUAUUGUGGCAGCUUUAUUGACUGCACUAGAAAAGUUGGGAACUGAUCAAAACUGCUCCCAAGAGCGGAUGACGGCUUCUGAAAAGCUUGGCAAAGUAUUAAAUGAGGCAGAUAUCCGCUUGUUAGUUGCAAGCAUGGAACAAAAAAAUGGUGCUGAAGUGUAUGUGAUUUUCUAUUUCUUCUCUAGUAUUUUUUCUAUAACUACCCUCUUUCUACUGUUUACUCAAAUCUCUUGAUUGAUAAAGGGCUGAGAAGUCCGUAAAACAGGAGGAGAGACUUUUGAUCAAGCAGUUAGAGAGAAAGAAAAGAGAAGCUGAAAAAGAGAAGAAAAGGAUGGAGCGUGAAGUUCUGAAAGAAAAAUUGAAAAGUGUGAGUUGUUUGAUUCAACCUGUUGGUGAAAUGCUUGUUGCUGUUGGCAUAUCCUUAGAAGUGUGCUAUAAGGAAGCACAUAAAACCUUACUGGUUUUGUGUUACCCUUGUUUUGUGAUACUAGUCACGCUUCCCGAUUGAUUCUUUUUGAUGGCUAAAUCUCUCUGUGCAGGAAAAAGAGUUAAAACGGCUACAAAGUGAAGCAGAGAAAGAGGAAAAGCGGUUUGAGAAAGAAGAAUCUAAACUAAAAAAGCAGAUGAUGAGAGAACAAGAAGAAACUGAGAAAGAUCGACGCCGCAAGGAAAAGGAAGAAGCUGAUGCUAAAAGGCAACUUACUUUGCAAAAGCAAGCUUCAAUGAUGGAGCGCUUUUUCAAAAGAAGCAAAACUAACUCUUCUUCCCAGAAUUGCCAGUCAUUAGAUAAGCCAGCUUUUGAUUUUUCCGCUAGCAAGUGUGAAAAGAAGCCUGUAUCUGUUACUCUGUCAAUGGACUCAGUCCUUACACAGAAUGAUGGCCUUAAUGCUGAUGAUUUAUGGAAGUUAGUUCUUCUUUUUUUUCUUUCAUCGUAAUGUGGUGAUUUUUUAUUUUUUUGUUUUUAUUUUUGAUAUUUAUAUAAAUGUUGCUUGGAUUUACUUUGCAGGUCACACUUGAAUUCGUGGCAUUGCUUAGGUUGUUCAAAAGGGAAAGUUCAUUGGGGAAUCCGUCAAAAGCCCAAGACUAAUGUAGUCAAGGAAAUUAAGCUAACAUGCAGUAAAGGACUGACUUGUGACAAUGAGGAUAAUACAGAGAAACUAGUUGAUGGAUGGGCUGAGCCUCACAAUAAUACCAGAUCAUGUAAUGCUGGUGAGGUCAAUACGAUUCCUUGUCGCCACUUAUCAAGGAGGCAACUGUUGCAGUUUGAUAAGUGUCAUAGGCCUGCAUUUUAUGGUGUUUGGCUGAAGAAAAGGUGAGCUGUGCUGUGAUUCAUGUGUGAUGAAAUUUCAAAUUUUAUUAGACCAUUAAUGGAUCUUUGGUACCUCUCAAUAGAAGGAUUACACACUGUAUUUGUGUUUAUAUAUCUAUAAACAGGCAAAAAAACACAUAAAACUUUUGGUGCUUGGAAAGUUAACCUACAGCCUUGCCUAUAUGUGUUUCUUGCAAAUAUUAUGCUAUCUUGAUGUGUUUUAUAUGAAUUCAGUCUCCAUAUUUAGUUGUGAUGGUGUACUAUUCCGUUAUCAAUAUCUUGAGUGUUACUAUGAUCAUGUGGAUGUCAAUGGGUAUGUGUUCUUACAUUUUCUCCUUUCCUCGUUACUGAUAUUGAUUUUUUACAUCAGCCAAGUUGUAGGAGCACGUCGCCCCUUCGUAAUGGAUCCAGAUUUGGAUUAUGAGGUUGAUAGUGAUGAGGAAUGGGAAGAGGUACUUCUCUGAUUUUUUUUCUAUAGCAUCUGUGAAUUAUGAUGAUUACUGACUUUUGAUUAAAAUAGGAGGAACCUGGCGAAAGUCUAUCAGAUUGUGAUAAAGAUGAUAAUGAGUGUUUGGAGGAAGAAUGUUCAAGAGGUGAAGAUGAAGACGAAAGCGAAGAUGGAUUUUUCGUGCCAGAUGGAUAUCUCUCAGAAGAAGAGGUUUGCCAGUCCUCAAUACCCACUUUUCACAUGGAACCAAUACAUAAUUAUGAUAAUAUAUUGUGGAACACAGACUGUUUUAUCCUUGAUUGAUGAGUUUGUGGUUUACAUGAUUUGUGAAUAUUGUGUUAUAAGCAUGCAAUGGUUGCUGUUUAAAAAUCUUAAACCCUGCUGCUGAUGCGAUACAUUUUCCUAGAUGGUUCAUAAUUAUCUUAAUUUUCCUGCAUAGCUUGCAUCUUCUGUACUUGCCUGAAUUAUGAUAUUUCUGAACCAUGUAUCAUAUUCUACGAGUACUUGUCUUGAGAUAGGGUAUGAUCAAGUUCUUGAUCUAUUUCCUUUGCUGCAUGAUUAGUAGUUGAAUGAAUUUGUAAGGUUACUUCAUGAUUCAAGUACAAAUGUGAAAUGACUGCAAGAAACUGAACACUUUACAUCUUACUAAAUGGCCUAGUUUUUGACUUAUCUGAGAUAUUUUUGGCUGUAACAUACUGGUGGUAUGUCAAAACAUACAAUAUUUGUUUGUGUCAUUUUAUAUUUGUAGUUAAUGUGCUAUAGUUUUACUUGGUAUUCUUGACUUAUAAUGUUAGAUGAAUUUGAAUUUUUUAAAGAAACGAGAGUUGUGUAAAAUAUAGUUGUUUAAUGAAUCACGUCAAGCAUUUUGAAUGUUACAGCAUGGAAAAUACUUUUUAGAAAAUUGGUACUGAGGGUUUUCUUUUGGUAGUUGGGAGUACUUUAUUUCACUACUUGAAUAUAGUGGAAGCAGGCCAACCACUGCAACCUUCAACUGCAGCUGGUGAUAUAUAUCUAUUGCAGUUACACUAUUAAUGAAUAUAACUUACUUUCUGUGUGUUGAUGCUUCUACCAAAAGCUGCUUUCUCAAGAGAAGCUAGAGCAAUCAUUAUUUUUAGUGUUGCACCUAUAGUAACUGGUAGCCCGUUUUGUUGUGAUGAAGAGCUUUUCAUGGAAAAAAUUCUUAUUAAUCUGUGUUUGUUAAUUAUAAAGCAUAUCUUAUUUUUUUUGAAAAAAAAAAAAAUCAACUGCCGAGGUGCAUGAAUAUGCCUUUCCUCCCAAAAGGAAAAAAAAGAAACCGAACCUAACAUUUUUUUAUGUAAGUCAUUUGAACUUGUUCACCUUGUCAUGCAGGGUGUACAAGUUGACAAAGUGGAAUCUCAUGAUGAAGAAGGAUCUAAAAUUUUGUCCAGUCCACAAGAAGGACCGGGUGAAGAGUUUGUGGUGCUGCUUCGGCAGCAAAAAUAUCUUCACAACUUGACUGAACAGGCUCUUAAGAAAAACAAGCCACUUAUUAUAUUGAAUCUUAUGCAUGAGAAAGCUCCUUUAUUGUUGGCUGAUGAACUGGCUGGUAAUGAGAAAGUUGAACAAAUAUGCCUGGGGGCAUUGACCAUUUGUUCAUUUCCUGGCCAUUCAUCCAUACCAAUAUCUAAUUGUGAUGAUGUUGUUGAGGGAGAUUCUGAGGCUUGCCCAUCGGGUAGUAAGGCAAGUAUCCCACAAGUAGCAUCUUCAGCUGCUCUGGCAGACUCAGAUUUCCAUCAAAUUGUAAGCUUUACUUUUCCUUAUCAUCAUUUCCCCCUCCUUUUGGGAAUUGGUUUCUCUCACCAACCCAGAGCCUAUUUCUCUUGCGUACAAGAGUUCUUAGAUAUUUUUCCUUCAGGUAUCUAUACUUCAGUCAUGCUCACAAAGUAUAAACAAGGUGGUGGAAUCUUUACAACUCAAGUUCCCAAGUAUUGCGAAGUCCCAACUGAAAAACAAAGUGCGGGAGAUAGCAGAGUUUAUUGAUGGUAGAUGGCAGGUGAUUUUCUCAAGUCUGGGUUACUGUCUCAAAAUUUAUUCACAUAAAAGAGACCCCUGCAAUCAGAAGGGUAUAACGUAUAAGAAUUGGCAAAAAAUUUCCACUUUGUGAUAUAAUCCAUAAAGGAUGACAUCCAAUAUCGUGUACCAAGGAUGACUGCAGAAGCAGUACAACCCAUGAAAGUUUAUCAUAAAGCUAAUAAAGCAUUCCAGUUUAUCACCCAAGUUAAAAAGUGUGGACAGGAAAUGCAUGGGACAAACCCUUUGACUCUUCCUAUCUUUUCUGGGAAAUUAUAUAUACAUCCUGUUCUAGUUUUCUUUGUGCCAUACCUCUUUCUACGUUAGUCUUACGCGAUUUAUUAGUCUGAAUUUUCCAAGCAACAGAUUCAUGUUACUUUCUUUUGACAUAGUUGAUUUCCUUGCAAUAUGAAAACUAGUUUUCCUUGAUGAUUUUCAUUCGUAGUUAGCUGAAGAAUACUGCAGUUUACCGAUACUGCAUUUUUCUUACUUUUGCAGGUUAGAAAGGAUGUUCUUGUGAAACUUGGGCUGCCUAUAACAACACCUGGUAUGAACCUCUCAUGUACUAUUGCACUAUUUGUUCGCAUGAGAAUUAUGCUCCUGUUUCUUUAGCAUCUCUGUUUAUUACGAUUUUCUUCCUUGUUGUAAAGUUGUAUCUUUCGAUUAUUUACAGAAAAAAGCAGCAGGACAAAGAGCAUUGCGGCAUUUUUUUCCAAGAGAUGUUUACCACCUUCCGGAAAGACCAUCAAUCUGCAUGAGGCUUCCCCACAAGCAAGCCAGAAAACUUCUUCAGCUUCCAUCCAGCCACAGCAAGACUUCACAUACAAAAAUGAAUAAGAAUCUAAACUUUGUUAAAUCUUCUUGCCCCUUAGUUCAAGUUUUUCUUGUUUCUGGUAAUAACCUCUUACGAUAUAAUAGAUGCCUGCUCAUUUAUACCAGGCUUUGUGACUUUUAUAUUCUGGUCAAAUUUUCAAAUUUUCGAAUCAAAUAUCCUUCACAAAGAAAGAUGACUAGAAUGUGUUUGUCUCAAGGAUUACAGAGAAAGAUGCCUGAGCAUCUGGAUCUGUAUAUCCUUUAUGUGUUUUCAUAACUGAAUUUACUGUAUGUAUAUAACAACUUGUAAUUCCAAGUUGCAUGGUUAUGAUUUUCUAUUUUUGUCCAUCCUGUUUGUUUGAUUUGGAUUUCUAUUUAUCUGUUUUAUGUUUUACUGCUUUUGAGGAUCUGAAUAGCAUUUGGACAUACUAUAGUUUGCUUAUUUGAUAACAUUUUAUAAGAAUUGGAGAAAAUUUAAUAGUUUUUGAGUUGAUUUCUUUGCCUAAAGGUGGGCAUUAUCUUUUCAGUUAUAAAUCAUAUCUCAUUAAUAUCUUGAUUAUUUAUUUCUAAUUGAAGGAAAUUUUGAGUUGAUCUCAUUUCCUAUAAAUUGAUGAUAUUCUCUUUAAUUGUGAGUCAUAUCUCAUUAUAUCUAAUAAUAGAGGUAUUCUUUGUAUUACUGUAUAUAGAAGUGACAUAUAGCACUUUUUUUGAGCAUAUAUAUACCUAAUUGAAGAAAAUAUAUCAUUAAUAUUAUGUAAUAGUGGAGCUACUCUUUGUGCAGUGGUGAAAUAAGACCCUUUUUUUCAGGGUAUUUACGUAUUUAUAACUAAUUGAAGAAACUUUAAGUUAAAUGUAUUACCUAUAAAUUAUGAAAUUUUAAUAAUUUGCACUUUAAAUUAUUUUUCCUUUCUAUUUGUCUGAGUAAACCUUAGACUCAAAAGAAAAGUAAAUACUAGCAAUAUACUAGAUAAAUAAAGCAACAGACAGUAUUACACAGUAGAACUAUUAAAUAUUACUGCUAACAAGGGUUGCAAGAAAACUCCUACAUAAAAUGCAACAACAUUAUAGUAUUAUAUAUUAACCUUCUAUCAUAAUCAUUGAUCUUCAUGUCUUUCCAUCUAAGAUUACGUCUUCAAUAAAUAGAAACUUCAUGUCUUUCCAUCUAAGAUUAUGUAUGUCAUAUCCUGUCCAAAAGUAUACUCAAAAUUUUUUUUUCACUUAAAUUUGAAUUUGGCAACCAAAACCAGAUCCAAAAAAGUGUAGCAAUGUAGCUAUUGUGAUUAUCUAAAUCAAUGCUGAAUUUAUGAUUAUUUAUAUUUAUAAGAAUUAAAGGAUGAGCAAGGCGGCGUUUGUUGUCCCUAUUAUUUUUGUAGUAUUGUUGAGUCCUACACGUAACGCUUACUCUUUUUUCUUAUUUGAAUAUUAUUUCAGGUAAGAUCAAAAUUAAAUGACCAUAAUUUUAGAUAUUCAUUUAAUCUUAGUAGGUAUAGAUAUUUUUCUUCUCAUAUUUAAUGCUCGUUUAGUAAAUAAUUUAAAAAUCGUAUCAUAUUAUUAUUUUUAAAGUGAAAUUAAUUCACUAAAAUACCCAAUCAAAAUUUGAUGGACUUUUAUGUUUUUAAGAAUUAAAUUAUUCAUUUAACAUUGAAAUGAUCAAACUGUAAACUGUAAAUUGGUAUUAAAGUUUGUGUUGAAAUUUUGAUUUUUCAGAAUUAACUCUUUAAAUGCUAAUUCAUCUGUCACUUUUUUCAUACGUUUUAAGACAAAUUUUAUAUUUUAUUUCUUCUCUUAAAUUAAGUGACAAGAUUUUAAAUGGUUCGUCUUAAUCUAGCUUACAAAUACAAGUGAUUUUAAACCACUUUGACAAUGAAAGACAUAUAAAAAUUCUCACAAUUUAAAAAUAUUUUGAUGUAAGAUUUGACGUAAAUUCUAUAUUUUUAUUGAUUUCAAGGUCUGAAUUAUAUAAUCAAUUAGUCAAUUGCUGAGUUAAAUAUAUGCGCGUGUGUGUUCAAUAAUAACUCAAUAAAAUAAUUAAUUUAAUAUGGUAUUGUCGAUGAAAUUACAAAAAAAUACUGCAUUUCUUAGAUUUUUUUUUUUAAAAGGGUGCAACUUACCAAUUUUUAUUGGAAACAUCUCUUUCAAUGCUGAAAAUUGUAAUUUUCAAUAUUGAUGAAAAUUGUAAUUUUCAGUAUAAAUUGACUAUUGGUAUGUUACUAUUUUGUAAUUUCGAAAUACUGCUCUAGAAUGAUAAAUGUUUUUUUUUUUUGAAAAAAUAUUAAUUACCGGUCUUUAAUCAAAUUUUGAAUAUGAAGUCAUUUUUAUUACGAAAUGUUUUGUCCCGUAGCAACCCCCAACCCUAAUUUAGAACUUUUCUCCAUAAGUUUAAAUGUAAUCGGUCUUUUCAAUAAAAAUACUAAACAACAACAUAAGAAAUUAAAGUUUCUUUUUUCUUAUUUUAAAUUGUUGUCUUUGCCGUGGGAGUAAAAUACGAUAGAAGUGAAUUCAUGAUUUAAAAUUUUUAAGUGAGAGAAAAUCUGAACUAGUAUAUUUGUAAACUAAAUCGAUUUCAGAAACAACUUUUCUAUUUCACCUUUAAAAUAGACUUAAAAAAUAUAUACACUCUAUCCCAAACCUUAUUUUAUAAAAAUACACUGAUUAUUUUAGCAUAACGAUACAAAAAUAAUAUAGAAUCUCCCCACCAAAUGGCACCUAAAUUAUAACUUUAUAUUACCCACGGAUCAUACACCCACUGAUUAUUAAACUGGUUAGUUAAGAAUCCUGGUUUUGUUUUAAAGUAAAACAAAAAUAUUAAAUUCAAAACUUAGAAAAAGAAUAACAAAAAACAAAAAAGUAUGCACUCUCUUACAUGUAUACAUUGACCACCAAGUAUUGUAAUAAAAGUUUUUAAGUAAAUUUUAUUUGAUUGGAAAUGUUGUGUCUUAAUUAUAUUUUGUGCAACACAAAUUUAAAUUACUUAAACUAUAUUUUAUGCAUCAUAAAUUUAGAUCAAUCGAACAUUAAUGCGGAUAUAAAAAUAAAAAAGCAAAGUCAAACGGAUUAAAGGCAAUGUUUCCUUCUUAAUUACUCUUUUCGUUUAUUUGCAUAUAUCAUAUUUUGCUUCUUAAGAGUUAAAUUGCAUCAAUUUUGAUUAAUAUUUUAAAAUGCAUUUUUUUUCACUAUAUUAAUAUAAAAAAGAUUGUGAUUUAUAUUUUUUUUCGUAUAAUUUUCAAACAUCUAAAUUUACAAUUUAAAAUAUUGAAUUAAACAUUUAAUCUAAUUUUAUUUAAUUUUGAAGACCCGUUGACUAUCGUAAAAUGAAACUUGACACGUAGAAAUGAAUGGAAGAACUUCUUAUGAGACAUACAUUUAGAUUAGUCGGACUAUCAAUUUUGAUUAAUGUUUUAAAAUGCAUUUUUUUUCACCUUAUUAAUAUAAAAAAGAUUGUGAUUUACAUUUUUUUUUUUGCAUAAUUUUCAAACAACUUAAUUUACAAUUUAAAAUGUUGAAUUAAAUAUUUAGUCUAAUUUUAUUUAAUUUUGAAGGCCCGUCAAAUUGACUAUCGUAAAAUGAAACUUGACACGUAGAAGUGAAUGGAAGAACUCCUUAUGGAACAUAUAUUUAGAUUAGUCAGACUUCUGUUGUAGAUAUUGAUUUGAGUUUCAUAUCUAAACUAUUAAGUGUACGUGAGUUUUUUAACUGAACUAUCACUAACUAUUUAACAAGACACGUCCAAAUUAUUGAUUCUUCACUUUUCAUACCUGAAAAGUUCAGGUAUGAAACUCAAAUCAUUAAUAGUUCAGACGUAUUUGAUAAAUAGAUAGUGAUAAAUCAUUAGAAAACUCACGAGGACUUAAUAGUUUAGAUAUAUAGCUCAAAAAAUAAAAAUAUUUUAGACGUAUUUUCCACCGUAAAUUAAGAAAAGAAAAAGAAGCCUAAAGGACCAAAAUGGCAUUUGAGGUAAUAUUUCCCAACUAGAAGGUCAAUUAAUUUAACUUCAGUUGGGGUUUUGUCGACAUUAUAUAUAUAUAUGAGUAAUAUAUAUAUAUGUACUUAGCUCCGUUGAUCUCUCUCUACCAGUCACUUUGUAUAUUCCAAGUGUAUACACACUGUAUCACACCGAAUACCGCAACCGAUAUACUCGAGGUGACAAUUUGCAAACAGUGCAUCAUCCAUCAUCAACAACAAUGGCAAUGAAACUCAAUGCUCUGGCAUUUCAAUCUCACAAAAUGCUGCCAUCAUUUCCUCUUUCUACUUCUUCAAUUAGAUCUCCUAGAGUUUUCAUGGCUUCUACUCUUCAUCCACCUUCUAUGUAAGUAUACUUUUUUUUUUUUUUUUGACAUUUUAUGCAAAUGGGUAUCUUGAAAUGUGGUUUGUUUUUCAUUCACCUUAUGUGUUAGUACUGUUUUUAAAUAUUUUUUUUGAAAGUUUUAAGCAAAUGGGUGUCUAGAAAUGUGGUUUGUUUUUCAUUCACCUUCUCUGUUAGUACAUUUUUUAAUAUUUUUUUUGAAAGUUUUAAGCAAAUGGGUGUCUUGAAAUGUGGUUUGUUUUUCAUUCACCUUCUCUGUUAGUACUUUUUUAAAUAUUUUUUUUUGGAAGUUUUAAGCAAAUGGUUGUCUUGAAAUAUGGUUUGUUUUUCUUUCACCUUAUAUGUUAGUACUUUUUUUAAUUUUUUUUUUUUUGAAAGUUUUAAGCAAAUGGGUGUCUAGAAAUGUGGUUUUCUUGAAUUGUUUCAUCUUCUUGGGAUUUUGUUUCAGUUUCAUUUGUAUGCGGUAUGUUUUCUUUCAAGCAUAUGAGUAUCUUGAAAUGCGUUCAUUUUUGUAAAUAAAAAAAAAGUAGUUUGGUGCGCUAAAACUUUUUCUAUAUAUAUAGGGUCUGCCCCUCUGCAUUUCAUGGCUUAACCCGUAACUUUCUAGUUAAGCAAAUGGGUGUGGUUUGUUUUUUCAUUUUUUUGAUCCUUUAGGAAGUGGUUGGUUUCCAUUUUGGUUUAUUUAGCUACAGCGGGUGUAUUUCAUUUGAAUUUGGAAAAAAUGGGUAUCUGUUAAUGAGCUUUGUUGUCCAUUGUUUUCGAAUUUUUGGAAGUUGGUCUGUUUAUUUUUGGCUUCAUUUAUGUUUUCUUGGUUUCAAGGUUUUGAUAGCUUGAUUUUUGGCCAAAAAAGGGUAGCUUGAAAUGUGGUUUUGUUAUAAUUGUUUCAUCUUCUUUUUGAUCAUAUGGGAAUUGGGUCAGUUUCGUUUUAUUUCAUUUAUGUUUUCUUGUUGGUUUCAGGACUAGUGUUUAUGGCUUGAUUUUUAGCUACAUUGGGUGCAUUUGCAUAUGAACGAGAAGUGUUUGUAUCAUGGACUAUUUUGGUUACCAAAUAUUGGAAAAAUGACCUUUUUAAGAAAAUAUCGAGUUGAGGUUCUAUCGGAAAUAGACUCUCUACGUUCGCAAGGUAGAGUACGACUGCAUGUACACCAUCCUCCCUAGAUCCUAUGUUGUUGAUGAUGAUUUUGUUAAGAAAAAUAUUUUUGUGUUGUACCAAAUGCGUGUUUUUGAUUGUAAUUUUGGUUUUGUUGUAUCUAUUAAUUCGGUUGGUGAAUGGUGGUGGUUGGUGUUAAAGGAAAAAUCAAGAUAAAAAUUUCACCUUUUUCUAAAUUGGGAAAUGGUGUCCUCUUCUGCUUUAUGUGUUGCUUUAUUUGUUACUUGACAGCUAUCUUGUAUUAUUCGCCGCAUCGUUGAUUUCUAGGAAUUCCCUGGUAUAAAGGAUUUCGUUUUGCUGUCCUUACAUUUAUUCAUGUUCGAAUGAAAAUGAAAUCGAUAAGUUUUUGAUUGUCGUAGAUUUGGAUAGGUGGAUUUUUUUCUUCUACUAUGUUUGCUUCAACCUUCAAAUAUCUCUUCAAUGAUACUCUCUUUUACCAACUGUGGUUGAGAAUUAGGUCUUGCCGUGGUGCUUUGUGUUGAAUUGUCAAGUUUUUGUUUAUAGUCAAUGUUUCCAAUUAUAAUCAUGUGCACAAUUCUUUGGUUUCUUGUUUGCAAGUAGGUAGUUUCUUAUAAAUAGCUGUUUGGUACAGCUCAGCUUCUUUAAUUUUUAUGGAAUUGGUUGGCAGUUAUAUCUUCUUUAGUUUCUACAUACUUGUGUAAACUAAUAGUACAGUUUAAGGUGGUUGUGCUUAGUCUUAUUGUUUGAGUGAUGAUUAAUCUUUUAGCGAUCUUUAUCUUUCUUUCUACACGUAUGUGUUUGGAGAGCAAUAAAGGUUUUAGGAAAAUACUAAGUAAAACGAACCAUAUGUGCGACAAGUUUAGCCUCCUGAAAGAUAAAUUGUAUGUAGCUGGGAUUAAACUAAAUUGUAGUGCCUGCUCGGUGAUAAUUCAGAUAUCUAGGCUCAGGCUUCCAGUGUUAGGAUGAACUAAAUAUAAUCUUCCCAUUCAUAAUUGCAGGGAAGUUGGAAAUGCGAAGAAACCAUUCACUCCUCCACGAGAGGUGCAUGUUCAAGUGACUCAUUCCAUGCCACCAGAAAAGAUUGAAAUUUUCGAUUCUCUGCGUGAUUGGGCUACACAGAAUCUCUUGGUGAACUUAAAGCCUGUCGAGAAAUGUUGGCAGGCUUCUGACUUUCUUCCUGAUCCUGCUUCCGAGGGAUUUGAUGAGCAGGUCAAGGAACUAAGGGAUAGGUGUAAGGAAAUUCCUGAUGACUACUUUGUCGUAUUAAUUGGAGAUAUGAUCACGGAGGAGGCCCUUCCAACUUAUCAAACCAUGAUAAACACUCUUGACGGUGUUCGUGAUGAAACUGGUGCCAGCCUCACUCCCUGGGCUAUAUGGACUCGAGCAUGGACAGCUGAGGAAAAUAGGCAUGGUGAUCUUCUCAACAAAUAUCUUUAUCUUUCUGGAAGAGUUGAUAUGAAGCAAAUCGAAAAGACAAUCCAGUACCUAAUUGGUUCUGGGAUGGUAAGAUUUUUUGCCGGACUUUAUGUUUAUCAAAUAAACCGAUAUUGUAUCAGUUUACAGGAUUAAAUCCCAAUGCAUUCAUGUUGAGUUUAAUCAUAUUUGUGCUAGUUUCAUAUCCCAUGCUGUCGUAAGCUUUCUGAUAUUUCUCCAAAGUUGGUUUGACUUUUACUUUUACGUGGUUAGUGCAGAUGUCCAAUUACGAAAACUUUCUAAUCAUAUAAUUGGCAUGCACACCUUCCAAUCCUCUUUCUUUUUCAUGGGAGAGGGAAAAACAUCAAAGAAUUCGUAAACCAAAGCUUUUGAGUUUCAUAUACUGCUAGAUUGAGUUAUGCAUUUCUUAUUUAACUCUUUCUGUAUUUCAGUGUAUGUUAGUUCUUCAUUUUCUUGUUUAUGAUACAUACUUAGCCUUUUUACCUCUUCUAUUCCUCUCCCCUCCCCGAACUUCAUUGCCUAAACUGCACUGUUUGUUGACUUACUACUUGUUAGCGAGCUAAAUACGAUGGCACUUUUGAUAUUUGAGGUCUGCUAGGUUGUAGUUUUCCCGACUUAGUUAGCCCAUUGUAUCCGUUGUCUACUCUAUAUAGAGUAGAAAUGCAACUACAUCAUACUAUCGCCGUGUUAGCAUGGAAUGCCACAUAUUGUGGGUACAUUAGCUACAAGUUUAUAACUAUUCAUAGUAUGUAAAUAGAAAAUGUUGAGAUUGAACAUAUACAAUCAUCUAUGCUCAAUUUGGUUUUAUACUUCAUGCACUUUACAUCACUCUUAUAUUUCCAGGAUCCUCGCACGGAAAACAACCCCUAUCUAGGUUUCAUCUACACUUCUUUUCAAGAAAGGGCUACCUUCAUUUCACAUGGAAACACAGCUAGGCUCGCCAAGGAGCAUGGGGAUAUGAAACUAGCACAAAUAUGUGGUUCAAUUGCUGCAGACGAGAAGCGCCAUGAAACUGCGUAUACCAAGAUCGUUGAGAAGCUACUCGAGGUAGACCCUGAUGGUGCCAUAUUGGCUAUUGGUGACAUGAUGAGGAAAAAAAUCUCAAUGCCUGCUCAUCUGAUGUAUGACGGCAGGGAUGACAACCUCUUCGAACACUUCUCUGCAGUAGCUCAACGUCUUGGCGUAUACACAGCCAAGGACUAUGCAGAUAUUCUCGAAUUCUUGGUGGGGAGAUGGGAAGUGGAAAAAUUGACCGGUCUUUCCAGUGAAGGACGCAGAGCACAAGAUUAUGUAUGUGGACUGGCUCCACGGAUUAGGAAAUUGGAGGAGAGAGCACAGGCAAGGGCCAAGGAGCGAAGUCCCGUUCCUUUCAGCUGGAUUUUUGGUAAAGAGAUUAAGAUAUGAAUGCACUUGUGUUGGAUGGCAAUGUCAUGUUAGUUUUCUGAUCACCAAAUUUGCCUGUUUUAUGUUAAGAAACUUUGGGGGUAAAGUAUGAAGUCUGUGCAGGGAGUUAAAGCGUCUUGGUUUUUCUUUUUGCUAUUGUGUUUAGGCCAUAGGGAAAAACAUAGUUAUUAGCAAUAAAGAUGAACCUUUUAGUACUCUUUUUUUUAAUCUCUCCCUCUCAAGUCAAGCUGGUAAAGGUUCUGUCAUGUGGCCCCGGAGUCACGGGUUCAAGCCGUGGCAACAAACUCUUUGCAGGGUAAGGUAGUAUACUAUGGACUCGUGGUCUGGUCUUUCUUUGUACCUCGCACAUAAAGGGAGCUACAGUGCAUGGGACUGUCCUAAAAUAUUAUGCAUUUUGUGUAUGACUUUUUAGAUAAAUGAAUCUAGGAUAUAAACUCUUUAUCCUACUAUUUCUGUACUAGGUAUGGGCUAUUUGAAACUAGGAGGUGGUCACAUUGUCAUUUACAAUUUGAAUAAAAAGGAAUAAAGAUUAAGAUUUCCUUGACUCCAGGUAAACAAAAUUCAAGGCGUAAGUACACAACAAAAAAAGUUCAGUAAUGCAAGCACAAUGAUUUAUUUAAUAUGAGAGCAGAGUGAAAGUGGGGCAUGAUGCACAUGUCAUCCAAAAAAGAAAGGGAGUUUCAAAUAGCUUUGGUCUAUUAUGAAAUGAUGUCACUCAUCGUAUUGGUUCAGCGUGAAUGAAAAAGAGGCGAACAUCUGGAGCAUUUUAUGAUAAAGAAGGUGUCACCGAAAUUCAAAGAGGCGAAUAUUUGGAGCAUUUUAUGAUAAAGAAGGUGUCACCGAAAUUCAAAGGCAAGUUUUACGUAGUGAUAGUUAGACCAUUUAUGUUGUAUGGGACUGAGUGUUUGCUAGUCAAAAUUCUCUCGUUGAUCUGAGUUGUGACAAUGAGAAUAUUUUGAUGGAUGUCUCGACAUACUAUAAGAGAUUAUAUUAGGAAUGAACAUAUCCAAAAUAAGGUAGGCGUGGCCUCAAUGAAAGCAAGAUCCGGGAAGCAAUAUUGUGAUGGUUUGGACAUGCGAAGAGAAGAUGCACGAAUGCCCCAGUGCAAAGGUGUGAGAAAUUGGUUAUGCGUGGUUCACGAGAGGUAGAGGUAGCUAGGUCGAAGAAGUGUCGAGGAGAGGUGAUUAGACAAGACAUGAUACGGUUGCAAUUUAUCGAGAAUAUGGCAUUAGAUAUGAGAUUGUGGAGGAAACAUAUCAAGGUAAAAGGUUAAUAGGUAGGAGAACAUUGUCUUGCAUAUCCUUCCAUAGUGAUAGUCAUUGUAAAUCUCUUUUAGUUUCCCGUCCUUCAAUUUAUCUUAUUAUCUAUUGUCUCCUGUACUUUGAUUACCGCACUAUGUAUUGUAUUUACUAUUUUUUUUCGAAAAUAUUUUGUCAUGCUUUCAUAGUGUUUUGACCAUUAUUUCUUCGCUUUCAAUUUUUUUCUUUAUAUAUCAUAUGAAUGCAAAUCAAUAGUUUCUUAUAAUAUGACGUAUGACUUCCCAUCUUGAGAAUUUAAUAGUACAAUGAAUUUUUUUUAACUCUUGAUAUUAUGUCGAAAAAUUAAAAAUUGAUCAAACAUCUUCUAAACUCCUAAAUCUUUAUGAAUUUUUGGUGUAUGUAUUAAUUUUAUAUGAUUUUUAUAAUUUAUUAGUAUUUGACUGGAGAUAUUAAAUUUAACUAUGUAUUAGGUAAUUUUUGUCCAAAAUGAAUUUCCACUAUUUUUUAAUACGUAUAAAAGCAAAUGUCUUACUACCAUCGACGACAACAGAGAGGUAAGUUAAGGUCAUUCUUUCUUCUCAACAUAAUUCCAAAGAGCCUAGGAAAGAUGUGGUUAGUAAAUUAUUAUCGAGCUAUUCGUAGCCGUAAUUGUUGUGUAGGAUGCUUGAGUAGGCAUAUCUAUCGUAAUUGUUGUAUAGGAUGCUUGAGUAGGCAUAUCUAUCCCUCGAUAGGCUCUUAUUAUCUAGAUAACGACGUCGCAUUAGAUACAACUUAGAAUUAUUUGAAUAGGUCGCUCAUAGCUUGUCCGCUUACUUUCAGACUAUAUAGAUAUACAGUUGCCUUCGAGGAUAUACAAAUAUAUAGAUGCCUUCAGGGCUAUACAGAUAUGCAGUCCGCUUACUUUCAGACUAUAUAGAUAUACAGUUGCCUUCGAGGAUAUACAAAUAUAUAGAUGCCUUCAGGGCUAUACAAAUAUACAGUUGCCUCAGGGCUAUACAUAUAUACAGUUUCCUUCGAGCUACACAUAUAUACAAUUGCAUUCAGGCUAAACAUAUAUACAAUUGCCUUUGGGCUACACAGAUAUACAGUUGCCUUCAGGGCUAUAUAGACAUACAUUUGCCUCGAGGCCUGCACAUAUAUACAGUUGCAUUCAGGCUAUACAGAUACCCAACUAUCUUCGGGGCUAUACAAAUAUACAAGUGCUUUCUGGACUUUACAUAUAUACAGUUUUCUUCGGUCUAUAUAGAUAUACAAUCGUCUUCAAGCCAUAUAAAUAUACAGUUGCCUUCGGGGCUAUACAAUAAAUCGCUGCCUUCAGAGCUAUACAGAUAUAUAGUUUCCUUCGGACUAUAUAACUAUACAGUUGCCUUCGGGCUAUGCAAAUAUAUUGUUACUUUCUAGGCUAAAAAGAUAUAGAGAGCCUAUGGGGUAGCCGAUUACAUUGGUCCUACUAGCCAAGUAGUUAUAUAGAUGGUCACAGGGCUAGUGUAAUACCCUGUAUUCCCUAGCUUAAUUUAACUCUCAGUACAUGAGUAUUCCUAUAUAAAUUUUUUUUAAAUACUCAAAAAUUUUUCAGUUUAGAGCCUGCGAUUGCAUAGGAAAUUCAGUCAGCUUUCCAACGAUAUAAAAUUCGCCCAAAUCCGAUAUCCGGGUGAAGAGUUAUAGCCAUUUUUGUAAAACAGUGUGUCAAAAUGACAAGCACCACAUCGCAGAGUCAUUCCAAAUGACAAUUGUCAAUUUUCAGUGUUCCAUCGCGAUAAUGGCGCGUCGCGUCAAGGCCCAUUUUCAUAAUUAUCCUUUUUUCAGUGAAGCUCCGCGAUUUCAUCGAGUCGCGCUAAGGGCCAAAUUCUCAUUCAGUGGGGUACCGCAAUUGUACCGCGUCACGCCAGGAGUCUAGUUCCCAGUUGUCCAAUUUUCAGUGAGCCGACGCGAUUGUACCGCAUCGCGUCGGGAUGAAAAUUGAGAUUUUCAGUUUCUGUUAUUUAAUUUUAGGGACUAUUUGGUAAUUUCCCAAAGCCCCUAAUUAGUCUUAAACACGCGAAUUAAUCCCUAAAAAGCUGAUUAAAUCAUUAUUAUUCAAUUUUUUUGCCAAAUAUCAAGAGCACUCUCUCCCUAAUAGCAAACCCUAGCUUCAAGAAAUCAAGAACAAUCCUCAAGAACUUCAUCAAGAAUCUUCAAGAAUUAAUCUUCUCAGGUAUGUUAGGUGUUCAUUCAUGAGUUCCUUUCAUCCAUGGAGUUCAAGAACCUCUUUUCAAAUUACAAGUUAUAGAGUCAUGAUUUCAAAUUCUUGGAAUUGAAUGUAUUCAUGUUCAUGAUGUUAUAUGGGUUUUCCUCCAUGAAUUAAUUAUAAGUUCCAUGAAAUUGAAAUAACAUGUAUAUUGAAUUGUGUGAUUCCCAUGUCAUAACCCUUGAAUUAGCAAGUUUGGGUGUUGCAGUUACAAUGUUUAUAUGUUGUCCAUGAUUAUAUGCAUUAAGUUGUGCUCCCCAAGUGUUUGAUAGAAUGUCCAUGUGAGUUAAACGGUGAAAUCAUGACAUGCUAACAUAUGUACAAGCUUAUGCCCUACAAAUGUUUGAUAAAAUGUCUCUAUGAAUGAAUUAUGAACAAAUGGACAUUGUGAUACGUUUAUAGUCAUGCUGUGCUUUACUUUCCAUGCUAUCGAGUCCUGGAGGUCUUCAAUACCCGAAAAUCUAGUUGUUUACCUAGAGCUACAGUUGUUACAAAAUAGUCUCAGUAAUGUCACGAUUAGUAGUACUCAGUUAUAGAACUCAGUAAAACUCAGUGUCAUUCCAGUUCAGCUUAGUAUAAUAAUCAAUGUCUUCAGUUAGGAGUAGGAUUUAGCACCGAGUGAACCCAAGGAUGGGGACUCACCUGCCAGUAGAGGGUGUGAUCCUUAAAAGCAGUCUUUGCAUUCCAGAACUACGUAGCCAGCGUAGGUUGAGACAUUAACUUGCCAGUUGAGGGUUGAUGAGGUAUUUUAACCCGCCAGUUGAAGGUACCACCGUUUUCAUUAGAGUACCUGCCAGAUGAGGGUGAAUCUUCAGCUUGUCUUUACUCGUGGUACAGUACUGACACCCUUUCAAUUGGGGUUACAAGUUGGACCCCAAUCCAUUUGAGAGUGACAUAUCGGUUAGAUGAUUACCUCCCACAGUUUCAAUUUCAGUCUCAGUAUAGAGCUCAGUUCAACUCUACAGAAUCAGGGCUGUCAGAAACAGUCAUUUAGUAUCAGUAAUACAGUUAUCAGUAAUUUUAGAUAUCAGUUAAUCAGUAUCAGCAAUCAGUACUCAGCUUCAGUAAAAGCUCAAAUAUAGUAAACACGUAUAUUCGCAGUAUUGCAUACUCAGUAUUUAUAAUAUUUCACUUAUCCAUGUACUCUCAUAUUCAGUUACUCUAUAUCAUUCAGUCAGUUAUUGUUCAUGUAUAUGAACCCUUGCAUUCAACUUUACCUCAUCUAGCAUACCAGUACAUUCCACGUACUGACGCAUACUUUCUCUUUGCACAAUCAUGUCUCAUAUCAUAGGUGUGAAUGCUCAGGUUUUGCCGUGUCUAGACAGAUUCAGUCAGCAGUAACAGAUUUAGUAGUGAGUCCUCAUCUAUCGAGGAUAUGUUUUAUUUCAGUAGCUUCAGUAUUUCAAUAGUUGGAGUUAGUUGGGGGCUUGUCCUAUCAAAUCCACAUUUAGACAUUUCAGUUAGAGGCUUUUUAACUAGACUAGUUCAAACAGUAUUUAAGUUUUUAGAUGAUAUUACAGUUGUUAUUUUUUAUUAGUAUUCAGAUUAUGAACCUUAUGGCAUUUCAGCCUAUUUUUUGCAUUAUUUUAGUGUUUAUUAUUCAGUGCUCACAGCAGGUACGAAACAUGGGUUACCUUGUGGUCCUUCGGGGUCAUAAGCAUUGUGCGGCGUCCAAGAUGCAGACACGGGGUGUUACAGCUAGGUGGGUGCUAAUAGGGGUAUGUAGAUUGAUUUUACACCGGAUAGGCUUGGGGGAGAGGGGGGCGAGUAAGUGUUAUUUAUUAUUUUUUGUACUUGCUGAGUUUAUAGGGGCUCAAUCAAGUUAUUGUUUGAUUAUUGAUGUAUCAUUUGUGCGUAUCAUUACAUUGUAUUAUGAUUAUUCUAGAUUCUUCUUCUCGAGUACUUUCGGUAAUUGAUGAUAUCACAUUAGCUCUGUUCACUUAAGUUGAUUGUUGAUUUAGUUACAGUUUUAAGGGUGAAGUCAUGAACAGGUAAGUAAGUUCAAGCUAACCGUGGACUCUCCAACCAAGUAUUUUUAUAGUAUUAUAUAAUAUUUGUUUAGCUACUUAUAGACUCACGAGUUGGUACGCUUACUUAGAUUAUAUUUUGACCCCUGAUAUAUAUUUAUAUUCAGUACUUUAUGAUUCCUGCCCAGUUACUAUUCAUCUUGCAUACUCGAUAUAAUAUUUUGUACUGAAGCUCCAAGUCUGGGAGUACUUUAUUCAUGCUUGUAAGUCCAAAUAGAUCGAUAGAUACACUUUCUUUGUAUUAGAGCGGAGUCCUAGCAAAUUGAUCAGUUCCAAUUCUUGAUUGGUCGACUUCUCUAUCGUCGGAGUUGCUAAAUUUUAUGAGGUUUAUUAACUAUUGUUGUAGAUAGUUUUUAGGUAAGUCGGGGCUCUAGCUCUACCAAGUUUUAUUAAUCUUAAAGGCUUCCAGACUUUAGAUUUGUAUAAAUGUGCAUUUUGAGCUGUGUUAUGGCUUUAUUAUCGUUGUUGAUAGUUCCACAACCCGUUGGCUUAGAUUAUAUUAUAUAUGCCUACAAAAACAACAACAUACCCGGUGUAUUUCUAUCAAGUGGGGUCUGGAGAGGGUAAAGUGUACACAGUCCAUACCACUACCUCAGAGAAGUAGAGAGACUAAUUUCGAUAGCGCCCCGUUUCAGGAUAGAUAACAAUAUAACAAACAAAAUACGUCAAAGCAUGCAACAACAAAGGAUAUCAGGACGCUACAUAGUAAAAUAUAAUAACAUAAAUAAGACAUGCACAAGGUAAUACUAUAAAAUAUCUAUUCAAAAAAAUAGGUAUCACCAAAACACCGCAGACGUACUCCUACACACUAACCCUCUACCCUAAUUCGCGUCCUUUACGCCUUCCUAUCAAGGGUCAUGUACUUCGUAAGCUGUAACUACUCCAUGUCAUGUCUAAUCAUCUUCCUCCAAUACUUCUUAGUCCUACCCCUACCCACCUAAAUCCAUCCAUAGCCAACCUCUCAUACCCCCGUAUGGAGCAUCCGUGCCCCUCAUCAUCACAUGUUCGAACCCUUGCAGCCUCACUUUUCGUAUCUUGUCCUCUACCAAAGCCACUGUUAUCUUCUCCUAGAUAAUAUCAUUUCUAAACCUAUCCCUCCUAGUAAGUCCACAAAUCCAUCGCAACAUCCACAUCUUCGCCACCUUCAAUUUUUAGAUGUGGUUGAUUAAGACAAAACGAUUCCCUCAAUAUAGCUUAACCCUAUCAAUGUAGGUUAGUUAGUUGUUGACCAAUGGAGGUUUGGUAAUAUCUAAAAUGAAUGAUAAGAGAUCGGGGUCGAUUAGUGUUAGUUGGAAAGGAACUUGAUCCCUCCCCUCCUAAAAAAAGGACGAAGCCGCAGUUAGCCCUACUUUACAGAAUCAACCAGUCUUUCCAUUCCUCCUGUGACCCCUUUGGAAUUCUAGUUUUUCUGGAAGUGGUAUAUGCUUAAGCCAUUUGAUAAGAAGUUUUGAUUUUUCUUAACUGGCCAACACUCCGCUCCAUACAACAUAGCCAGUCGGACUACCACUUCAUAGAAAGUAUCUUUGAGCGUAAGAUGCACCUUCUUAUCACACAAGACUCCCGAUGUGAUACUCUAUUUUAACGAUCCUGCACUAAUAAGGUGCGUGAAAUCCUCAUCAAUCUACUAAUUCCUUUGAAUUAUAAACCCAUGGUACUUGAAAUACUCCCUCUUCUGGAAGAACUGGGAAUACAGCUUCACUACCAGGUUCACCUCAUGCGACAAAUCACUAAACUUACAUUCCAAGUACUCCAUCUUAGUCCUGCUCAACCUAAAUCCUUUAGACUCACAGGUCUUGUCUCCAAAGCUCCAACUUAUUAUUAACUCCUACUCGAGUUUCAUCAAUCAGUACAAAAUCAUCAUUAAAUAACAUACAAUAAACACCUCCCCUUAGAUAAGCUGCAUCAAAACAUCCAUCACCAAGGCAAAUAAAAAUGGGCUAAGAGUCGAUCCCUGGUGCAACCUUAUCAAAAUUGGAAAGUGCUUUAAAUCACCUCCCAUCAUCCUUAAAUGAGUCUUUGCAUCAUCAUACAUGUACUGAAUUGACCUAGUUAGUAUACGGGCACCCCUCUAGCCUUCAAGCACCUUCACAGAAUCUCCCUGAGAACUUUGUCAUACACAUUCUUAAGAUCGAUAAACCCCAUAUGCAAAUCCUUUAUUCUCUCCCUAAACUUCUUUACUAAUUUCCUCACGAGGUAAAUGGCAUCAGUUGUCGAGUGACCUAGCAUGGAAUAGAAAUGAUUCUCAGAAAUUAUCACGAUCCUCCUCAGUCUCAACUUUACUAUCCUUUCCCAAACCUUCAUAGUAUGACUUAAUAACAUAAUACCCCUAUAGUUGUUGCAACUUUGAAUGUCCCCCUUGUUCUUAUAUAAAGGAACCAACAUACUUCAUUCUACACUUCGGGCAUCUUUGCCGCUCUAAAAUAGUAUUAAACAAUCUCCCUAGCUACUCCAAACCUGCCCCGUCAGUGCUCUUUAAAAAAAGAAUCUCGUCUGGCCUAGCCACCCUACCACUACGCAUCCUAUGAAUAUCCCUAUUGGCCUCCUCCACCUUGAUACAUCUACAAUAACCAUAAUCAUGACAUUUUUUUUAGUUUACCAAGUCCCCAGCAUGAAACCUUUAUCCCCUUCGUCAUUCAAAAGUCUAUGGAAAUAAGAUUGUCAUCUCUUCCUAAUGAGAGCAUCCUCUACCAAUAUUUUGCCAUCCUCCCCCUUGAUGCACUUCACUUGUUCAAGGUCACAAUCCUUCCACUCCCUAGCCUUGGAAAGCCUAUGCAACUUCCUAUCCCCACCUUUCUCCUCUAAAGUUGCAUACAAACUCUCGAAAGCCACUAUCUUCACCGUUGUAAUCGACACCUUAGCCUUUUUCCUAGAUAACUUAUAUCCCUCCUUAUUCGUCCGCUUCUUCUCGUCAUCCUUGUUCUCCACCAACUUAGCAUACACCACCUUCUUAGUAUCUAUCUUUCUUUUGACAUCUUCAUUCCACCACAGUCCCCUCGGUGCUUGCUCGAUCGACCUCUUAAAACACCCAAUACCUCUACAAUAGUCUCCCCAAUGUAACUGAUAGUCGUUUACUUUAUAUUAUUCAUAUCAUCUCUACUCUCCCAAUACCCCUAAGUCAUCAACUUCUCCUCUAUCUCUAAUGCACUGGACAAAUUUAAUCUACCCCACUUAAUCCUAGGUCGAUCCUCUAGUCCCCUCUUCUUUCUUUCGUUUUUGAUUACCAAGUCCAUCACCAGAAGCUUAUGUUGGACCAAAUGAAUCUCGCCAGGUAUGAAUUUACCGUCUUUACAUAACACUCUAUCAAUCUUCCUAAGGAGUAAAAAGUCUAUCUGGGUAUUGGCCACCAAACUACGAAAGGCACUAAGGUGCCCUCCUUUUUCAAAAAGCCCGAAUUCUCUACCCACAACCCAAAAGUCUUAGUAAAUCCAAAAAAGAAGCCCCUCAUUCAUUCCUUUCCCUGAGGUCAAAACCGCUAUGCAUAUCACUAUAACCUCCCCGAUAAAGACCCUAUAUGCCUAUUGAAAUCUCUUCCAACUAAAAGCUUCUCAGAGCUCGGGACGUCUCUCACCAUCUUAUCCAACAAAUCCUAAAAGACCUUAUUCUCCUCCUCGGCCAAGCCUAUUUGCGAUGCGUAGGCACUGAUAAAAUUCACCGUAGAUCCUCCAAUGACCAACUUAAUCGACAUCAAUCGAUCGUUGACCCUCCUAACCUCCACCACCUGCCCCUUAAGUUCUUCAUCUACUAAGAUACUUUCCCUAUUCCUACAUCUCAUGCUAUCCGAGUACCAUAAUUAUACCCAUCCACAUACCUCGUCUUAGAGCCUAUCAAUUUGGUAACUUAUACCUACCCCAUUCUUUUUAUUAUAUAUACCUAUCUUUAAUUUUUGUAUAGAGAACGUGGUGGCCUCAACGGUCAUAACAGGACUUGUGUUCUACCUAUUUAUUACUUUAUAUGAACUGUUGGAAGUAGCUAUUUUCUUUGUAGAGCUGUUGAAAAGGGCCUCGCCGGUCGAGGAGUUAUUUGUAAGGUGAGAUAUACUUGUUUAUUUUCUUGGUUAUGUAUGGCCGCUAUGCACCAUUAGCAAAUGGUUUAACAGGGAAAAAUUGGGCCUCAGUUUUGACAUUAGGUGCAGUUGUGACCCUCGAGUUAGGGGCGUGAUAAGAUGAUAUUAUUCUUAUUAUUAAUGUUUAUAGUUAAAGGUCAUUUACUAAGGAAAAUAGACAUAUUCGAACAAGGGCAAAUUUAUAAAAUAAAUAAAUAAAUGCAAUAAAAAAUUAUUUUUACCUCAUAACUUACCAUAAUUUAACACAUAAACUUACUAAAGAUAAUUCAUAAAAGAAAGACAAUUUUUUUUUAAAUCUAAUAACAUGAUUCUAUCUAGGAAAAAUAUUUAAUGAGUAAUUAUGGUCUUUACAUAUUGGAAAUUAUGCAAAGAAAUAAAUAAAGGAACUAAAUUAAGGAAAUAACCUAAAAUAUGUUGGUUUUAUCACUAUAAAUACAACCUUAAUGUUGAGAUCCGUCAUCACAUUUUUUUAUUUUCGUAAUUUAAAGAUUUAGCUAUGGCUGAAGUACCUCCAUCCAAUGCUAAAGUUUCUGCACCUGAGAAAAAGUUUAACCAGUGGCGUUGGAUGGUAAAAUUGAAGAAUUCACACUUUCUCAACUUGAAGAGCUGAAAAAGACCUUGGAGGUCAAGCGGGAGGAAGUUAAUAGGAUGACGCUCAAUAUGCAAGAGCAUGGUGUCGUAUUCCCUUUUGACACCUUUGGAAUGUAUCCUACUUGGGACCCACGAUUUCAUGUUUGGCCAUCUGGAUCUAGUUAAAUUUGUAGUAUUCAUGAUUUUUAAUAUUAUAUUUUAAUAUUUUUGUCAUGAAAUAAAUAAAAUCUAUGUCUUUUAUUUGAGAGCAAUUUUCACAAAUAGCUAUUGUUUGGUGCCAUAACUAUACACAAUGUUCCUUUUCAUAUUUAUCAAAUGAUACUUUCCUAUAUAUAUAUAUAUCGUUUGAUUAUUUAAAAUUAAAUGAUCUUCUUUAUUGCGGAGAUUUUUACUAAAGUGUAAAAAUUCAAAUCACUUUUCAAAAAUCUUUCACACUUUAAUAUAAUAAUGUAAACAUAAACAUAUACACAUAUAUGUUUUACCUAUUCCAAGUGGUUGAAGGGAUCAUCACUUUUGCAUUUGCGUGCCUCUUUUCCUUGUUGCCACAAGCUAAGAGACAUGCAUCAAUUUGAACCAUAUUUGUGUUACGAUUUUUUUUAUAUUUAUAUAUAUAAAAUUUUCUUUAUUUUUAAAGUCAAUCUUUACAAAUUUAUUGAUUACGUUCUAUUACGUACUUAAAACAUUUUAAAAUCUGGAAUUUCUUAAUUUUUUUCUUAUUUUAAUAGUUUUAUAUUUAUUUUUAGAUUUUUCAAAUCUUCUUAAAAUCAAAUUUAGUUGAUUUAGGAUUCUUAAACUAAUAGAAAAAGUAUCAGUUGUCAGGGAAGGUUUUACCAUAAACAUAUGUAAUUAAUUUUCAACUCUUAAAUUAGAAAAAGAUAUAAAAAUUCUGAUGUCUUCUAAUAAGGAAACGUUUUUACCAUAAAUAUAUUUAAUUAAUUUUCAACUCUUGAAUAUUAGAAAGAAAUAGUGAAAAAGACGAUUUUGUCCAAAGCAAGGACUUUUAAUGAAGGGCAAAAAGUUCAAUUCACUUUUCUAAGGGUCUGCACACUUUUAAUGUAUUAUUAUAGAUUAUAGAUUAUAGAUAUAUAUUAUAGAUUGUUGACAUAGAUAUUAAUUAUAGAUNNNNNNNNNNNNNNNNNNNNNNNNNNNNAUACCUGUAAUAUUCAUAUAUUCAUAGAAGACAAAAAUAUGAAAAUCAAAAUUGCAUUGUUUACGUGAAGAAACCAGAUUGAGACAAAGCUAUGGCAAAGUUGGUGAAGAAGAGCAUGGAAUUGCUACAAAAGUACAUAAAACCAGGGUUUUAUAAAUCAAGAAGGAACAAAAUUUGGACUUUUAUUUAGUUUGCAUUAGGACUCUUCUAUUAUAACCAAAAGAGGAAUGAAACGAACCGAUUUUUUUAUUUUAUUUUGACUUUAAAAAUAAGAAAAGAUUUUAAAUAUAUAUAUAUAUAUAUAUAUAUAUAUAUAUAUAAUAUAAUAUAAUCGUAACACAAAUAUGGUUCAAAUUGAUGCGUCUCUCUUAGUUUGUGACAACAAAAAAAUUGGAACAAUAUGACAAACACAAAAGUGAUGAUCCAUCAACCAUUUGAAACUCUUGGUGGUGUAGACACCUAAUUUUGUCCCUCCUCGAUAUCAUUUUUACUUAUUUUUACCUUAUCCUACCGUGUACCUUCAACCAUAUAAUUAUACCUCAUGAAAAGACAAAAAAUAACAAAAUUAAAACUACCUACCCAAUCAAGAAUAGCCAUUUUUCACAUUAUUCUAACCAACUAGACACUCACCUCUCUUAACGAUUUUCCAUGGACAAAAAUUCAUAGACAAUACACCACUCACACCUUACAAUACACGAUCUGGGAACCUCACAAUAUAUACACAGAGUUCAUCUUCCAUUAACGGACAACAUCCCACUCACAAAAGCCACUAUACGCACCUCACUGAUAUUUAGGAAAACUGGGAUAGAAGAGAGAGUGGAAGGGAGAAGUCGAGAGAAUCGGGGGAGAGGGAACCAAGAGAGAAAAUUGGCAGACGAAUUUGAGGAAGAAAGGUCAGUUCUGCAUUCGAUUUACUGUUCCGACGACGGUUUCGACGGAAACAUAUCAAAAAAUCACCAAAUCUGAUUGAAAUUACCAGAAAAAGGGCUACAGGCUGACGUCUGAACUUCAAAUCCAUUAAUACCCCAAGAUCGGCGUCAAAUCAGUUCGUUAAUCAGCCUUUUCUGACGAAUCUGGAUGGAAAAAAUGUUUUCUCAGUUUUCGCGGGGACUAUCUUGGGUUGUUCCGGCUUCUUUUCGGGUUUUGAUCGAGUUGGAUUUGGUUCAAAUUGAGUUUUCAAAUCAAAGUUAUUAGGCGCAGAUUAUGUUCAUUCAUUGAAGUAUUAUUGAAUUUCAAAAUCUUCAAAUUGAGGUCCAAUCCUAUCCCUUCUUUUAUUUCAUUAUUUAUUAUAUUCGGAUACAUCCAAUGGCACGUUAUUUGUUGCUUGAUCUGUGUUGGUAUUGAAUAUUUGAUUUUUUUGAAUCGUGGUCGGUUCCCUUGAGUAUGGAUCAUAUCGUGAAAUGAUGUCUCGUUUGAGAAUUAAAAUUGAUUGUUUUGGGGGCGAAAAUUGAAAAUCAAUAAGAGUGAAUAUUAUAGUAUUUUGAUUCAUUGUUUAUGUUGAGCAUUGAUAGUAUCAUGUUUAGGUCGAAACUAGUAGGCAAAUUCUAGGCUUUGGGGUGGGCAACCCGUAGGAUUUUAAUCAUCAAACGUUCAAAUAUUUAUGUUUGAGUGAUUUUCUUCAUUUUUAUCGUUUUCUUAUUAAAUAUAUUCAUUUAGUCGGGAAUGCCCCGAGGCUUAUUGUAUUUAUUCACCGGGGAAUGCCCCGACGUAUCAUGUUGGCGGCAGAUGAUCGUGAUGAAGGCCCGAGGCUUCGGGUAGAGCGUAGUUAGGAUUAGCCUAGAAUAGAGUAGGUUUAUAUUUUCGUAUUUUUUUUAUUUCGGGACUGUAUAAUUGGACUGAAUACUAAAUUUUGAAUUGUUUUAUUUUGUUUUGCUUGAUUGAUUGUUUUGCAUGCUUUGUGUGGUUUAUACAUUCAUAGUAUUUAAAUUAGCCGGUAUGCUCCACCAAGCGACCGUGAUCGAACCACGGGAUCGAGGGGUGCCUAACACCUUCCCCUCGAUCAACAGAAUUCCUUAAUCGAAAUCUCUGUUUGCAAACCAGUUUUAAAGAGUCAAAUCAUUUUGAAAAGGAUUUUCUAGAGGUGACUUGACACAUCUGAUUAUGCCAAGUGGCGACUCUGAGUUUUGAUUGUUAAAAGUCCUUUUCGAAACAAAUCUUCAUCUUUGUCACUUUAAUAAUAAAAAUCCUUUCGAAACUUAAAAUGAAUCUUUUUGGUUAAAAAAGGGGUGUUACAGCUCUGGCGACUCUGCUGGGGACUUUUCAGAAUUCGAGCUCAUUUUGGAGUUGUAUCGGCUUAGUUUGGCACUAUAGGUGUAUAGAUAUUUUGUUUGUGUUGUUUUAUGUUAUUGUAUUAUCCCUGUUGAGUGUCUACAUGCUCUUUGUUUACAGUUUUUAUCUUAUGUGUUACCGCUUUAUAUCUGACAUCAUGUGCAUAACCUGAGUCAUUCUUCUGCAACAAGUCCGUAGUACACGUGUUGUACACGAUCUUUAAUUGAGUCACCCUUAUUUUAGGGGGGAAGCCGUCGGUAUUAUUGAGUAGGUGGAAAGGAAAGCCGCCACUAUCGACCAUACGCUCCCCCGAAUAGCCUUGUUAGUGAACCCCAACGUAGGUCAGCCUUUAAGUCAUGCUUAUGUGCAUCAUAUUGAAGACCUAGCAGGGCCCACUUGGUCCUUUUUAGGAAACUCACCUCUAAAGCAUUCCUACAUGCUAAAUGUUGCAUCUUUGAGGGUAACGAGGUCAUUUGACAGAUUAAUUUGGGCAAAAGCAUGAGUUAGAAGCAAAGUGUGUAGGAAGGAAAUUGUUGAAAAAGGGAAGAAAAAAAGAGUGAAAAAAAAGAGAUUUGGUAGUUUUUAGGGUUCUUUAUGGCUUUUGUUUUUCACAAUUCAAGGAUUAAAAAAAAGUUUUUUUUUUUUUACUUUUGGCACUCAUUUCCCAAAAAAUCAAAAACGUUAAAAAAAUUUCCUUUUAUUUCUUUAGAAAGCAUUCACAAUUCGAAAACUCCAAAAUAAUUUUUUCCUUUCAAUAGGAGCUUUGUACAUUUUUAUAUAACGAAAAUAUCAAAAAGAUUUUUUCUUUCAUAGUUGUUGGUGUUAGUUUCUAAUUAAAAACUCAAAAAAAUAUUUUAUUUUCAUCGUCUGUCUUUAGUUGUGUCUCUCAAUUCAAGGUUUAGUUUGUCAUUUAAUCCUUAAUUGUCCAAUCUGGACGAACUACGCACCCCUGAUUCUCCUCUUUGGGAGUGAGAUAUAUAGGAAGCCAUUGUUGAUUCAGGGAUCUUAUUUGAAAAAUUCAAAAAAAAAAAAGAAGAUUUUCUUCACUCUUUAUUAGAGUAGGUGUUUAAUAUACAUCUUUAAAAGAAAACUACAAAAAAGAUUUUUCUUUUAAUAGGUUCAAGUUUCAUUUUCAUAUGAAAUUCAAAAUCGAAAAUCCAAAAUGAUUUUUCUGUUUCAUUUUGUAUAGGAAGUUUAAACUUGAAAAAUGCAAAAAAAAAUUCGUCAAUUCUUUUGACAAUUUGUUAUUUCCUUUUCUUUUUAAAGUUUCAAGAAAAAGAAAGAAGAAAGGAAAAAAAUUAAUAGGCCAUUUUGGCAAUACUUCACGAACUACGCACACCGAAUUCUCCUCUCUCGGGAGUGAGAUACGUAGGCACCCCGCUUGGGGUCGGUGAACUUUCAAAAAAAGAAAAAAAAGUUUUGAAAAAAAAGUGUUGAAUUCUAACGCAUUUGCUAUCUCUUGUUCAGUUAGUUUAAGGUGGUUGGUUUGUGGCAUUUUGGCUAGUCCUCCAUAUUGCAUCAAGUUACAGAGAAAGUUAUGGCCAACAAGGAUAUCGAGUUUGUUGUCACUGAUCAGAUAGGGAUUUCGAGCAAUGAGAAUUUAGGAGCUAAUGAAGAGAUUCAAAAAUUAAGGCAACAAAUGAUAGAAAUGCAGCGAGCUUGAGCUAAUGGGUUGCCACCUCCUCCAUUUCCCGCUGAUAAUCUGGAAUAUCUUUCUAGCUUGCCUCUAAUGUCACAUACAUAAUUUCCUAUUUUUGUUGACACACCAUAACAUGCAUUAGAACCUGCUCCGGGGCAACACUAUCCAAACACUUCCAAUAUUCAUUUCCUCAUCCUCAACACAAAGCUACCACAUGCUCGGCUCUACCCACUGUUCGUGUUUUUGCAGCACCACCCUCACCCGAAGCUCCUACUUUUGAGGUUUCUCCAUAAGUUGUACCUCCCCACUCUGCUAGAGAGCCUGUAUUAAAUAUUUUUGCUGAUCAACAUCAUGCUAUUGAGCCCACAUUUAAGUCGAUUAAUCCUUAUGGUUAUACUCACCCUCCUGAAUUUCCUCUUAACACUGAGAAGCCUGUUAUAGCAGAAGAACAAGAGAAAAUGACCAGAAAAUUAACAAGUUUAGAACUGUCUAUGAAAGACCUCCAGGGACUUGGAGGGUACAAAAGUGUCUCAUAUAAAGAUUUGUGCAUGUUUCCAGGGGUUCAUCUUCCUUUUGGUUUUAAAAUGCAGAAGUUUGAGAGGUAUGAUGGACAUGGCGAUCCUAUAGCACAUUUGAGAUGUUAUUGAAACCAACUAAGGGGUGCUGGUGGGAAGGAAGAAUUACUCAUGGCAUAUUUCGGUGAGAGUCUUUCAGGCCUAGCUUCGAAAUGGUUUGUUGAUCAAGACAUCGAUAAGUGGAUUAGUUGGGAUGACCUAGCUAAUGAAUUUGUGCAACAAUUCUAAUAUAAUGUGGAGUUGAUUCCUGAUGAGAAAUCCCUAACUAACAUGAAGAAAAAGAGUACUGAGACUUUCAGAGAGUAUGCGAUUAGAUGGCGUGAACAAGCUGCUAGGGUGAAACCGUCAAUAAAAAAAGUAAGAUAGUGGAGGUAUUUAUUCAAGUGCAGAAUGAAACAUAUUAUCAACACUUGUUACCUGCAUUAGGCAAGCCAUUUAUUGAGGUCCUCAAAAUGGGGGAGAUGAUAGAUGAUGGAAUUAAGAUCGGUUGAAUUAUGAGUUUUGCAACAUUGAAAGUGACUACUCAAGCAAUUCAAAAAGGUUUGAGAAGUGUCGGAGGGAAGAAGUAUGAGGAAGAUGCAUCUGCCAUUAUAGUUGGACGACAGGCACGGGCAAGAGAAUCACACCAUCGUUACCCACAGGCUCAAACCCAAGCUUAUGCCCAAGCUCCACAAAAUCUUUCCCAAAAUCCAUUAUACUGUAUUCCCCCACCUACAUAUCUAAUAUACAAUGCACAACCACAUGGUCAAUUCCCUUCUUACCCACAAUGGCUUGCACCAUCUCUUCAGAGUCAUCCUCAAACUCCAUAAAUAUACCAAAGCCCUUGUAGGUCCGAUUUUUGAUCCAAGCCAAAUAAUGAAAUGAGGCAGAAGUCAAGAGAUAGCUUCACACCAAUUGGAGAGUCAUACGUCAGUUUAUUCCAGAGAUUGGUACAACGGGGAAUGAUCACUCUUCUCCUUGGGUAUACUUCUGACCCACAUUUAAGAAGUUUUGAUGCUAAUGUACAAUGUGCAUAUCAUUCUGAUGUUCAGGGUCACAGUAUUGAAGAUUGUUGUUCUUUGAAAAGAGAAAUAGAAAAGAUGACUCAAGAUAAAUCAAUUAUGGUGCAGACCAUUGACAGUGAGGAAAGCUCUAGUCAUGCUGAUAUGCAAACCAGUGGCUAAGAUAUCAGGCUGGGCAAUUGAGAAAUCACCCCCCCCCUUAGAAAGAGGUCUGGUAGUUUGUUUUGUUUUAUUUCUUGUUAUUCGAAUUAUUUCAGGGUUGUAGUUUGGGAUCUAUCUUGUUGUGUCCAUUUGUCGUUAUGUUCAAACCCUUCUAUCUUUCAUUUUAUUUAAAUAGAGUGUCCCUUUUUUCUUUGUGUUUUAAAUAUGUUUCUUUUGUUUUCUUUCCACAGUAUAUUUUAUGUUGAAUCUAGUGAUAUGACAUGCUAAUGGAAUUUUCAUCCAAAUCUUAAAAUCCAGUUUAAGCAUAAACAUUGAAUCAGAGGUUUAAAGUUAGAAAAAGAGAGCAUCUGAGAAAAUAGGUAGAGUGAUGAGACAUUUAGUGACAAGUUCAAGCAUUCUUUGAAAAUUAAGGCCAUUUAUUUUGAGAAUCAUAAGAAUAACUUGGUCAUCAAUUGUAAGACGUGCCUCAAUUAAGUCAAACAGUGGAUGCGUGAUCCUAUAUCAAGAGAGACAGAAAGAAAAUCAGCUCCAUAAAAUCAUAAGUCAUUCAACAUAAGGAAUGUACAACAAAUGUGGAGUUGUAUGCUAGAAAAGCGCAGAAGAAGCAGUGACACACAGACUCAGUCAAAGUUAAUGUUGUAAAAGAUGUCGGACAUGAUCUUGAUCUCCAACUUUCAAAUUGCAUGUUAUGUGCUUGUAUUUUCAAAGAUUGAUAUGACGAAGGCAUUUCAUUCUGCUAUCCAAACAUUGUGUCAUCCUUUGUUUACCCCAUUUGAGCGUUAGUUUUAUUUUCUUUCAUACACCUCUUUUGGAAUCAAGAUAGAGUCAGUAAAACUCAAAAGAAAAGUGUCGAGAAAAAAAAUAUGUCCAAAAGGGAAGAAAAGAGUGUCAGGAAAUUAGAGUCAGGAAAAUCACAAAGAAAAAAAAGUCAAAAGAAAAAAUGAAAUCAGAAUCAAGCAAAACAAGCCGCCAGAACUACACAUGACCUGAUUCUCCUCUUUCUGGGGGUGAGAUACGUAGGCUUCCCUACUAAGGGAUCGGUCCAACCAAAUAAAUAAUUUAGAGUCACCCAGUCAAUAGAAAUUGGGGCAUGAGUUAAUCUUCAUUAUUUGAGUCGAUUCUAAAAUUUAUAAGUCCCACCCCACUUCAAGUAUCGUUCGGGCCUCAUGUCAUCUCUUCUUUCUAACAUUGUCCAAAAACCAAGUUACAACCAAAGAAAGACCUUCAGAUCAAUCUCUGAGAAAUUUAAGGCUUAAGCAUGCAAUGGAUAUGAUGAUGCAUUUUGGGUACUACCUGUCUUCCACGGCAUAAAAAAAAUAUGAGAGAAAUAAAAAUAAGAGUCUUAUUGGUGAAAACUCUUUCAGGCACUGUAAGAUGAUAGUAAGUUAAGAGAAAUAAAAAUGAAAGAGCCUUAUUGGUGAAAACACUCACGGGCACCAUUAGGAGAUGUUGAGCAGAGAGAAAGAGAAUGAGAGAGGCUUGUUGGCGAAAAUCCUCCAGGGCGCCACUAGCCGAAUAAGGUCUCCGAAUGCAAUUGGCCCAAGGAAGCAACUCUAGUUUACGGUCAUUUACUCAAUAACAAUUUGUGAGAGUUUUGGAUGGGAAAAUCAGGCAGUUUAAUCCGAUAUAGAUGUCAUAAUCAUUAGAUUUGACUGUCAUUUCCAGAUAAAAUUUUAUUCAUCUUUUUCAAUGGGGACAUUCAUUGUCGUUUGUUUCUUCUCUAUAGUUAUAUUUUUAUCUUCUUGAGCCAGUUAUCCAAAUAAAAUAAAAAUUGUUGUCAUUUUUCUCUUGUCUUUUAGUCGAAAGUCCAUGUCAAAACAAAUGAGAAAAAAUUUCAAAACUAGCUACCAGCUUCUUCAAUUGCACUAAGCAAGACAAAAGGCCAGUACAUGAAAGAGACAUGAUUGUAAGCCGAAAAAGGGCAUGCAUAAAGCUUUGUCAACAGGCAAAUCUGGAAACUUAUGAAAAUACCAAGGUUUAAUAGGUUUAUCUGAGAAGCACAGAAAAGCAGAGAUACUGUGUUUAUUUCAGAGUCACUCUUAAUAAUCUGAGUUUGGGUCAAUGACGCGACAAAGCAUGGGCAAGUGCCAGCAAUCGAAAACAAAAUGAAGGAAAUGAACAUUGGAGCAGGUGUCGGGAUAGACAAGUGCUGCAAACCACCACUAAGUUUUUAUUGACAAAUUUUCUUUGUUGAAACAGGGGCAAAUUCGUUUCACUUAAUUCAGCUACCCUUGGAAAAGCACAUCCGUGAGAAUUUACUUUCUGUUCAGGACCCUCUUGAAAAAUGAGAAUUUACUUUCUGUUCAGGACCCUCCUGGAAAAUGGAAAUUUAUUUUAUGUUCAGGACCCUCCUGGAAAAUGGGAAUUUAUUUUAUGUUCAGGACCCUUCUGAAAAUGGAAAUUUACUUUAUGUUCAGGACCCUCCCGAAAAAUGGGAAUUUACUUUAUGUUCAGGACCCUCCUAAAAAAUGAGACAUUAUUUUCAGAAAAAUGAAGUCUUUCUUUAUUAUAGUCCUUAUUUGGAUAAUUCAAGCAACAUUGGUAAGGAGACACACUUCCUUGGUUUGGUAAUUCAGGCGACAUGGGUAAGGAGACGCACUUUCUUUUUUGGGUAAUUCAAGCAACAUUUGUAAAGAAACGCACUUCCUUGUUUGGGUAAUUCAAGCAACAUUUGUAAAGAAACGCACUUCCUUGUUUGGGUAAUUCAAGCAACAUUUGUAAAGAGACGCGCUUUCUUAUUUUGGUAAACCAAGCAACAUUUGUGAGGAGAUGCAUUUCCUUAUUUGGAUAAUUCAAGCAACAUUUGUGAGGAGACGCACUUCCUUGUUUAGGUAAUUCAAGCGACAUUGGAAAGGAGACACACCUUCUUGUUUGGGUAAUUCAAUCAACAUUUGUAAGGAGACACACUUCCUUGUUUGGUUAAUUCAUGAGGCAUUGGUAAUUCAAACAACAUUUAUAAGGAGACGCACUUCCUUGUUCGAGUAAUUCAAACAACAUUUGUGAGGAGACGCACUUCCUUAUUUGGGUAAUUCAAGCGGCAUUGGUAAGGAGACGCACUUCCUUGUUAGGGUAAUUCAAGCAAUAUUUGUGAGGAUACACACUUCCUUAUUAAUGUAAUUGAAGUGACAUUUGCAAGGAGACGCACUUCCUUAUUUGGGUAAUUCAAGCGGCAUUGGUAAGGAGACACACUUCCGUGUUUGGGUAAUUCAAGCAACAUUUGUGAGGAGACACACUCCUUGUUAAUAUAAUUGAAGCGACAUUUGUGAGGAGAUGCACUUUCUUGUUUGGGUAAUUUAAGUGGCAUUGGUAAGAAAACACACUUCUUUGUUUGGGUAAUUCAAGCGACAUCAGUAAGGAGACACACUUCCUUAUUUGGGUAAUUCAAGAGGCAUUGGUAAGGAGAUACACUUCCUUAUUUUGGUAAUUCAAGCAACAUUGGUAAGGAGACACACUUUUUUAUUUUGUUAAUUCAAGUGGCAUUGGUAAGGAGACACACUUCCUUAUUUUGGUAAUUCAAGCAGCAUUAGUAAGGAGAUGCACUUCCUUAUUUGGUAAUUCAAUAAGCAUUGGUAAAGAGACGCACUUACUUGUUUGGUAAUUAAGGCGGCAUUGGUAAGGAGACGCACUUCCUUAUUUUGGUAAUUCAAGCGGUAUUGGUAAGGAGAUGCACUUCCUUAUUUUGUGAUUCAAGCAGCGUUGGUAAAGAGACGUACUUUCUCGUUUGGUAAUUCAAGCGAUAUUGGUAAGGAGACACACUUCCUUGUUUGGUAAUUCUGGCGACAUUUGUAAGGAGACACACUUACUUGUUUAGGUAAUUCAAGCAGCGUUGGUAAGGAGACGCACUUUCUUGUUUCGGUAAUUCAAGCGGCAUUGGUAAGGAGACGCGCUUCCUUGUUUGGUAAUUCAAGCAGCAUUUAUAAGAGACGCAUUUUCUAGUCGGAAUCCCUUGCUUUAAUUCUUAGGAGAUGUAAUUCCUAGUCUUGGUCAUUCAAUUUUACUCUUAAGAGAUGCAUUUCUUGGUCAGAGUCUUAAUUCAUCAUUACAACAUGCAAGUAGGAGUCCGCCUGAAGAACAAGGCAAAUAAAUGAAAAAUCAAGCAACAAAGUUAAGAAGCUGAAAGUCAAGCAACAAAGUGAAGAAGUUGAAAGUCAAGCAACAAGGUGAAGAAAAUGAAAGUCAACAGAUUGAAAAAUAGCAAGUUAGGAGCCUGCCUGGAGAACAGGGUUAUGAAAUUGAAAAUCAAGCAACAAGUUGAAGAAAUUGCAAGUCAGGAACCCGCCUGAAAAAUAGGGUGGUGGAACUCAAGUCCAAAAGCAGCUGCAUAGAUAGGAUUUUUGUAAUUUUAUUUAUGUUUUAACUUGUAAUUUUCAUUUUUGAUGUAAUGACAGAUCCGCAGACCGGAACCUCGGCGGGCCUCACUCGACUCUCCAACUCGGUAUAGUCCCUCUUCUUCUAACCCUUUGAGAUACCUGUGACGUGAUUCCCUCAUAACUUCAGUAGGUGGGAUGUCCUAAAUCAAGACUUGGUCUCCCUCCUUCCUUCUGUUUCAUUCUUUUUGAAUAAUGGUCGGGACAAAAUUCUGUCUCGUUGUCUACUUCUUUGUCUGAAAAUACUUCGUGUUUACAUUCAAAGGGGGCAUGAUGUAGACACCUAAUUUUUUCCGUCUCCGAUAUCAUUUUUACUUAUUUUUACCUUAUCCUACCGUGUACCUUCAACCAUAUAAUUAUACCCCACAAAAAGACAAAAAAUAACCAAAUUAUAACAACCUACCCAAUUAAGAAUAACCAUUUUUCACAAUAUUCUAACCAACUAGACGCUCACCUCUCUUAACGAUUUUCCAUGGACAAAAAUUCAUAGACAAUACACCACUCACACCUCACAAUACACGAUCUGGGAACCUCACCAUAUAUACACAGAGUUCAUCUUCCAUUAACUGACACCAUCCCAUUCACGAAAGCCACCAUACGCACCUCACUGAUAUUUAGGAAAACUGGGAUAGAAGAGAGAGUGGAAGGGAGAAGUCGAGAGAAUCGGGGAGAGAGGGAACCAAGAGAGAAAAUGGGCAGACGGAGUUGAGGGAGAAAGGUCAGUUCUGUAUUCGGUUUACUGUUCCAGCGACGGUUUCGCUGGAAACACAUCGAAACAUCACCAAAUCUGAUUGAAAUUACCAGAAAAAGGGCUACAGGCUGACGUCUGAACUUAGAAUCCAUUAAUACCCCAAUAUCGAUGUCAAAUCAGUCCGUUAAUCAGCCUUUUUUGACGAAUCUGGCCGGAAAGAACAUUUUCUCGAUUUUCGCGGGGACUAUCUCGGGUUGUUCGGUCUUCUUUUUGGGUUUUGAUCAAGUUGGAGUUGGUUCAAAUUGAGGUUCCGAAUUGAAGUUCUUAGUCGCGGAUUAUGUCCUUUCAUUGAAGUAUUAUUGAAUUUCGAAAUCUUCGAAUUGAGGUCCAAUCCUAUCCUUUCUUUAUUUCAUUAUUUAUUAUAUUCGGAUGCAUCCAAUGGUGCGUUAUUUGUUGAUUGAUCUAUGUUAGUAUUGAAUAUUUGCUUGUUUUGAAUCGUGGUUGGUUCCCUUGAGUAUGGAUCAUAUCGUGAAAUGAUGUCUCGUUUGAGAAUUAAAAUUGGUUGUUUUGGGGGCGGAAAUUGAAAAUCAAUAAGAGUGAAUAUUGUAGUAUUUUGAUUCAUUGUUUAUGUUGAGCGUUGAUAGUAUCAUGUUUAGGCCGAAACUAGUAGGCAAAUUCUAGGCUUUGGGGUAGGCAACCCGUAGGAUUUUAAUCAAAAAUCAUCAAACGUUCAAAUAUUUAUGUUUGAGUGAUUUUCUUAAUUUUUAUCAUUUUUUAUUAAAUGUAUUCAUUUAGUCGGGGAAUGCCCCGAGGCUCAUUGUAUUUAUUCACCAGGGAAUGCCCCGACGUAUCAUGUUGGCGGCAGAUGAUCGUGAUGAAGGUCCGAGGCGUCGGGUAGAGCGUAGUUAGGAUUAGCCUAGAAUAGAGUAGGUUUAUAUUUUCGUAUUUUUUUUAUUUCGGGACUGUAUAAUUGAACUGAACACUAAAUUUUGAAUUGUUUUAUUUUGUUUUGCUUGAUUGAUUGUUUUGCAUGCUUUGUGUGGUUUAUAUAUUCGUAGUGUUUAAAUUAGCCGGUAUGCUCCACCAAGCGACCGUGGUCGAACCACGGGAUCGAGGGGUGCCUAACACCUUCCCCUCGAUCAACAGAAUUCCUUAACCAGAAUCUUUGUUCGCAAACCAGUUUUAAAGAGUCAAAUCGUUUUGAAAAGGAUUUUCUAAAGGUGACUUGGUACAUCUGAUUAUGCCAAGUGGCGACUCUGAGUUUUGAUUGUUAAAAUUCCUUUUCGGAAUAAAUCUUCAUCUUUGUCACUUUAAUAAUAAAAACCCUUUCAAAACUUAAAAUGAAUCUUUUUGGUUAAAAAAGGUGUGUGACAAGUGGUAAAAUAUAUAUGUACAUAUGUUUAUAUUUACAUUAUUAUAUUAAAGUGUGAAAAAUUUUUGAAAACUGAUUUGAACUUUUAUAUUUUAUUAAAAACCUCCGCAAUAGAUAAAAUUAUUUAAUUUUAAAUAAUCAAACGUUACACGUGCGAGGCACGUGCGGGUUAAACUAGUAGCUAGUCUUAAAUACAUCACGCGAAAAGUUGAAAUUAUAGAGUUGCAAAAAUAAAUAGACAGUCUAUUUAGACAUAUUAAAAAGAGAAGUAAGAUAAACAAAUAGAAAUGGAGUACUAGUAGUUCGCACCUCAUAUAACAAUCAAAUUCCUGAGCAGUGCAAUGGCAUAAAACUCGCGCGUACUAACCUAAGUAAGAAAAUUUGUGAAACGUUUCACUUACAAAUGACUGAUAAUUUGUAACACAGAGGUGUAAGUACCUAUAACCAUAAUGGUUAUGCCUAGUAUCACAAUCCCCACUAUAACAACAUGCUCAAAUCCUACUCUUCGAUAAAUCCCAGAAAUCUUCAAGAAGCACAAGCACGGGAGUACUAGGGAAGCUGUAACACUCAAAAAUGCUCCAACAAGUGACAUGAGAUAUCCAAAUAAGGGGAUAGCUAAUGCUACAAUGACAGUGCUAAUUACUAAAGUUGUUCUGAUAAGUAGGCUGCAGGUCCUUGUGUUGUAUUGGAUUGGAAAUGCAUUUUCAAUACUAUUUUCUAGUGGUUUUAUCAUCAACCCAUACUUCGCAAUUGGGUUGACUAGUGUGGUGUAAAUUGCCACUUUUGAGCUGAUUUUAUUGGUGGGGAGAUUUAAGGUUAUUUGGGAAAGUACACCUGGACCAAACAUGAGAUAUCCCACAAUAGCCAUUGAUGCAUAGCAGAUGGUGCAAAGCAGAAAACAAACAAACAUGACCUGCAAGCAAUAAUUUUUUAGAAAUAAAAUUAAAUAGUUAGUUACCACUCAGUCUAAAACAGAAAAGUGAGAGUUUAAUUCGAUACUCCAUGAUCUAAUUCGGUAAAUGUACUUACUUACAUCAACCAGCGCAUAAACAUAAGCUCUUGACAUAAUAAGUGGAAUUAGUUAUCAGAAGUAGAACUUAAUUUCUAUAUAAUUCUUUUAGACUAUCAAGUCAUCUAAAAGAUAAUAACGCUUAAAAUAACAAAACCUAAAAGAUAAUUAUAUUAUAAAUUAAUCUAUCUAUCUCAAAUUAUGUCACACACUUUCCUUUUUAGUCUGUUCCAAAAAGAAUAUCACUUCAAUUGAAAAUGAUUCUAACUUUAAAAUCUUCUCAUUAACCUUAACAGAAUGAAUAUAGUCAUAAUUAGAACACAAAAUACGAAAGUAUUGCCAAUUUAUAUAUAAGCUAAAUCAGAAGUAAUAAGAUAUGCAAAACUAAUAAGGUCGUUAAUAUUCGAACCUUAGAGAACUUUUUUGGAUUUAUCAUGGAAGUAUAUAAGGUUGGGAAAACUGGAUGAGCACAGUAACAGAAGGCAUAGAGGCUAAUAGCAGUUGGCAUUCCUUUCCAACUUAUAAAUUGAGUGUCAUCAUUUGCUUGAAAUCCAAUUCCAUCAAAUACAGCAGCCCACAAGAUUGAUCCAAGUAAUACAAUAGAUGCCACCACUCCACUGGCAGAUAUAUAAGAAAGGAUGAUCAUAUUGUUCAGCCAAACAGUGGGCAGAAUAACAAAGCUUAUAAUAAUCACAAAACAUUGUUUUCCACCAAUUAUAAGUCCAAAUAUUUGAACUAAUUGUAUGUCUCCGAAUAAGUUUUGCAAGUUAUCGCCCUCUAAAAUCAAGAAACCUGUUACGACCAUGUAAAGUUCAACGUUCAUCGUCGUGGAGACAAGCAUUCUUCCAGUAAUUCCAAAUGCACGUUCCCCAAUGUCAGGGUAACUUGUUAUGGUUUGAUCAAUAUCCAUGCAUCUUUGAAUUAAUAAUCCAGUGUAAUAGGUUGAGAUGGCGAUUAUGAAGAGAAAUAUUAAGCUUAACCAUCCUCCUGAUGCUAAUGCAUAGGGUACUGAAAGUAUGCCAACACCUGAGCAAACAAGUAACCCACAGUUACGAAUUAUUAGUCCAAAAUAUAUUUGUUAAUUAGUUUAGAAAAUUAGAAUUGCUACUCCAGAAAGGUAUAUAUAUAUAGCCAUUUACAGGGCAGAGCCAGGUAUGGCCGAGGCAGGGCAACCAAUCCCUUCUAUGGAAAAUCAUUAUGCUUAUACAUAGUUAAAAUUAUUUUAUAUUGUAAAUUUUAACCAACUGUCACUGCAAAGCUUAGUUAAUCAAGCUGUAUUGAGCAGAGGAGAAAGGACGAAAUUAGGAAAUUUUAUUAACUGUCAUUCAAUUUACAUUGUUACAACUUGCAUCUAUAUAGAUGUAUGUAUAUUUUAUAGAACCUUCUCACCUUAACUACACUACACAUUCAGCUACCAACUCAUCACAUAUCUUAUCAGCUAGCUAACAAACUUAACAAACUUACGUGCACUAGCAACUAACUCAAGAACGCAGUAUACCAAUGUAACAAUGCACAGAGAAUGAUCACAUUUGUUGUGUGAACUAAAACUUUCAAGUACAUAUAUACAGAGAGAGAAAGGGGGUGGGGUGGGGUGGGGGGAGUAGAUGUUGACCCGUUCGACUUCUUCGUUGAUUACUUCAUUAUAUUUGAACCUUUUAAAGAAAAUCCUACCUCCAUCACUAGCCAUUGAUCCUAAUUCGUUUAAGGAAGGAAUCAGGAAUCCUUUGACUCAAAUACCCCAUAUAAUUAAGCAAGGAAUCAGCCAAAAGUAUGCCUCACAAUAGGAAUUCAUACUAAGAUCGAAAUAAUCAGGUGACAUACAAAAGUUAGCAAAACAACCCCGAAAGACGUUAAAUAAGAAGACAAGCGAUAAAUAUAACAAAAGAGACACGAUUAAUUAGCAUUGUUCGAUCCGAUUGACCUACAUUUACAAAAGGAGAUGAGUAAUCCAUUAUAUUAAAAAAAGUAAAAAUGUCGAGAGACAACCUCCCGUAACACUUGUGUCUCACAAAUUCCCCCAAAAAAUACUCUCAAACCCCUAAAACUACAUUAUGAAUGCUAUAAAACUAAAAAAAAAAAGCCUCUAUUACAGAGUCUAUAACCUUUUUUCUUACCAGAACAAAGAUUAAUCAAAUAUAGAGAAUUUAUGCUUUUCUUUUUCUAAAAAGGAUCCCAAUUAUAAUUUUUUUUAAAAAUCAGGACAAAUACCAAUACUUCGUUUGAUCAUAAGAAAUUUUCACUUUUUCGUCAACAAAAUUAUUUCACGUUAUUAAUAAAUUAUUUUUUGACCAUAAAAUUUCAAAUACACUUUAAAUAUAUUUGAAAAAGUGAAAACAAAUUAAUAAUACUUGUUUUCGCUUUUCUUUUUUUCACGUAUUCACCUAUUUAAUUAUGUCUAAAUACGUUAAAUUAUAAAAAAUCUUUUCAAAAAAAUACAACCAAACACAACUUCAACUCUAAUUACAACUCCAAAAAAUCAAAAUCAAUUGAUAUUUUUUUUUUAUUUUCCUGCGAAACGGCUCCUAGGACUUAUGACAAUUCCGGCCAAAAAAGAAAAAAGAAACAAUAAUAAUAUUAUUAAGACACGUCUCAAUCAGCCAAUAGUUGUUACCUUGAAACACUAAAUUUACCUUUUGUACAAUUGUCCAAGUAGGUAGAGCCGUCAUACUCAAACCAAACAACAAACAACAAACAACCAAAAAAGGCACAGAGCGUCUAAUAAUUAAUGUACAGAUAGUAGUAUUUUAAUAAAUAAAAUUCACUUUUUGUAGGAAAAAUACAUACUUUGUUCAAUUUAUCUCUUAAAUUGGCACCAAAUUUAAAAAAAAAUAUCAAAGUAGAUAUUUAAAUUUAUGAUUUUAAAUCAAAUAUAAUAUAAUGUAUCACAUAAUCUUUAGUCUUGUUGCCAUAAGUGAUGUUGGAACUGAACAGAGUUACCCAAUAAAAAAAUCGACAUAUUUCAAAAAAAAAAAAAAAUUAAAAUAAAAGAUAUUACUUAAAUUGAAAUAGAGAAAAUAUCAUUUAAAUAGUAACUUAUUAUUUAUGAGAACUUUCUUUUCAACUGCCUAUGUUUGCUUAUUUUAAAUAAUUUUAACAAUUGUCUCAACUAAGAAAGCUUUUAAAAAAUAAUACUUGUAAAAAUUCAUAUAAGAUCAAUAAUAUCUUAGGAAUGAUUAUAAAUAUUUGACAUUUCGUUAAUGGAAAAUAAGUAUUUGAAGAUCUUUAGUCUUGUUGCCAUAAGUGAUGUUGGAACUGAACAGAGUUACCCAAAAAAAAAACCGACAUUUUUCAAAAAAAAAAAAAAUUAAAAUAAAAGAUAUUACUUAAAUUGAAAUAGAGAAAAUAUCAUUUAAAUAGUAACUUAUUAUUUAUGAGAACUUUCUUUUCAACUGCCUAUGUUUGCUUAUUUUAAAUAAUUUUAACAAUUGUCUCAACUAAGAAAGCUUUUAAAAAAUAAUACUUGUAAAAAUUCAUAUAAGAUCAAUAAUAUCUUAGGAAUGAUUAUAAAUAUUUGACAUUUCGUUAAUGGAAAAUAAGUAUUUGAAGAAACUGUCACUAAAAUAAUAAUUUUCAAACUUGAAUUUCAAAAAUAAGAAGAAUAAACGUGAAGGACAGCCAUAGUGUAUUAAAGCCAGUGGCGGAGCCACAGCCGACGAAGGGUGGUCAGAUGAACAUCUUUCGUUCGAAAAUUUUUUUGAGUAUAUAGGUUAAAUAUAGAUAUUUAUGGUUGUAUACAUGUUGUUGCACACUCUUGAUAAGCUAGAGAAACAUAGUUCAGUGGUCAAGAGUGUGCAUUUCUGCAUCAACAACUUGGGUUCGAACCUUGACAUGUGCAACAGUGCUUUAUUUAUUUAUUUAUUUUUUAAACAGUUCUUUGCCCAAAGGAAGGGACAAUAUAAACACCCUUCACCAAAAGUCUGAUUUCGCCAUUGAUUAAAGCUUCGAUGGUGCUCGAAAUUUAGAGGACAGAAACACAAGCUUUAGUAUUAUAUUACAGCCUUACGUAAAAUAAAAAUAUUUAUUUGUAUUAAAUAAGUUAAAACUCUCUUGUCAAAAGUCGACUUUUGGCUACCAAGUAGGGGACUACGUAUAUGCUUUGUGUAAGUUUUUUGUUAAUAAGUAGAGUAACCUAUGUAUAUGAUACCAAGUAUAUCUAUUGUGUUCUUAAAAGGGAGUGAGCCGUUUUGGUUGAAAAGAAAUACCAGAAUUGACUUAAUGAAAACAAAAAUUAUUCUUCUAAACUCAUGUCUGUUUUGUGCUGUUUUUCGUGAUUAAAAAAAUAUAAAAAAAUUGAAACCCAUUUGUUUAAAAGUAAACACAAAGCAAAAGAUAAAAGGCACAAAGUAACUAUUAGAAAUUAAAGAAGAUGAGAACCUGACAAAGCAUUGAGUCCAUUGAAACAAGUUCUUGAAAAAGAGGUUGGUCCUGAAAUGGAGUGUUGAAUACCAUUCUCCUCCACUCCAAGAAUAGGAGUACUAUUAUUAUCUUCAAUUCUGUCAUCAUUUUGUAAUUUGUGAUAGCAAUUUUCAUUGAGAACUAGUAGCCCCACUCUUAUACUUGACGAGUCAUUGUUAAAUUUAGGCUCCAUGAUUAGAAUUCUUCUUCUUAAGUCUUCCUCUUCUUCCUAUAUUUGUAUGUAAUAAUCAUAUAGAAGAAGAGAAAGAGAGGUAGAAAACUUCUUGUGGGUGAAAAGCUACAGGAAUUGACUCUUGUGAUAAGAUAGGAUGUUGUUGUGUCUAAGGUUACGUGUACCUGAACUGUCACCGUGAAAAACAAAAAGGUAAACAACAUAAAUAUAACACUUUGCUAUCUUAUUACUUUCUCUCAAUUUUUAUAUUAAUUACUUAAUAUCUCGGAUAUGAUUCAUAAGUUUGGUCCUAAUACAUAACCAACAGGUACAUAAUUACUAAACUAAUUGACUAUAAAAAUAGAAAAAAAUGAUAUGAAAUUAAAUGAUAGAGCAAUUAAUGAGAUUUUAAUUGAGAUAUGUCUCUUGAAUCCCUAAAAAUUAGUAACAACUUCAUAAUUAAAAUUUUAAUCACCAUAAUUAACAUUCUCAAAUCAUAAUUCUCCCAAAUGCUCUAAAAUCAAAAUGUGCACAAAAUACAAAACUAAAUCAACAAAAAAUGUCAGAAAAAUUUAUACGUACCUAAUCCAAAAUAUAUAAUUGAUGAUGAUACAUAAGAUACGACAUAUAGUUUUAGAUGAACUAUAAAUACAAUACAUAUGUAUCAGCUGUAUCCAAUAUUUUGAAUAUAUCAGUUGCAAAAUAAUUCAUAACAAUUUCAAAAUUUAGUAUGUAUCAGAUAUAAUGAUAUAUCUCUUAAAAAUUGAUUUACGCAUCAUAAUAAAUGUAUCAAGUGUAAACUAACCCAAAUUACAUGCAAUUUCUUAUAAUGUAUCAUAAAAUAAUGCAAUGUGUCGUUAAAAUCAGAUAUAUGUAUUCGGCAUAUUAAUGUAUCAGGUUUACAAGAACCAAAACACAUAUAAAUAUUAGUAUGUAUCAGAAAGCCUGCAAUGUCUCUUAUGUAUCAAAAACCUUAGAACUAUGUAUCAAACUCAGUAAAGUGAAUGUAUCAAAUAUUAAAAAAGAAUCUAAAUCACAUAUAAAUUUCAAUAUGCAUUGGAAAGCAUGCAAUGUCUCGGUGUAUUAAACUUAUGUGUCGGAUUCACUUCAAAAUAUGUAAUUCAUACCUUUGAUAAAUAGUUUCUUUUUGUAACUUGCUUUCUUUUCUACUUUGUAGAUACAACAAUAGUCUUUAUGACUACUACCAGUAGCCUCCCGUAAUUUCUUCUUCAUAUUCGGAUAAAUUUGAAGAAAAAAGUUAAUGAAGAUUGUAAAUUUGAAAACAAAUUAACACAAUUGUUAAUGGAGAAUUUGAAAAUUUUAAAAAAGUUAAUUACGAUGGUAAAUUUGAAAACAAAUUUAUAAAAAAAGUUAUGAAAACAAAUUAACCUCCAAAUAAAUUUGAGGAAAAAAGUUACUGGAGGUUGUAAUUGGAAGUUGAAGUUUGAAUAUGUUGAAGUAGUGGAUGAUAAGAUGAUAAUAGAUUGUAAUUGUUGAAUUGAUAAAUUUGUCAGAUAUUUUACCUUGAUUUUGGGCGAGUUUUAAGGAGCAUGAGGUACAAAAAUAGGGUGAGUUGUAAUAUAUUAGCAAAUAUUAGGGUUUUAUGAAUUAGAAGGGAUUUUUUAAAUAUAUUUAGUAAGAUGGUAUUUAAAGUAUUAUAAAAAAGUUAAGGUGUUGACUUAUGUAAUUUUUUCUAAAAAAUAAAUAAAUAAGAAUUGUCAUUGCUAAGUCAAUUAUAUGAAGCUACAGAUUUUGUCAAUACAUAUAAUCUCAUCUCAAACCAUAUUCUACACAAAAUAAACAUGUUUAAAAUUUUUAUGUGUAUUACUAAUUAUAAAAUAAAAUGUCUCUAAAAAUAUAAGAGCUAAGAUAACACAUAAUUGUGUUGAUAUGACUAGGGAUAUAUUCCAUUCAUUGAUAUCAUAUUAUGUAGAUUUUCUUCAAUUAGAAAGAAGCAAGCAAGCAAGAAAAGACUAGUAAUUCGUCUGUCUCCUUGUUUAUUUUGCUUGUACUUUUGCAUGAUGUUGCAGAAUAUAGUAGCGUACAAAAAAGGAGCAGGCUGACAUGAUAGACCACGUGGAUAAAUUUUCAGAGGGUCCCCACACACUUAGGGAUGCGUUUGGUACGCUCUAUAGGAUAAGUAAAAAUAUCUUAUGAUGUGGGAUAUGUUGUGAGAUUAUUUUGUUCCUACUCAUUGAGUUGUAAUUCCAUCAUUUUAGUGUAAAUAAUGAGAUAAAAUAGUUCCGAAAUUAAGUCAUACCUUAUACCAAACAUGAAUAAGGUUAAUCCCAAACCUUAUUCCGGAAUUAUUCUUCUUAUCCAUUCUAACCAACGAUCCUUUAGUGUAUCUUAGAUUUCUGUACUAAAUUCGUGAUUUUAUCAAAGACGCAAUUGGACUAUUAUCAUUAGAGUGGCAGCAUCAAAUUUGAAUUCAAUUUGCUUCACUUCUUAAUCAGUACGCCAGAACGAGUCCAGGAAAAUGGUGUUGAAACAAUACAAAAUCGAAAGGAUAGAGAAUAGGGGUUUAAAGUAAAUAGAAUCCAACUAUGAAUUGGCUAAAACUUCUUCAUAUUCCUAUUAUUAACAUUAACUAGAAUAUUAUACGUGUGUUGCACGUGUGUUUUACGUAAUUAUACACAAGAACGAAGAAUAGUACAACAAAAUAGUAAUUGAAGAUAAAAAAGAGGAAAAAAUUAAGUUGCAUAGAAAACAUGAGGCCUUAAUUAUAAGACAUAGCUAUAGUUUUAAAAUUUACCUAACACAACUAUAUGUAGGGUUUGUAGCAUCUCUCUCUCCGUAUCUCUCCUUCUCUCGCUCACGCUCUCCUCCCUCCUCUCCCUCCUGUCCCUCUCCCCUCCCCUCUCUCUCUCUCUCUCUCUCUCUCUCUCUCUCUCUCUCCUCAUUUUCUUGCCGCGGUGAUGGAAGAGUUGUAUAUGUAUUUAUUGUAUGUCUUAGGUAUAAGUAUUUUGAUUUAGAUAUAUGUACCGACUGUAUAUGUAUCAGUUUAAUAUGUUUUAGCUAUAGGUAUAAUGCAAGAGUUGUAUAUGGAUCAAUAUGUAUUGGUCUUAUAUAUUUUGAUCUCUGUUGUAAUAUACAUACAAAUACAAUUGAACUGUGUCAUUAUACGAAUCAAUAUGUCAUAUGUUAAUCAGGUUGAUCUCCUCUCUCCUAAUCUUGCUCGCCUCUCUUAUCUCUCUUUCAGUCUCGUUCACCACUCUCAACAUUUUAACGCUCACAUCUCUUCUUUCUCUUCCAGACUCGUUCUCCACUCUAAUCCUUUUAACGCUCACCUCUCUCUCCUUGUCUCGUUCACCACUCUCCUCCCUUCACAUGUAUAUAUGAAUUGUAAUUAAUAAACUAUAGUUAUGAUCUCCCCAACUAAGUUUAAUCCUUAGCUAUUUUAGAAACUUAGCCUAAAAUAAAUGUUAUAGCUAUGUAAAUGAUAAAAAUUAAAAUUGUAACUCAAAUAUAUUGUUGGAUGUUGUGUCUAAGGGAUCGCCCAAGGGCUUUAAGGACCCGGGUCCCGGUCCGAUUGGGUUUUGAAUUUGGGCCCGGUUAAUCCGAACUGGACUCAAUCCGAUUAGGGCCCGUUGGUUAACCGGCCCGGCCUAGCCCGAAUAAGCCCAUUUAAUUUUUUUUUUUUUUUUAAGAUUUUGGAAAAUUGGGCCAAACUAGCCGUUGGCCCAACGACUAUAACGGCUAGUUUGGGCCCAAAUAUAAAAAAAAAAGUCUUUUUUUUUAAUUUAAAAUCAUUUUUUAAUCGCAAAAAAAAUUCUAUAAAUACCCUACACUUUCAAAUCAUUUUCCACACAAUUUUUCAUCCUCUCAAGUCUCAAAUCUCAUUCUCUCUCAAAUCUCAUUUCUCAAUUCUCAAACAUUCUAUAUAUUUAAUUUCUAAAGUGCUCACUUUAAUUUUUUAAUUUUGCCGAUUACUAAGUACGAGUGGAAGUUUCUUGUCACGCCCCAAAAUCCCAUCGGGCCGGACGGGCACCCGAAGCCGAGAAGGCCCGGAAGAACCCGUUCAGAUACCUGUACUUUCACUUACAUGUCACCAAAAAUUUGGACAACACUUCGUUGCAUAUAGAAGGGUCUAAUUACCUNNNNNNNNNNNNNNNNNNNNNNNNNNNNNNNNNNNNNNNNNNNNNNNNNNNNNNNNNNNNNNNNNNNNNNNNNNNNNNNNNNNNNNNNNNNNNNNNNNNNNNNNNNNNNNNNNNNNNNNNNNNNNNNNNNNNNNNNNNNNNNNNNNNNNNNNNNNNNNNNNNNNNNNNNNNNNNNNNNNNNNACCCGAAGUAGGAAAUGCUAACGUUAGAUCCGAAUUGGUUAAUCUCCCUCCCCGUCCUCCCCGUGCCCCAAGAGCUAAUAAACAAACUAGUGUUGCAUGAAAAUUUUUUGAAUAUAUAUCAGAUACUGAGGUGCAAUGCAAUACUUGUCAAAAAAUAUAUAAGAAUAAAAGAGGAGGCAAGCAAGGGGGUACGGGUACGUUAAUGAGACAUUUAGCUGAAGACCACGAAAGAGAGUUAAAAAUUGCACAAGGUGGUGAGGCUUUUGGUGGGCCCACACAAACUAGAAUGGACCCAACAACCGGUCACGUAACGAAGAAGUAUAAUAAAUUGAGGGACCGGGAAGAAAUAGCAAAAAUGGUAGUUGUAAGUUGUUUGCCUUUUAGUUUUCCUUCUUCUGAUGCUUUUAUUCAUUAUAUUCAGGCAAUUUAUAAUCCUAUGUUUAAUGGUAUUCCUAGAAGUACUUGUCGGNNNNNNNNNNNNNNNNNNNNNNNNNNNNNNNNNNNNNNNNNNNNNNNNNNNNNNNNNNNNNNNNNNNNNNNNNNNNNNNNNNNNNNNNNNNNNNNNNNNNNNNNNNNNNNNNNNNNNNNNNNNNNNNNNNNNNNNNNNNNNNNNNNNNNNNNNNNNNNNNNNNNNNNNNNNNNNNNNNNNNNNNNNNNNNNNNNNNNNNNNNNNNNNNNNNNNNNNNNNNNNNNNNNNNNNNNNNNNNNNNNNNNNNNNNNNNNNNNNNNNNNNNNNNNNNNNNNNNNNNNNNNNNNNNNNNNNNNNNNNNNNNNNNNNNNNNNNNNNNNNNNNNNNNNNNNNNNNNNNNNNNNNNNNNNNNNNNNNNNNNNNNNNNNNNNNNNNNNNNNNNNNNNNNNNNNNNNNNNNNNNNNNNNNNNNNNNNNNNNNNNNNNNNNNNNNNNNNNNNNNNNNNNNNNNNNNNNNNNNNNNNNNNNNNNNNNNNNNNNNNNNNNNNNNNNNNNNNNNNNNNNNNNNNNNNNNNNNNNNNNNNNNNNNNNNNNNNNNNNNNNNNNNNNNNNNNNNNNNNNNNNNNNNNNNNNNNNNNNNNNNNNNNNNNNNNNNNNNNNNNNNNNNNNNNNNNNNNNNNNNNNNNNNNNNNNUGCUUAUUAUCCUACUGUUUGUAAUAUUUUGGGAUAUAUAACCGAUAUUUCUGGUUUGCUCAAAGAAUAUAAAAAUAAAGAAGGUUAUGAAAAUGUUGUUGGUGCCAUGUUUACUAAAUUUUAAAAAUAUUUUUUCCCGAUUCCCCCUAUUUUCUUGAUUGGUGCUAUGCUAAAUCCGUGUAUUAAAUACCAUACUAUGAGCCACUUUAGUACUCUUAUUUAUCGUAACUUAGAAAUAAAUACUAACAAUGAUUCUGAACAAGUACAACCUGAUUUGUGGACGGCUACGUCUGAUGCGAAUGCUUACACAGAUAAAUUAUAUAACCACUAUGCUGAUUUAGUUGAUUUAGCUGUACCGACACAUAUCAAUCCAACUGUCGCUCCUCAUCCUCUUUAGGUGCCAUCAUUUUCUAAAAGGCCGGCACAUUGUGGUUUUCCUGAUUCCUUUUAUGAUUUAUCCUAUUGGAACAGUGUUGACGAGGGAGCUUACACAUCAAAUUAUCGGGAAGAGCUUAAGUAUUAUCUUUGGUCUCCACCAGAUGAUCACAGACGACGGAUCAACACGUUGGAUUGGUGGAGGAAUAAUGAAUCACAAUAUCCUGUGCUUUCAAGAUUAGCUAGAGAUAUCUUGAACGUUCCAAUGUCAACCGCUGCAUCAGAGAGCGCCUUUAGUCAGGAACGACAGCAACUUGGAGACAACCGACACUCAUUGGGAAGCAAUGCAAUGAAUGUUCUAGUUUGCCUCAGAGAUUGGAUUAGAGCAGAAAGAAGAAAUCAAGGAAUGGAACCGGAGUCGAAUGACGAGCAGAAACUUGAAGAAAUUAUGACUUCGCGGGAGAACUCAGUAGAAUCAGGUCCAAUGCAUGAGUUUGCCUGCAAGUUCCCGUUAAUAUAAACAUGGAUGAGUUGGAAAAAAUGAUGCAUAGUUUGUAGAUUUUUUAUUCAUGUAAAUUAUAAAUUUUGGAUCAUUUUGCAAUCAAUAAAAUUCAAUAUUCAUUAAUUAACUAUCAAGUAUUAUUAAUUUAUUAUAUUAAGUAGUAUAUGUUUUGUAUAUNNNNNNNNNNNNNNNNNNNNNNNNNNNNNNNNNNNNNNNNNNNNNNNNNNNNNNNNNNNNNNNNNNNNNNNNNNNNNNNNNNNNNNNNNNNNNNNNNNNNNNNNNNNNNNNNNNNNNNNNNNNNNNNNNNNNNNNNNNNNNNNNNNNNNNNNNNNNNNNNNNNNNNNNNNNNNNNNNNNNNNNNNNNNNNNNNNNNNNNNNNNNNNNNNNNNNNNNNNNNNNNNNNNNNNNNNNNNNNNNNNNNNNNNNNNNNNNNNNNNNNNNNNNNNNNNNNNNNNNNNNNNNNNNNNNNNNNNNNNNNNNNNNNNNNNNNNNNNNNNNNNNNNNNNNNNNNNNNNNNNNNNNNNNNNNNNNNNNNNNNNNNNNNNNNNNNNNNNNNNNNNNNNNNNNNNNNNNNNNNNNNNNNNNNNNNNNNNNNNNNNNNNNNNNNNNNNNNNNNNNNNNACAUAGAAUAGAGUGUAUAUAUGUGAAUAGAUCUUCUAUAGACAUGUAUAUUUAACGUAUACAUUACUUUAUGUUUUAUAAAUUAGUAUAUAUAUUGUAGUAUAUACUUUAUUUAAAGCAGUACAUAUAUAUUGAAUGAGGCGUAUAUAUGUGUAUAUAUCUUCUAUAAGCGUAUAUAUUUAACGUAUAAAUGUGUUUAUGUUUUAUAAAUUAGUAUAUAACUAUAUAUAUAUUGUAGUGUGUAUAUAUAUAUUGUACUAUUGUAGAUUUGUAGUUUAUAUUUUAUUUAAAGUAGUACGUAUAGUCAUAUAUAAUUAUAUAUUGAAUGAUACGUAUAUAUGUGUAAUUGUUUAUAUAUAUUUUAAAAAUAUAUAUUGUAUAAUUGUAGUGUAUAUAGUAUAUAUAAUUGUAGUGUAUGUAGUGUAUAUUGGAUUUUUCAUUUUUUAAAAACGGGUUUGACCGGUUUUUAACCGGGUUUGAGCGGGUUUAGGUGGGUUUAACCGGAUUGAGUUAAGUGGGCCGCUUCAACUCAAGACAACGGCUCAAGACAAAAAUAGUCUAAAAAAGAUAUAAUGAAAGUACAAGAGACAUAUGAUAGAAUUUACCAUUGAUAAGAAUGUCCGGAGUGCAUGGUAUUCAGGAGCGUCCCAUUUGUAUUCACUACACAACAAUAAUCAGCAAAACUAGAGUUAAAACACGAAUGAAAGAAUCGAUGGACGUCUACCUUACUAGUCUCGACGAAGGCACAAUCACAAGCUGGCGUCCUAGUGAAGCCUUAGUUGCCACUGUAGCAGAUUUCCUAUGAGGAAUCUAAUAUUAGUAGCAACAGCAACAUACAUGUAUGCAGAUCUUAUUCUUGCUUUAACCAAAAAAAAAAAAAAUCUUAUUAUAUUCUUGCCUUUAUACAUAAAUCUAAUGUCAGCAAAUAAUAAUCAAAUCACCGAAAAGAUGUAGCUGUGGAAGUUGAUUCUGCAAAACAAAAUAAAAUAAAUAAUUAAAUCAAUAUAUUUUAAGCUUGUGUACUUCAAAUUCCAAAUUAUCAAUUCCUGUAAAUACGGAUCCUAUUUACCUUGGAGGAAAAAAGAAACAACACUUGCAAUUCCUAUAAACAUGGAUCCAAUUUACCUUGGAGAAUAAAAGCAACAACGCUCUUGCAAUUUGGUUUAAAUAAGAAAAAUUUCAAUGCUUUUUAUAAAAAUAGAGGAAUUAUAAAUAAAAAAGAAUACUAACUUAAAUUUUAAAGAUAUUGUAUUAUAGGUUUAAAAGGACACUGAUUAAUAUUUCUAACAGGAUUUACAUAGCAUUGGGAGGAAAAACACGUAACUCAACUAAACCUACUUUGUUAAAGUGACCUAUCCAAUUCAAAACCAAAAAUAACACGACUUUGUUGGUUGGAACUUGGAAUAGGACUUUGUUGAUUUGUUUAUUUUUUUUUAGUUUACUUGAUUGUCUUUAAAUAAAAUAGGACUAAAUUUUGUAAUUUAAAAAGUGAAAAGACAAUUUUGUCUAAAGGGGACACUUUUAAUGAUAUAAAUUUUGAUCAUCAGUACUAAUAUACAAUCAAUUUUCUAUUCUAACUAAAUUUGAACAAAGAAAAACAAAAAUUCUAUGCAAAGAGAAAUAAAAAAAAUAAAAUAUAUACGUGUAUGAGCAUUAGACACAAUCCUUUGAAGAGUAAUUUAUGUGGAGGUAUCUUAUUCUAACUAAAUUAGGAAAAAUAAAAUCAAAAUCUUAUUCUAACUAAGUUGUAACAUCAUAUUCAGCCCAACAAAAAAAUCUACUUCUAUAAAUACCAAUCUAUUUUAAUAUUGUCUUCAUAACAUUCAAUAUAUCUCGCUGCCGUGUUUUCUGCACUGCAUCGCCAACAAACAUCGCCAACAAACAGUUUUUCCAGUUUGUCUACAAUCUCUCUCAGCAAUUCGUCGAUAUUAUUUUACUGAACUUAAUUACCAAAUCAGCAAUGGACUCAAUCACCAAAUCACUGGUAGCAAUUAUCGAUAUCGACUUAACAGACUCAAUUAUUGAAGCUAUGCCUCUUAGUACAGUGAACUCCACGAUCAUACUUCGAUAAUAAAAACCUUGGUCAUAGGGUAUUAAUCAACAAAAGAAUUUACGCGAACAACAAGUGGUACUCGAAAAAUUUUCACAUUCGUCGAUGAAGAGAUACUUAGUUCAUCAACAUUUUCUAUGUAUUAGAUGUUGAAUCCCUUGAUUAGUUUUUAUAUUCAUUUAUGAACCCCUUAACGAAAAUCCUGGCUCCGCCACUGUUAUAUAACAUUGGGAAGAAAAACACGUAACUCAACCAAACCUACUUCUUUGUUAAAGUGACCUAUCCAAUUCGAAACCAAAAAUAACACGGACUUUUCUAGCCAAAAAUAAUAUUUCUACCGCAAAGACUUUUAAGAGGGCAAAAAGUUUUGAUUGAUUCUAUUUUAGUCAGGAAAGGUUUUUGUUAAAACAGUAUAUUAUUUUUGUUUGGAAAGGUUUUUAAUUGUUACUAUAGUCAAUCUUUAAUAUCAUUAAAAUAAUAAAAAAAUCGCGAAAAGACGAUUUUAUCUUUAGCGAUGACUUUUAAUGAAGGGCAAGAUGUUCAAUUCACUUUUUCUAAUGGUCUUCACACUUUUAAUAUGCAAUUUCUAUAAGCACGGAUCUAAUUUACCUUGGAGAAUAAAAGAAACAACACUCUUGCAAUUUGGUUUAAAUAAGAAAAAUUUCAAUGCUUUUUAUAAAAAUAGAGGAAUUAUAAAUAAAAAAGAAUACUAACUUAAAUUUUAAAGAGAUUGUAUUAUAGGUUAAAAAGGGCACUGGUUAAUAUUUCUAACAGGAUUUAUAUAGCAAUGGUGGAUCUACACUAUAGUCAGGGGGUUGGCUAGGACUUGUGUUAUUUUUGGCUUUCUUAUGCUUCCUGCUAUUUUUGGCAAAGUAAAAGAAUCAUAAUCGUAGUAUAUAUAUAUAUACUACAAUAUGUAUAUAUAUAUAUAUAUAGUUAUAUACUAAUUUGUAAAACAUAUACACUUGGAUACAUUAAAUAUAUACAUCUGUAGAAGAUAUAUACACAUAUAUACACACCAUUCAAAANNNNNNNNNNNNNNNNNNNNNNNNNNNNNNNNNNNNNNNNNNNNNNNNNNNNNNNNNNNNNNNNNNNNNNNNNNNNNNNNNNNNNNNNNNNNNNNNNNNNNNNNNNNNNNNNNNNNNNNNNNNNNNNNNNNNNNNNNNNNNNNNNNNNNNNNNNNNNNNNNNNNNNNNNNNNNNNNNNNNNNNNNNNNNNNNNNNNNNNNNNNNNNNNNNNNNNNNNNNNNNNNNNNNNNNNNNNNNNNNNNNNNNNNNNNNNNNNNNNNNNNNNNNNNNNNNNNNNNNNNNNNNNNNNNNNNNNNNNNNNNNNNNNNNNNNNNNNNNNNNNNNNNNNNNNNNNNNNNNNNNNNNNNNNNNNNNNNNNNNNNNNNNNNNNNNNNNNNNNNNNNNNNNNNNNNNNNNNNNNNNNNNNNNNNNNNNNNNNNNNNNNNNNNNNNNNNNNNNNNNNNNNNNNNNNNNNNNNNNNNNNNNNNNNNNNNNNNNNNNNNNNNNNNNNNNNNNNNNNNNNNNNNNNNNNNNNNNNNNNNNNNNNNNNNNNNNNNNNNNNNNNNNNNNNNNNNNNNNNNNNNNNNNNNNNNNNNNNNNNNNNNNNNNNNNNNNNNNNNNNNNNNNNNNNNNNNNNNNNNNNNNNNNNNNNNNNNNNNNNNNNNNNNNNNNNNNNNNNNNNNNNNNNNNNNNNNNNNNNNNNNNNNNNNNNNNNNNNNNNNNNNNNNNNNNNNNNNNNNNNNNNNNNNNNNNNNNNNNNNNNNNNNNNNNNNNNNNNNNNNNNUAUAUAUAGAUAGAUAAAUAUAUAGUUAUAUACUAAUUUAUAAAACAUAUACACAUCUAUAUGUUAAAUAUACACUACUUUAGUAGAUAUAUGCGCGCACACACACACACAUAUAUAUAUAUAUGUAGUUAUAUAGUUAUAUGCUAAUAUAUAAAACAUAUACACAUGUAUACGUUAAAUAUAUACUACUUUAGAUUUAGAAGAUAUACACACACACAUACAUAUAUAUACCAUUCAAUAUAUACACUACUUUAAAUAAAAGUGUAAAGCAUAUGCUACUUAAUAUAAUAAAUUAAUAAUACUUGAUAGUAAAUUAAUAAUGUAUUAAAACUAAGUGUGAAAUUCUGAAUUUUCAAAAAAAAAAAAAAAACCUUAACCAAGACGGGUCGGGCCGAUUAACUGGCGGCCCAAAUCGAGUUGGGUCCGGGCUGGAUUAACCGGUCUCAAAUAAAAAAUCCAACCGGACCGGGACUCGGACCACUAAAGCCCUUGGACUUAUCGGGUCGGGUCAAAUUAGAUCGAUUUAAUUAUGUGGGAUGGUUCGGACCGGUUUUAAUCGGCCCAUUUGACACCCUUACUUCGUGGAGGUGACUUAAUUAUUGGGAAAUGUAAUUUAUCCAAGUCUUUUUUUUUUUUUUUAAAAACAAGAAAUCAUUUAACUUUGCCAAUAUCAUAUCAAAAGUCAUUCUAUUUAAAUUUGGUCAAUAAAAUAUGAUGUGUCACUUUAUUUAGUCUACAUGAUUUUUUUUUUUCGAUUCGCAUGACGUGAAAAUUUAAAAUUUAACAUAAACUACAGACUCAUCCGACCCUAACUCAUAACUUGAAUAAACCUUAUUUUCAAUUAAAACACAGUUUCAUGUGAAAUCUGAUUAUUAAUGUGCGUGUGUCUCUCUCUCUAUAUUAUUGUGUGUAUCUAUCUAUCUACCUACCUAUAAUAUAUAUAAUCUAUAUUUAUAAUAUAUUAAAAGUGUGAACACUCUUAAAAAAAUGAUUUGAAUUUUUUGUCUUUUAUUAAAAUACUCUGAUCUAAAUUAAAUGUCUUUUUACUUUUUUUUUUUGGCAAAUAAAAUCUCAAAAAUAAAUUAUUUCAGCUUGACUUUUUUCUAACUUUGUCUCCUAUUUAAUUUGUGAGACAAAUUUUCAUUGCUCAUCACUACUGAUGUAGCAAAACCGACACGUCUUGAAUGACCCAUAAUAACUAAUUAGAAGUGAUAUAGAAAAAUUGACAUAAAACAUAUUUGUGAAUUUUUUUUAAGUGAACCUCAUAUAAGAUGUCAAUUUAAUUAAAAACAUCAAGAGUUAAUUUAUUAUUUUAUAUUUAUUUAACCUUUUUUAAUUUAAUAUUAUUAAUUUUUUAAUAUUUAAAUGACUUAUAAUAAUUAAUUAGGGGUGAUACAGUAAAAUUACAAAUGAAGCAGCUGAAACAGAUGUCAUAAAUAUCUGUUUUACUUUUUUUUUAAAUUAAUUUUUUUUAAUACGUAAAUGCCAUAUAAUAAUUAAUUUGGGGUGAUAUUUUAAGUGGGCCUCAUAUAAGAUGUCAAAUUAAUUUAAAAUAUCAAGAGUUAAUUUAUCAUUUUAUAUUAUUUUACCUUUUUAUUAAAUAUUAUUAAUUUUUUAAUACUUAGAUGACUUAUAAUAAUUACUUAGUGAUGAUAUAGUAAAAUUACAGUUGAAACAGCUGAAGCAGAUAUGUCAUAAAUAUCCGUUUUACUUUUUUCAAAAUUAAAUUUUAUUAAUCUUUUAAUAUGUAAUGUCAUAUAAUAAUUAAAUAGGGGUGAUAUAGUAAAAUCACGGAACACGCAGACAGCUGGAAGCAGACAUGUUGACCGCCAGUUACCCGCUUUUAGCCACCCACCCACCCACACUUAUAUAUAGUAGUAAUAUAAUUUAUAUAUUUAUAUAAUAUAUUAAAAGUGUGAAGACUUUUAGAAAAAUGAUUUGAAAAUUUUGUCAUUUAUUAAAAAUCUCUGUAAUAAAUAUAUGGGUAGAGGUUUAUUUAAAGUCUUUAUUUAUGGAAGGUAAAAUUUGAAUAGGAAUCAUACUCCUUUUUUCUAAAAAUAAAAUUUCAAGUAAGGACAAUUUUAAAAGAUUGUAAUUUUUGGUUUUAAAAAAGUUAUUUAUAUAACAGAAAGACAAAUAGAGAUCGUACCCUUUUUUCUCAAAAGCAGAGUCAUCAUACUCUUUUUUUGUGUGUGUCUAAUAGUAUGAUUUUUUUUUUGGGAGAAGGAAUAUAAAAAGAGUUCCAAUUAAAUCCAAACUGUGAAUUUUUGGUGCAUAAAUACGAUUAAUUGCUAAAUUUUUUUAUCAAAAUUGUUGAUCAAUGUUACUUUUUUUUUUUUUUUUAAAAGUUAAUAUUAUUUUCUAUAUGAUUGUGGUGGCUUGGAGUAGAUAUGUAUUGCAUUGUUUCAUAUUGUAUAGUGUAUUUGUAUUUAUGAUUAAAAUACAAUAUUUGUUUUAAUUGUUUCUUAAAAUUUAUUAUAUUAUAUCAUUAAAUUCAUUAAUAUGUAACGACAUCAUUAAUCCCUCGUUAAAAUAGAUAUUCUGAAGGACCAGCAGGUGCUUAUAUUUAUGCACAUAUUUUGGCGCGGGGACAUUAAUUUGUGAUCAAAAUUAUUGAUCGCUGUUACUUUAUUUUAUUUUUAAUUUUAUAUUAUUUUUCAUGUGAUUGUGAUGGCUUGGGAGUAAUUAUGCACUAUAUUGUUUUAUAGUAUUGUAUUACGUAUUUGUGUUUAUGAUUAGACUAUAUUAUUUAUUUUUAUUGUUACUUAAUUUUGUUGUAUUGUAUCGUAAACAUCAUUAAAAUAGAUAUUCAUCAGGGGUGCUUAUAUUCCUGCACAUAUUUUUGAAAGGGGACAUUAAAAAAGAUUGUUGCAUAUAUUUAAAUUUACCAAAUAGAAGUACAUAUGAAUCCUCGAUAGACUAUGCGUGUGAAUUUAAAUCUUUGUCAAAAUUUGAUAAGUUAAAAUAUGAUUUAGUUAUUUUACAUACCCUCGAUUCUGAAUAUCUAUUCAAAGAUGAUAUAUCUAUUUUAUAUUAUUUUCUUAUUGCUUUUGUGGUGAUGUAUAAUAUUCUCUAAUAGGUUUAUCGGUGUAUGUUCUAUCGGGAUUACUCUUAUAUAAUUUGUAGGAUUCUUAUUUUAUAAUGGAUUUACUCUUAUAUAAUUUUUAAGACUUUUUUCUGAGCAAAUCACAUACAUAUAUGAUUUAAGAGUUUGUAUUACAAAACAUAAAUAUAUUAUUUUUUAUUUACAAAAUCUAACUCUUAAAUAGUAUAUGUAUGUGACUUUUACCUUCUUUUAUAUUAUAACCAAAAAGGAAAAAGUUUUUAAAGGUCUUCAAGUUGAAAAUUUUUCCAAACAGAUGGCAGGACAUAUCUUUUCUAACAUGACCCUUUGUUACUUGCUUUAGAUAGUCUUCAUACCUUAAGGAUCGGUAAUAGAGAAAUCCGAAGUAUCAAGACAUAUAAAUUUAUAGGAAGGUAAUGCUAUAUUAAUUUAUCGUGCGUAUGAUUUUCUCUUUAACUUAAUGUAAGUUUUCGUGCGUUCAGAAUAAUCGACCUAAGAGUUGGUUUAAAUUCAAGCUAACCACUAUGCAAUAAGAUUUUCUUUCAAGGUACUGAUAUCAACUUGAAAAAAUUAUAUGUUGUUUCAAUUUAUUUUUGGCCUUUACAAUUUGUUGUUAUUGAUGUUCUUACAACUAUACAUCUACAUAUAGUGAAUCAUUGCUUGACGUUAUAUUAACAGAUACAACCACAACCUAGGCAAUAAGUAUUUUAAGCAUUUAUUUUAUUUUAAAAAAUUGAUCAAACACUGCACUCCUCAAAAUGUCUGAGUUUACGGCUAACAUAAAUAAAUUUGACUCUCAAAAUUCAAACGGUACAUACAAAUUGAUGGACGAAGCAAGUAUUAUAUUACUAGAGGAGUACUAAUGAUCAUAUGUUUUUUUUUUAUCUUAUAGGUAAUUUGAGAAAUUUUUUAUUAUGAUCUAUAAGCUAAGAUAGUUAUGAUCCUAAGUAAGAAGUAUAAUCUAUUAAUGAGGUUGGCUUAAUUGAAUACAAAAGUUGACCAAGUGCAUUUGUUAUAUGCAAAAUCUAAAGCUUGUAAAAGAAAGCAAUAUGAGUCAUUUUUUAUGGUGAUGCUAAGAGACAAGUAGGAAGUAAUGUUGCUUAUAUUACAACAUUUACUUGCUCGUGAAAAAAGAAAGUUAAAAGUUAUUAAUAUAAUAUUGCAAUGUAUUGUAGGUUGAUUUAUUUCUUUGGAUAGCUUUGUUUAAACUUUGUCAUGAAUGUAUUUUUUUUUUUGUCUAUAUCUGGGAUCAUUUGGGUCUAUGGACUGCUUGUAGAACAUAACUUAAAUGAACUUCAUACAAUUAAGGUAAUAUAUAUGUCAGGAGGAAAUAAAAAUAUAUACGCAUGGGGUCAGUAAGUGUUUUCGACUCAAUAAAAACAUAUGAAAUUAAUAUAUGACUUAAAGAAUCAUUCCUUUGAUUAUCUCCAUCAUAAGGGAAAUAAAGUUUGGUUAUAUAUAUAUAUACUGGAUUGUAGUCUUGUAUUUGAAUAUAGACUUAGCACUGUGAAUGUUGGAAAAAGAAUGAAGCCACUUAAUUUGAGUCAAGGUUCGAAAACGACCUCUUUAUAUUUGAGGUAAUGAUAAGGUCUAUCAUUUUCAAACACUACUUUAUGCGAUUACAUUGAAUAUGUUGUUAUUAGUGUUUAGAAUAUCGAUCUUGAACUCAAAAACCUAUAUCAAUAAUAUUAUUUUCUACAUUUUUAAUACUAAUGAUAAGUAUUUAGGAUCGAAGAAAUUAUUAAAUAGCAUAAAGGUCGUUAAAAAAAUAAAGGUACUCAAAAAAUUGUUAUAUUAGUUAGCAAAGAGGUAGUAUUUUUUUAUCAUAUUAUAUUUUGUGUUAUAUUCUAAAAAUUUUAUACUUAAUAAUAUAAUAUGCACACAACAAUUUAUUUUUUUAUACAUUUAUUAUUAUUUACGUUAUAUACACGUGCAAAGCAUGUAUACUGAACUAGUAUAUUAAAAGUGUGAAGGCCUUAAAAAUAUUAUUUGAAAUUUUUGUCCUUCGUUAAAAGUUUUUUCUUUAGACAAAAUCGUCUUUUCACUAUUUUAUCCUAAUAAGUAAGAGUUAAAAAUUAAUUAAAUAUAUUUAUGGUAAAACCUUCCUUGCUAGAAGUCGUCUGAAUUUCACUAUUUUUUCUUCAUUUAAGAGUUGAAAAUUAAUUAAAUAUAUUUAUGGUAAAACUUUUUCUUAUUAGAAGUGAUCAAAAUUAAUGACAACUAAUACUUUCUCCAUUGAUUUAAGAAUUCUAAAUCAACUAAUUUGAUUUCAAGAAGAUUUGAAAAAUCUAGAAUAAAUAUAAAACGAUUAGAAUAAUAAAAAAUUAAAAAGUACCUGAUUUUUUAAAAUUUUACGUACGUAAUAUGAAUAUAAUCAAUGAUUUUGUAAAGAUUUGACUUUAAAAAUAAGGAAAGAUUUUAAAUAUAAAAGAAAAAUAAUCGUAAUACAAAUAUGAUUCAAAUUUGUGUGUCUCUCUUAGCCUAUGGUAAUAAGGAAAAGAGGUACUACAUAGCAAACACAAAAGUGAUGAUCCAUCAACCACUUAAAACUUCGUGUGGUAAUAUCCAUAUAUAUAUUUAUAUAUAUAUAUAAUAAAAAAAUUAAUAAUUAAUAAAUAAUAUAUUGUCUUUAUUGUUUAUUUUAAUUUUCAAAUAUCCAAUUUAAACUUCUCAUUUUUUUUCCUAAAUAAAAUGCUGUGAGAAGAGAAACUAGAAGUAGAAAUUAGAAAUUAAAUUAAUGAUUAAGGACUAAGAAGUAUUAAUGACGUUUAGAAGAAGAAGAAGAAUAAGAAGAAGAAAGGAACGGUGGUGGUUUGAAGAUUAAAAAGAGGUGGAUCUUUUGAAGAAGAAAGACGGGGAAGAGGGUAUAUAUUUUUGUAAUUAUAUAAAAUAUAUAUUAGUGAAAUUAAUUUUUUAUGUGUCUCUUAUGUGGCAACGACGUGGCUCAAGUGUAAUACACUCUCCAUUGUGAGAGUGGUGUUACAUUCUGAGGGUGGUGUUUAAUAUACACGAAAGUAGUUUAAGGAGGUAAAUAAUUGCCUAUAAAAUUUAAGUGCUGAAGUAAGAUGUGGCGACAAGUUUAGGAGGGUUUUAAUGUCUUUUUCAUAUAUAUAUAUUUCUAUAUAUUAGAAUCAACACUUCAAUAUGUGUGCUUCUUGGAAUUUAAUGAAAAGUUGAGGGCAUUUUAGUCUUUUUACAAGAAAAAUUUGCUUAAAGAAUUUGUCCUUUCUGCUAUAUUAGUUGUAUCUUAUUAAUUACUUUAAAAAAUGCCCACAAACUUUCAUUUAAUUACAGACCGUGCCUUUAAAAAGGUCCACAUUAUUCUAUUUAUUUACAAGAUUGCCCUCCAAGCUACAUUUAAAUAUGCUUAUAUAUAAUGAUGGGUGGGUCCUACAAUACUUUCCAACUUUGCAUAGAUUUCAUUUAAAUUAUUUAAAUUUAAGUAAUUUAAUAAUAUAAUAAUUUAUCCUAAUUAAUUGCAACUAAAUAUUUAAAUUAAAUCAAUUUUAUUAUUUUAAUUGACUUUUACAUUCAGAAUUAUUUUUUUAACUUAUUUAUUUUAGUAAAUUUAAAUUUUAAAAUUAUUUUUUCUUAUAUGGAAAUACUAAUAUUUAAACUUAACUUUAAAUUUUUAAAGUAAAAAAUUNNNNNNNNNNNNNNNNNNNNNNNNNNNNNNNNNNNNNNNNNNNNNNNNNNNNNNNNNNNNNNNNNNNNNNNNNNNNNNNNNNNNNNNNNNNNNNNNNNNNNNNNNNNNNNNNNNNNNNNNNNNNNNNNNNNNNNNNNNNNNNNNNNNNNNNNNNNNNNNNNNNNNNNNNNNNNNNNNNNNNNNNNNNNNNNNNNNNNNNNNNNNNNNNNNNNNNNNNNNNNNNNNNNNNNNNNNNNNNNNNNNNNNNNNNNNNNNNNNNNNNNNNNNNNNNNNNNNNNNNNNNNNNNNNNNNNNNNNNNNNNNNNNNNNNNNNNNNNNNNNNNNNNNNNNNNNNNNNNNNNNNNNNNNNNNNNNNNNNNNNNNNNNNNNNNNNNNNNNNNNNNNNNNNNNNNNNNNNNNNNNNNNNNNNNNNNNNNNNNNNNNNNNNNNNNNNNNNNNNNNNNNNNNNNNNNNNNNNNNNNNNNNNNNNNNNNNNNNNNNNNNNNNNNNNNNNNNNNNNNNNNNNNNNNNNNNNNNNNNNNNNNNNNNNNNNNNNNCUUUAAAUUUUUAAAGUACAAAAUUAAUAAAUUUAAUUUAAUAAAAAAAUUUUCCAAUGAAUAUUUUCUUAAGAUUUGUGUUGGGUCAAUAUGUAUCAAGUAAAAAAGAAAUAGAAAAAAAUAUAUAAUAAAAUUUUAUUAUUGUGAGAGAUAAACAUAAUGCACUAUCCAAUAAUGUUUAAUAAUAUCAUAUUUUGUUCAUGCAAAAUAUAGUUUUAGCUGGGAUGUCAACUACCAUUCCUAGUUAAAUAUUGUUUCGCGUGAUAGGCAAAUUGAGCUCAUCUUCCGAUUGCCUUAAUUCGUGGGAUUCAUUGGGAUUCUCGAAGUGAAUAGGGAUUUCUGAACUAAUUAAUUUGUCUCUUACAAUCUCGCUAUAAUAUAUGUUAGCUGGGACGUCAACUACCAUUUCACAGGUUUGCUCAUCGAAAAAAAAAGGGUCUAGUGGUUUUGGGGUGAUAUUAGUUGUGGGGAGGUGAUAGCCGAUCAAGGCACCAACACAUUAUGCUUUUAGAAAAGGGAAAUGUAGAGAGUAGCGGAUCUUUUUGUAACGACCCAUUUCGUCGUUACUAAAGUAUAUAUAAUAAAUUCAUGAAAAUUCUUAAUUUUGAUUCCUCAAUAUUAAUUUGGGUCCAAAUUAGCCAAUAUUUUAUUUAUUAUGUCACCUUAAACUUUUCGACGAAGAUUUUAGCCUUCGGAUGUGUCUAGAUAGACUCAAGCCCGAUGAAUUUAAUUAUUCAUGAGUUCUAAUAUCAAUAACUUAGUUUGAAAUUUCUUUAUCUAUUAAUUAAGGUCAUACAAUAUCCCUAACACAAGGUUAAGUUUAAAACUUUGUUUUCGAUAGAGUUUCGAUAUGGAUAGAUGACUUGAAUUAGUGUUUUGAUUGUAUUAUGUGGAAAGAGGUAGAGGAUAAUGAUAUGCUUGAAUGUGCUAGUUAUAGGUGGUGAUGUUAGAGCCCAAGUUGCGGUAUUUAAAAAGAUAAUGAUAUUUUCAAUAAUUAAUGUGUAAUUAAGGCUCCAAUAGUGACUUGUAUGCCUAAGAAUUAAAUUGUGAUUUAUUUUAUGAUAUUCUUGUGUUGAUAUUGAUAAAAAUACUAUAUCUAUUGGAUGUCCAUGAGAGGCUAAAUUGGUGAUAAUGAUGGUUUAUUGAAUUGUGCCUAUGAGUGGCUUGUUUGAUAAUGAUAACUGCUCAAAGUAUUGCUAUGAAUACUUGUUUAUUGGUAUUCGGACAUGCUUGAAAUUGUUGAUGCGUGUAUAAAUGAUUAUUGAAAAUUUACUUGAUGAAAUUGUCUUAUGACUUUAAGUGUACUUGUAAACUUGGUACAUUGUGUUGUAUGCUGUGAGGUUGUGUAAAUUUGAUAUUGAUAAUUCUUGUUUAUGUUGGAUCGGGUACCACGCUGGUACGGAUAUGUAUAUGUUGGAUCGGGUACCAUGCCGGUACGAAUAUGUAUAUGUUGGAUCGAGUACUACGCCGCUACGGAUAUGUAUAUGUUGGAUAGGGUACCACUCCAAUACAGAUAUGUAUAUAUUGGAUCGGGUACCACGCCGGUACAGAUAUAUAGUUGUUAGAUCGGGUACACACCGGUACGGAUAUGUAUAUAUUGAAUCGGGUACCUCACCGGUAAGGAUAUGUAUAUAUUGGAUCGGGUACCAUACCGGUACGGAUAUGUAUAUGUUGGAUCGGGUAACACGCCAUUAUGGAUGUAUAUGUUGGAUCGGGUACCACGCGCGGUACAGAUAUGUAUAUGUUGGAUCGGGUACCACGCCGGUACAGUACAUGAACAUAGCUUGUUCCCUGCAAGUCAUGACUAUUUGGGCAAAAAUAAGUCCCAUAGCAUGUGUGUACAUAUUUGUGUUGAGUUUGUGGAUGUUUACAAUAUGGUUGAUACUCUUGAUGGUUAUGUGGCUUGUUUGUGAGCACUCUUUGAUCUGUUAUUGUUAUAGUGUUGAUUCAUUGGGUAUUUGAUUGUGUGAUAUGUAUUUGAAAAAUUUAAUCUUUGUACCUAUUUAUAUAUUGGUUGAAGGGGAGCCUUGGAGUAACUGGUAAAGUUGCUGCCAUGUGACCAGUAGGUCACGGGUUCAAAUCUUGAAAACAGUCUCUGGCAGAAAUGUAAGGUAAAACUGUGUAUGAUACACCUUUAUGGUGGGUCCCUUCCUCGGACACCGCGCAUAGCUGUAGCUUUAGUACACUGGACUGCCCUUUUUUUUUUAACUUGCUUCAUUUAUACGUGUUUUAAUUGUAGUUUACCAAAAUGGCUAGUUAUCAUUCUUUAAUAUUCUAAAAUACCAUUUGGUUAUUAUCCCGAGAGUUUAGUUUGGGUUAUUUACGAGUACGAGUUCGUUUCUGUGAAUAUGAGUAAUGAAAAAGAUAAGGUGAAUAAAGAGGAAUAGUGAUGUAUUAGCAUUGGAUUUUGAUUGAUUGUGUGAAUCAAUGAGGCUAGAGUAUGUUGGCAGUGAAUAUAAUAUGGAUGGAGUUGGAAGAGUAGUUGGAUGGUGUAUGUUAUAUAGCUAAAGUAAUAAUAUUAUUACAACCUUAGUUGAAUUAUAUUCCAUUCAAGAUGUCAUGAUUUAUUUGUGUUAAUUCUAUUUUAUGAUUAUAUGAACUAACACGGUCGACCAAUGAUGACUACCAGUACGUGUGGUUGUACUGAUCUUACUCUUCUACAUUCCUUCUUGGAGUGUAGACUGGAUGCAGGUUAGUUGUAGUUACUAGAUGGAUGACAAUAUGCAACACUAAUUUCUGCACUUUCUUCCAAACAGAUGUUAGAAUCUUUGUAUUAUUUAUUUUCUAUGUUGUAGUAGAUAUAUCUUGUACAUGUUAGACGAAGUCUUGGGAUAGUGAAGGACACUUGUAAGAAGUUUUUGAAAAAAUUUAUUUAUUAAUAUUUAAUUUAUCUUAUUUUAUUUAAUCCAGCAUUUCCUCAAAAACAAAAGUUUUCCGCAUAUUUUUAGUUGAGUAAUAAGGGUUCUCCUAGCUGCUUAGAAUAGCAUAGGUUCCCGCAUGAUCCAGUAGUUUGGGUCAUGACAGUUGGUAUCAGAGCGUUAGGUUCACCGGUCCCACAAGUACAAGAGCAAUGUCAAGUAGAGUUCCGUAGAUUAGUGUACAGGGCCCUACACCCAAUCUUCAGAAGGCUAUGAGGCAUGUAGAAAUUGUUUUCCUUUCGUUCUCUCCAUCGUGCCAUUCUAAUCUUGGACUAUUAGAUUGAAUCCAAUUGGCAUCUAGACAAUUCUAAUUGGUAUCUUAACAGAGAGCUCAAUUGAAAUGUAGUUAAUUAUUGGUAUCUUAGUAAUUUUGAAUAAAAAUCUAGGAGAUUUCAAUUGGUAUCUGUUAAUAAGGUCUAAAAGUUAUUGUUAAUAGGUAAAGAUUUGUGAAAGUUGUGAACUUAUUGAUUGCUUGUGUUUAAUAUUUGGCUAAACUUGUGUUGCUAGAUUUUUGUCAUUGUUGUGAAUUGUUUUUGUUUGAAUUUAAGUGAUGAAAAUUGACUAAGUUGUUUUUGUUGAUAAUUAUGAUAAAAUUACUUGAUUUCUUGUUAUUGUGAAACUAGCAAUUCUAUGGUGCUUACUUAUUUUUUUUGUUCUAUUAUACUGAUGAAAUUGAUGGUAUGAAAAUUGAGAGGAUCAUAUGAGAACAUGAUGUCAAGAAAAGAUGGUGAAAAAGUGACAUGAAUAAAAGGCUAAGGUGAUAUGUGUUUUCUGUAAUGAGAGGUUCUUGUUAAUGAUGUCGUGGAUGGAUCCUUGUGUAGUUCGAUUAUUUUAUAGUAUGUGGAGAUUCUUGUGUGGUCCGUCCAUUGAAACUGUAUUUAAAUUAUUUGUGCAGUUCUAUUAUUGAAAUUAUAAUGGGGUUCCUUGUGAGGACUAGCUAAGUGACAUUAUCUUUGAGUUCCUUAUGUGAAUGAAUUCUUAAUGCUUGACAAAAUAAUGAGUUAUAAAUUAAAGUGACCGAAAUUAAUAGAGGUUGUUGAUACCUACAGAAUUUGAUCGAUUCGAUAACUUGUCUGGAAUGUGAUAUUGGUGAUGAGACUGUUAAUGACCUAUAAUCGAUUUAUUUUGUUUGGCCUUGCUUAUGUGCUAGUGGUGUGGGGACCACUCUUGAGGUGAUUAAGAAUUAAGUAAAGCUCGUAAUAAAUAUAUUAUUAGAUAAAAAUAAGAAUGACUCUGUAUAUCUUAAAUUGGGACAAGUGAUAUUGGGGUGUUUUGUCUUGGAAAUGAAGUGUUUAACGUGUGAAAAAUGUUGAUUUAGUGAUUACUUUGGCAUAAGUUUUAGCUGUGGAUUUGUGCAUUAGGAAAAAACUUGAGAAGAUAAUUAUUAUUGACUUGACCUUGUGGAUGAAUUAUGCAUUUACAGGUCCUGUAGAGUUAACUGAUGUAUGACUCUUUUAGAGGAUAAUAAUUUUCAUAAUAAUGACAAUGCAAAAUCAAAUGGUUUACUGCAUUCAUAAAAUAAUUAAGAACAGUCCUGAAUGUGGGAAUAAUUGCAUUGCUAAAUGGCAUGAUUGAUCUUUUUUUGGGUGAUUCUUUAUGAAUAUGCUUGUUGAGUUAUUAAGAUAUGAUGAUUAGAUGGAUAUUAACAAUAUUGUGGAGGAGAAUGGGUUGUAAGCUCUAAUUCUAUGGAAUCUCUAUCACUAAUAGUUGUAAGUCCGUGUAAUGAAUGAGAAGUUAUGUUGUCAUGUAUGUACAGUAGUAAACACUAAGCUUGGAACGGUGAGUGAUCUUGAGGUAAUAAGGGAUAGUGGUUGUGAGAUGUUGAAGCUAGCUUUAUAAAAUACAUUUAGUAGUCUUGAUUGAGGCAUGCGAGUAUCUAAGUUAUGUGACUUGUAAAUGGUGUGGUGACUUGCAUAUGAUCAAGAUGUAGAUUCUCCAUCGGAUAGUCUUGGCUAGAAACUGAGCCAAGUGUCCCAGAGAGAUCUUGUUUGUUGGGUGGAUUAGGUGUGACUUGUUUAGUGUUGAAAUUAGAAUAGUAGAUUUAUGUAGCAUCUUGUAGCACUUUUCAGAAUUGAAUUUGGGGCUCUUGAGCUUCGGUUAAAAAAAAAAAAAGAAGAAGGUAUUUUUGAAUAUUUAUCUUCUUCAAGGUGAAUUUUUUUUAACUAUCUUUAUCUUGCUUUCUUCAAACUCAAGUUUCAGACUUAGGCUGUUGAAAGGAGAAUAAGUGAUUCGUGUGUAAAUAUUUAGCUUCGCAUCUUCGUAUUUCAAAAAACUUUGAUAGAAUGAUUGAGUAUAGAAUGUAGGUUGGUCGAUAAGGAUGUCGAGUGAGUGAAUAGGGUGCAGUAUAAGCAACUCUAUCAGUAAUGUCUCUUUAAUUCCAACCUCGUGCUUUUCUCCACUGAAUUUCCGUUCGGGGACGAACGGAUGGUAAAUUGGUAUCUGAUUGUAACGACCCAUUUCGUCAUUACUAAAUUAUUUAUAAUAAAUUUAUGAAAAUUCUUAAUUUUCAUUCCUCAAUAUUAAUUUGGGUCCAAAUAAGCCAAUAUUUUAUUUAUUAUAUCACCUUAAACUUUUUGGUGAAGUUUUUAGCCUUUGGAUGUGUGUAGAUAGACUCAAGCCUAAUGAAUUUUAUUAUUUAUGAGUUUUAAUAUCAAUAACUUAGUUUGAAAUUUCUUUAUCUAUGAAUUAAGGUCAUACAAUAUCCCUAACACAAAGUUAAGUUUAAAACUUUGUUUUCGAUAGAGUUUCGAUAUGGAGUUUUAUUAGGUUAAACUUCAAACGAUCAUAUCUCUUAGAAUAUAAGGAGUAACGAUUAUUUGAUGGACGCAGAUCACAAGAUUAUUUAUGUGGACUGGCUCCACGGAUUAGGAAAUUGGAGGAGAGAGCACAGGCAAGGGCCAAGGAGUGAAGUCCCGUUCCUUUCAGCUGGAUUUUUGGUAAAGAGAUUAAGAUAUGACUGCACUUGUGUUGGAGUGCGAUGUCAUGUUACUUUCUCAUCACCAAAUUUGCCAUAGAUUUAUGUUAAGAAACUUUGUGGGUAAGGUAUGAAGUUUGUGCAGGGAGUUAAAGCUAGUCUUAGUUUUUCUUUUAGCUAUUGUGUUUAGGCCGUAGGGAAAAACAUAGUUAUUAGCAAUAAAGAUGAACCUUUUAGUACUCCUUUUUUUUAAUCUCUUCCUCUCAAGUCAAGCUGGUAAAGGUUCUGUCAUAUGGCCCUGGAGUCACGGAUUCAAGCCGUGACAAAAGACUUUUUGCAGGGUAAGUUUGUAUACUAUAGACUUGCGGUCUGGUCUUUCUUUGUACCUCGCACAUAAAGGGAACUACAGUGCAUGGAACUAUCCUAAAAUAUUAUGCAUUUUAUGUAUGAAUUUUAAGAUAAAUGAAUCUAGGAUAUAAACUCUUUAUCCUACUGUUUCUGUACUAGGUAUGGGCUAUUUAAUUUGAAACUAGGAAGUGGUCACAUUGUCAUUUACAAUUUGAAUAAAAAGGAAUAAAGAUUAAGAUUUCUUUUGACUCCAAGUAAACAAAAUUCAAGGUGUACGUACAAUGAUUUAUUUAAUAUGAGAGUGGAGCGAAAGUGAAGCUUGAUGCACAUGUCAUCCAAAAAGAAGGAAGUUUCAAAUAGCUUUGGUCUAUUAUCGAAUGAACGGGGAGAUUAACAAUGGUGUCAAUCAUCAUAUUGGUUUAGAGCGGAUGAAAUAGACGCGAACAUCUGGAGCAUUUUAUGAUAAGAAGGUGUCAUCGAAACUCAAAGGCAAGUUCUACGUAGUGAUGAUUAGACAAUAUAUGGUAUUUCGUUUCGGGGAUGUUAAAAUGACUCCUUCCAUUAAAGAGGUAUUAAUUUGUUACGAGAGUACGGAAAUGUGUUUUAAGAGAAGGGAGACACCUGAUAAGCACAUUUUAGUCCAAGUUGUGUUGGAUCGUCAAAAGAUCAAGGAGGUAUUUUUAACUGACGACGACACCUGGCUAGGAGAACGUGAUGGAGAAAAUAUCACUUUUCGUGAGUUGUAUCGUCGGUUCGGAAGAUUCAAUGCUUUUCACAAAUUUGGGCAUAAAUUUGAGUCAGAAGAAAAAUGGAAGGAGACGAGAGCCUUUGCGUUCGUGGUAGGCCUACUUGGAACCAUGGUGUUCCCACAGGGGGGAAAUGGCACAAUUCAUCCGAGGGUUGUCUCAGUUACCCAUGCACUCUUCUUUGGAAUGGAGUACAAUUCUGAAAAGGUAUUCCACAACUUAUCUCCCAUGAUUGUCGCGACAUAUAUCGAGCUUUGGGAGGAUGUCAAGUCGAGAAUUAUUUUUUUCAAGGCUGCAACCUUAUAUUACAAUGGUGUAUGAUGAUGCAUUUGGUGAAAAAUCCUAGAACGGCACAACCUGACCACAAAACAAGGAGAAAUCUACUAGAAUCGCACGAGAUGUGGUUGUUUUUACACAAGUUCAAAAGGGAAGCAUCUCAUGAAUUUUGGUUCAAGACUCUUGGAGAAUUAAGAGAUGACGAUGUCCAAUGAUCCCUUAACUAUCUUCGUUCAGGGAAAUACAUUAUUCGAGGGGGCGAGUGGCCUUUUCUAGUGCUUCCGGGUCUCAGGGGAACCUGUCCCUACAAUCCUAGCAGAGUUCUUAGGCAAUUUGAGAUCAAGAAGGAGACGCCUCAAAUCGAUUCUAUGCUCAGAUUCUUUAACGAAUAUGAUAAAAGCGAGCCCCUGCUCAGAGACUACAUGAUAGACUGGAUGCAGGUUAGUUGCAGUUACUAGAUGGAUGACAAUAUUCAGCACUAACUUCUGCACUUUCUUCCUAGCAGAUGUUAGAAUCUUUGUAUUAUUUAUUUUCUAUGUUGUAGUAGAUAUUUCCUGUACAUGUCAGACCAAAUCUUGGGAUAAUGAAGGACACUUGUAAGAAGUUUUUUUAAAAAACUAUUUAUUAAUAUUUAAUUUAUCUUAUUUUAUUUAAUCCAACAUUUCCUCAAAAAGCAGAAGUUUUUCGCAUAUUUUUAGUUGGGGUAAUAAGGGUUCUCCUAGAUGCUUAGAAUAGCAUAGGUAACCGAACUAUCCAGUAGUUUGGGUCGUGAUAGUUGGUAUCAGAGCUUUAGGUUCACCAGUCCCACAAGUACUAGAGCAAUGUCAAGUAGAGUUCCGUAGAUUAGUGUACAAGGCCCCACACCCAAUCUUUGGAAGGCUAUGAGGCAUGCAGAAAGUAUUUUUAUUUCUUUCUCUCCAUCGUGCCAUCCUAAUCUUGGACUAUUAGAUUGAAUCCAAUUGGCAUAUAGACAAUUCUAAUUGGUAUCUUAACAGAGAGCUCAAUUGAAAUGUAGUUAAUUAUUGGUAUCUUAGUAAUUUUGAAUAAAAAUCUAGGAGAUUUCAAUUGGUAUCUGUUAAUAAGGUCUAAAAGUUAUUGUUAAUAGGUAAAGAUUUGUGAAAGUUGUGAGCUUAUUAAUUGCUUGUGUUUAAUAUUUGGCUAAACUUGUGUUGCUAGAUUUUUGUCACUGUUGUGAAUUAUUUUUGUUUGAAUUUAAGUGAUGAAAUUGACUAAAUUAUUUUUGUUGAUAAUUAUGAUGAAAUUAUUUAAUUUCUAGUUAUUGUGAAGCUAGCAAUUCUAUGGUGCUUACUUAUUUUUUUUAUACUAUUAUACUGAUAAAAUUGAUGGUAUGAGAAUUGAGAGGAUCAUAUGAGAACAUGAUGUCAAGAAAAGAUGGUGAAAAAGUGACAUGAAUAAAGGCUAAGGUGAUAUGUGUUUUCUGUAAUGAGAGGUUCUUGUUAAUGAAGUCGUGGAUGGAUCCUUGUGUAGUUCGAUUAUUUUAUACUAUGUGCGGAUCCUUGUGUGGUCCGACCAUUGAGACUAUAUUUAAAUUUUUUUGUGCAGUUCUAUUAUUGAAAUUAUAAUGGGUUCCUUGUGAGGACUAGCUAAGUGACAUUAUCUUUGAGUUCCUUAUGUGAAUGAAUUCUUAAUGGUUGACUAAAUAAUGAGUUUUAAAUAAAAGUGACAGAAAUUAGUAGAGGUUGUUGAUACCUACAGAAUUUGAUCGAUUCGAUAACUUGUCUGGAAUGUGAUAUUGGUGAUGAGACUGUUAAUGACCUACAAUCGAUUUAUUUUGUUUGGCCUUGCUUAUGUGCUAGUGGUGUGGGGACCACUCUUGAGGUGAUUAAGAAUUAAGUGAAGUCCGUAAUAAAAAUAUUGUUAGAUAAAAAUAAGAAUGACUCUGUAUAUCUUAAAUUGGUACUAGUGAUAUUGGGGUGUUUUGGCUUGGCAAUGAAGUGUUUAACGUGUGAAAAAUGUUGAGUUAGUGAUUACUUUGGCAUAUGUUUUAGGUGUGGAUUUGUGCAUUCGAAAAAAACAUGAGAAGAUAAUUAUUAUUGACUUGACCUUAUGGCUGAAUUAUGCAUUUACAUGUUCUAUAGAGUUAGCUGAUGUUUGACUCUUUUAGAGGAUAAUAAUUUUCAUAAUAGUGACAAUGCAAAAUCAAAUGGUUUACUGCAUUCAUAAAAUAAUUAAGAACGAUCCUGAAUGGGGGAAUAAUUGCAUUGCUAAAUGGCAUGAUUGAUCUUUUUUUGGGUGAUUCUUAAUGGAUAUGCUAGUUGAAUUAUUAAGAUAUGAUGAUUAGAUGGAAAUUAACAAUAUUGUGAAGGAGAAUGUGUUGUAGGCUCUAAUUCAGUGGAAUCUCUAUCACUAAUAAUUGUAAGUCCGUGUAAUGAGUGAGAAGUUAUGUUGUCAUCUAUAUAUGUACAGUAGUAAACACUAAGCUUGGAACAGUGAGUGAUCUUGAGGUAAAAAGGGAUAGUGGUUGUGAGAUGUUGAAGCUAGCUUUAUAAAAUAAAUUUAGUAAUCUUGAUUGAGGCAUGCGAGUAUCUAAGUUAUGUGACUUGUAAAUUUUGAAUAUUUAUCUUCUUCAAGGUGAAUUUUUUUUAACCAUCUUUAUCUUGCUUUCUUAAAACUCAAGUUUCAGACUUAGGCUGUUAAAAAGGAGAAUAAGUGAUUCGUGUGUAAAUAUUUAACUUCGCAUCUUUGUAUUUCGAAAAGCUUUGAUAAAAUAAUUGAGUAUAGAAUGUGGGUUGGUCGAUAAAGAUAUCGAGUGAGUGAAUAGGGUGCAGUAUAAGCAAAUCUAUUAGUAAUGUCUCUCUAAUUCCAACCUCGUGCUUUUCUCCACUGAAUUUCUGUUUGGGGAUGAAUGGAUGGUAAAUUGGUAUCUGAUUGUAGCGACCCAUUUCUUCAUUACUAAAUUAUUUAUAAUAAAUUCAUGAAAAUUCUUAAUUUUCAUUCCUCAAUAUUAAUUUUGGUUCAAAUUAGCCAAUAUUUUAUUUAUUAUGUCACCUUAAACUUUUCGGCGAAGAUUUUAGCCUUCGGAUGUGUCUAGAUAGACUCAAGUCUGAUGAAUUUAAUUAUUCAUGAGUUCUAAUAUCAAUAACUUAGUUUGAAAUUUCUUUAUCUAUUAUUUAAGGUCAUACAGUAUCCCUAACACAAAGUUAAAUUUAAAACUUUGUUUUCGAUAGAGUUUCGAUAUGGGGUUUUAUUAGGUUAAACUUCAAACGAUCAUAUCUCUUAGAAUAUAACGAGUAACGAUUAUUUGAAGGAUACAGAGCACAAGAUUAUUUAUGUUGACUGGCUCCGCGGAUUAGGAAAUUGGAGGAGAGAGCACAGGCAAGGGCCAAGGAGCGAAGUCCCGUUCCUUUCAGCUGAAUUUUUCGUUAAGAGAUUAAGAUAUGACUGUACUUGUGUUGGAGUGCGAUGUCAUGUUACUUUCUCAUCACCAAAUUUUCCAUAGAUUUAUGUUAAGAAACUUUGUGGGUAAGGUAUGAAGUCUGUGCAGGGAGUUAAAGCGUCUUGGUUUUUCUUUUUGCUAUUGUGUUUAGGCCGUAGGAAAAAACAUAGUUAUUAGCAAUAAAGAUGUACCUUUUAGUACUCUUUUUCUUUAAUCUCUUCCUCUCAAGUCAAUCUGGUAAAGGUUCUGUCAUACGGCCCGGAGUCGCGGGUUCAAGUAGUGGCAAAAGACUCUCUGCAGGGUAAGGUAGUAUACUAUAGACUCGUGGUCCGGUCUUUCUUUGUACCUCACAAAUAAAGGGAGCUACAGUGCAUGGGACUAUCCUAAAAUAUUAUGCAUUUUAUGUAUGACUUUUAAGAUAAAUGAAUCUAGGAUAUAACCUCUUUAUCCUACUAUUUCUGUACUAGGUAUGGGCUAUUUAAUUUGAAACUAGGAAGUGGUCACAUUGUCAUUUACAAUUUGAAUAAAAAGGAAUAAAGAUUAAAAUUUCUUUGACUCCAAGUAUACAAAAUUCAAGGUGUACAAUGAUUUAUUUAAUAUGAGAGUGGAGUGAAGGUGAAGAUUGAUGCACAUGUCAUCCAAAAAGAAAGGUUCAAAUAGCUUUGAUCUAUUAGCGAAUGAAUGGGGAGAUUAACGAUGAUGUCAAUCAUCAUAUUGUUUCAGAGCGGGUAAAAUAGAGGCAAACAUCUGGAGCAUUUUAUGACAAGAAGGUGUCAUCGAAACUCAAAGGCAAGUUCUACGUAGUGAUGAUUAGACAAUAUAUAUUGUAUGGGACCGAUUGUUAGCUAGUCAAAAUUUCUCUCGUUGAUCUAAGUUGUGAAAAUGAGAAUUUUUCGAUGAAUGUUUCGGCAUACUAUUACAAAUUAUUUAGGAAUGAGCAUAUCCAAAAUAAGGUAGGUGUGACCUCAAUGAAAGCAAGAUGGGAGAAGCAAUACUGUGAUGGCUUGGACAAACAAAAAGGAAAUGCACGAAUGCCCCAGUACAAAGGUGUGAGAAAUUGGUUAUGGGUGGUUCAGGAGAGGUAGAGGUAGCUAGGUCAAAGAAGUGUCGAGCAGAGGCGAUUAGUCAGGACAUGAUGCGGUUCCAAUUUAUCGAGAAUAUGGUCUUAGAGAUGAGAUAUUGUGGAGGAAACAUAUUAAGUUAAAAGGUUAAUAGGUAGGAGAACAUUGUCUUGCAUAUCCUUCCAUAGUGGUAGUCAUAAUAGAUCUCUUUUAGUUUUUUGUCCUUCAAUUUAUCUUUUUAUCUACUGUUCCUGUACUUCCAUUAACGUACUCUUUAUUGUAUUUACUAUUUUUUCCAGAAUAUUUUGUCAUGCUUUCAUAGUAUUUUGACCAUGAUUUCUUUCUUCACUGUCAAUUUUUCCAAAAUAUUUUGUCAUGUGUUUUCAACAACAUCCAAAACUAGGCAGAUGCUACUUUGGAACCUUCAAAAUCAUUAAACGUAUUGGUGAGGUUUCCUACAAGCUAGAGUUACCUGACGAAGCUCGCAUACAUCCAGUAUUCCAUGUUUCUUUGCUCAAGCGAUGUACGGGUGAACCAGAUCAACAAAAUGCACCACUUCAGCUCACUGGUUUGGCUGAUCCUGUUCUGGUGGACUCAUCUCUGAACCUUGAGGACAAAGUUCUUUCACAGGAUGGGGGUAUUGUUGUGACCCAUGAGGAUGACGUGGAGGAAACCUCACCUGCUGACGUGGACACACAUAAUCAGCAACAGGUUAAAUUUAAGUGAAGAAGUGAGCGCAUGAGGAUUCCAUCCAAAAAACUUGCUGACUUCAUAGUGGGAUCGGGGGAAAAAACGUAAAAGAGAGGCAUAGGGUUUGCAGCAUAAGGAAAAUAAAUAGUUAUCAGUAAUUUUAUUAGGGUAGGGAAUUGCUAAGCUCGUGCCUACUUCUCAUCUCUCUCAGUAUCUCUAUUCCCAUCUCCCUAUUUCUUCUAUCUUCUAUAAUUUUCCUUAUUGUUCCAUUACAAAUCUCCAUCUUGUGAUUUCUUGAUUGAGUUAAAUACAAUCAGUUGACUCCUAAUUGCGGUUGAAAAUUCUAGUUUGUUCCAAUGAGCCUAGUUGAGUUGUAAUGGUAUUAGGUUGUAUGUGUUGUGCAAUAAUAUGACGAGGAGAAUUAUGCUAAGAUUGAAUAUUGCUGAGCAUAGUAAUAUUUAAGGGAUAGAUGACUUGAUUAGUGUGAUGAUUGUAUUAUGUGGAAAAAGGUAGAAGAUAAUGAUAUGCGUGAAUGUGCUAGUUAUAGGUGGUGAUGUUAGAACCCAAGUUGCGAUAUUUAAGAAGAUAAUGAUAUUUUUAAUAAUUAAUAAGUAAUUAAGGCUCCAAUAGUGACUUGUAUGCGUAAGAAUUAAAUUAUGAUUUAUUUUAUGAUAUUCUUGUGUUGAUAUUGAUAAAAAUACUAUAUCUAUUGGAUGCCCAUGAGAGGCUAAAUUGGUGAUAAUGAUGGUUUAUUGAAUUGUGCCUAUGCGUGGCUUGUUUGAUAAUGAUAACUCCUUAAAGUAUUGCUAUGAAUACUUGCUGAUUGGUAUUCAGACAUGCUUGAAAUUGUUUAUGUUUGGAUGUUGAUGUGUGUAUAAAUGAUUAUUGAAAAUUUACUUGAUGGAAUUGUCUUAUGACUUUAAGUGUACUUGUAAACUUGGUACAUUGUGUUGUAUGUUGUGUGGUUGUGUAAAUUUGAUAUUGAUAAUACUUGUUUAUAUUGGAUCGGGUACCACGCCGGUACGGAUAUGUAUGUGUUGGAUUGGGUACCACGCCGGUACGGAUAUGUAUAUGUUGGAUCGGGUAUUACGCCGCUACGGAUAUAUAUAUGUUGGAUAGGUACCACGCCAGUACGAAUAUGUAUAUAUUGGAUCGGGUACCACGCCGGUACGGAUAUAUAUAUGUUAGAUCGGGUACCAUGCCGGUAUGAAUAUGUAUAUAUUGGAUCGAGUACCACGCCGGUACGGAUAUGAAUAUAUUAGAUUGGGUACCAUACCAGUACGGAUAUGUAUAUGUUGGAUCGGGUACCACGCCGUUACAAAUGUAUAUGUUGGAUCUGGUACCACGCCGGUACCGAUAUUUAUUUGUUGGAUCGGUUACCACGCCAGUACAAUACAUGAACAUAGAUUGUUCCUUGCAGGUCAUGACUAUUUGGGCAAAAAUAAGUCCCAUAGCAUGUGUGUACAUAUUUGUGUUGAGUCUGUGGAUGUUUACAAUAUGGUUGAUACUCUUGAUGGUUAUGUGGCUUGUUUGUGAGCACUCUUUGAUCUGUUAUUGUUAUAUUGUUGAUUCAUUGGGUAUUUGAUUGUGUGAUAUGUAUUUGAAAAAGUGAAACUUUGUACCUAUUUAUAUGUUGGUUGAAGGGGAGCCUUGGAGUAACUGGUAAAGUUCCUGCCAUGUGACCAGGAGGUCACGGGUUCAAACCUUGGAAACAGCCUCUGGCAGAAAUGCAAGGUAAGACUGCGUACGACACACCUUUAUGGUGGGGCCCUUCCCCGGACACUGCACAUAGUGGUAGCUUUAGUGCACUAGGCUGCCCUUUUUUUUGACUUUCUUCAUUUAUACGUGUUUUAAUCGUAGUUUACCAAAAUGGCUAGUUAUCAUUCUUUAAUAUUAUAAAAUACCAUUUGGUUAUUAUCCCGAGGGUUUAGCGUGGAUUAUUUACGAUUACGAGUUCGUUCCUGUGAAUAUGAGUAAUGAAAAAAAUAAGGUGAAUAAAGAGGAAUAGUGAUGUUUUAGCGUUGGAUUUUGAUUGAUUGUGUGAAUUAAUGAGGCUAGAGUACGUUGGUAGUGAAUAUAAUAUGGAUGGAGUUAGAAGAGCAGUUGGAUGAUGUAUGUUAUAUAGAUAAAGUAAUAAUAUUAUUACAACCUUAGUUGAAUUAUAUUCCAUUCAAGAUGUCAUGAUUUAUUUUUGUUAAUUCUAUUUUAUGAUUAUAUGAAAUAACACGGUCGGCCAAUGAUGCCUACCAGUACAUGUGAUUGUACUGAUCCUACUCUUCUACAUUUCUUCUUGGAGUGUAGACUAGAUGCAGGUUAGUUGCAGUUACUAGAUGGAUGACAAUAUUCAACACUAACUUCGGCACUUUCUUCCUAGCAGAUGCUAGAAUCUUUGUAUUAUUUAUUUUCUAUGUUGUAAUAGAUAUCUCUUGUACAUGUCAAACCAAGUCUUGGAAUAGUGAAGGACACUUGUAAGAAGUUUUUGAAAAAAUUUAUUUAUUAAUAUUUAAUUUAUCUUAUUUUAUUUAAUCCAGCAUUUCCUUAAAAACAGAAGUUUUUCGCAUAUUUUUAGUUGAGCAAUAAGGGUUAUCCUAGCUGCUUAGAAUACCAUAGGUGCCCGCACGAUCCAGUAGUAUGGGUCGUGACAGUUGGCAUCAAACGUUAGGUUCACCGGUCCUACAAGUACUAGAGCAAUGUCAAGUAGAGUUCCGUAGAUUAGUGUACAGGGCCCUACACCCAAUCUUCAGAAGGCUAUGAGGCAUGUAGAAAUCAUUUUCCUUUCUUUCUCUCCAUCGUGCCAUCCUAAUCUUGGACUAUUAGAUUGAAUCCAAUUGGCAUCUAGACAAUUCUAAUUGGUAUCUUAACAGAGAGCUGAAUUGAAAUGUAGUUAAUUAUUGGUAUCUUAGUAAUUUUGAAUAAAAAUAUAGGAGAUUUCAAUUGGUAUCUGUUAAUAAGGUCUAAAAGUUAUUGUUAAUAGGUAAAGAUUUGUGAAAGUUGUGAACUUAUUGAUUGCUUGUGUUUAAUAUUUGGCUAAACUUGUGUUGCUAGAUUUUUGUCAUUGUUGUGAAUUGUUUUUGUUUGAAUUUAAGUGAUGAAAAUUGACUAAGUUGUUUUUGUUGAUAAUUAUGAUAAAAUUACUUGAUUUCUUGUUAUUGUGAAACUAUCAAUUCUAUGGUGCUUACUUUUUUUUUUUGUACUAUUAUACUGAUGAAAUUGAUGGUAUGAGAACUGAGAGGAUCAUAUGAGAACAUGAUGUCAAGAAAAGAUGGUGAAAAAGUGACAUAAAUAAAAGGCUAAGGUGAUAUGUAUUUUCUAUAAUGAGAGGUUCUUGUUAAUGAUAUCGUGGAUGGAUCCUUGUGUAGUUCGAUUAUUUUAUAGUAUGUGGAGAUUCUUGUGUUGUCCGUCCAUUGAGACUGUAUUUAAAUUAUUUCUGCAGUUCUAUUAUUGAAAUUAUAAUGGGUUCCUUGUGAGGACUAGUUAAGUGACAUUAUCUUUGAGUUCCUUAUGUGAAUGAAUUCUUAAUGCUUGACAAAAUAAUGAGUUAUAAAUUAAAGUGACCGAAAUUAGUAGAGGUUGUUGAUACCUACAGAAUUUGAUCGAUUCGAUAACUUGUCUGGAAUGUGAUAUUGGUGAUGAGACUGUUAAUGACCUAUAAUCGAUUUAUUUUGUUUGGCCUUGCUUAUGUGCUAGUGGUGUGGGGACCACUCUUGAGGUGAUUAUGAAUUAAGUGAAGCCCGUAAUAAAAAUAUUGUUAGAUAAAAAUAAGAAUGACUCUGUAUAUCUUAAAUUGGUACUAGUGAUAUUGGGGUGUUUUGGCUUGGCUAUGAAGUGUUUAACGUGUGAAAAAUGUUGAUUUAGUGAUUACUUUGGCAUAUGUUUUAGGUGUGGAUUUGUGCAUUCGAAAAAAACUUGAGAAGAUAAUUAUUAUUGACUUGACCUUAUGGCUGAAUUAUACAUUUACAUGUCCUGUAGAGUUAACUGAUGUAUGACUCUUUUAGAGGAUAAUAAUUUUCAUAAUAGUGACAAUGCAAAAUCAAAUGGUUUACUGCAUUCAUAAAAUAAUUAAGAACGAUACUGAAUGGGGGAAUAAUUGCAUUUCUAAGUGGCAUGAUUGAUCUUUUUUUGGGUGAUUCUUAAUGGAUAUGCUAGUUGAGUUAUUAAGAUAUGACGAUCAGAUGGAAAUUAACAAUAUUGUGGAGGAGAAUGUGUUGUAGGCUCUAAUUCUGUGAAAUCUCUAUCACUAAUAGUUGUAAGUCCGUGUAAUGAGUGAGAAGUUAUGUUGUCAUCUAUAUAUGUACAGUAGUAAACACUAAGCUUGGAACGGUGAGCGAUCUUAAGGUAAAACGGGAUAGUCGUUGUGAGAUGUUGAAGCUAGCUUUAUAAAAUAAAUUUAGUAGUCUUGAUUGAGGCAUGCGAGUAUCUAAGUUAUGUGACUUUCAUAUGAUCAAGAUGUAGAUUCUCCAUCGGAUAGUCUUGGCUAGAAACUGAGCCAGGUGUCCCAGAGAGAGCUUGUUUGUUGGGUGGAUUAGGUGUGACUUGUUUAGAGUUGAAAUUACAAUAGUAGAUUCAUGUAGCAUCUUGUAGCACUUUUCAGAAUUGAAUUUGGGGCUCUUGAGCUUCGGUUAAAAAAGAAAAGAAGAAGGUAUUUUUGAAUAUUUAUCUUCUUCAAGGUGAAUUUUUUUUAACCAUCUUUAUCUUGCUUUCUUAAAACUCAAGUUUCAGACUUAGGCUGUUAAAAGGAGAAUAAGUGAUUCAUGUGUAAAUAUUUAACCUCGCAUCUUCGUAUUUCGAAAAGCUUUGAUAGAAUGAUUGAGUAUAGAAUGUGGGUUGGUUGAUAAGGAUAUCGAGUGAGUGAAUAGGGUGCAGUAUAAGCAACUCUAUUAGUAAUGUAUCUCUAAUUCCAACCUCGUGACGAACGGAUGGUAAAUUGGUAUCUGAUUGUAACGACCCAUUUCUUCAUUACUAAAUUAUUUAUAAUAAAUUCACGAAAAUUCUUAAUUUUCAUUCCUCAAUAUUAAUUUGGGUCCAAAUAAGCCAAUAUUUUAUUUAUUAUGUCACCUUAAACUUUUCGGCGAAGAUUUUAGCAUUCGGAUGUGUCUAGAUAAACUCAAGCCUGAUGAAUUUAAUUAUUCAUGAGUUCUAAUAUCAAUAACUUAGUUUGAAAUUUCUUUAUCUAUUCAUUAAGGUCAUACAAUAUCCCUAACACAAAGUUAAGUUUAAAACUUUGUUUUCGAUAGAGUUUCGAUAUGGGAUUUUAUGAGGUUAAACUUCAAACGAUCAUAUCUCUUAGAAUAUAACAAGUAACGAUUAUUUGAAGGAUGCAGAGCACAAGAUUAUUUAUGUGGACUGGCUCCGCGGAUUAGGAAAUUGGAGGAGAGAGCACAGGCAAGGGCCAAGGAGCGAAGUCCCGUUCCUUUCAGCUGGAUUUUUGGUAAAGAGAUUAAGAUAUGAAUGCACUUGUGUUGGAUGGCAAUGUCAUGUUAGUUUUCUGAUCACCAAAUUUGCCUGUUUUAUGUUAAGAAACUUUGUGGGUAAGGUAUGAAGUCUGUGCAGGGAGUUAAAGCGUCUUGGUUUUUCUUUUUGCUAUUGUGUUUAGGCCG